AUAAUAGUCACCGGCAAUUAGUAGCAAACAUAAGCACAAGUGCUCAACGCCUCAGCUACAAGCGGUGGUGGCCGCAGGAGGCAGUGCCGUCGUCGAAGUUCUGGGAGUAGCUAUGCGGGUCGUAACCGAACCUCACCGCGGUUCGUCUCGGCCGCGCCGCUCGUCUUCUCCAAGAGCGCCUCAGCCUCAACAGCAGGCGCUUCACCGCCGCAGCUGACCGGCGGCCGCCGCUCCUGGCGUGGACCCUCCCGCCCAAGCCGCUGCCCCCGGUGUACGGGCCUAGCAGAAACGCCGCCUCCAUGAUCUAUCGUUCUUCACUCGGUGGGUUCUCACAGAGUCACAGGUCACAGACGCUCUUGCCAGUUUGCCACUAACUAACUAGCUAGGUGCUGCUCCGAGCUGGUAGGUAUCUGUGUGCUGCAGUGCAGCUGUAGUUUGUGAAGACGUUGUGCAGAACGAAACCUCCGAUGCCGCAGCUUUAUAAGCUCGGAUGCUGGGAGCAUUCCGACACGCGUCGAUCGAGGUCGCCACCCGGACCUACAUGGUGACGAUGCAUCCACUACGGCGAUCGUCCGAAAGGGUCUAUGCAGCUUCAUGCUUGUUCUUUUGUAAGUCGCCGUAGUACAGUCGAAAGAAAGAUCCAUCGCCAGCUAGAGGAUGAGAGGUUGGCCAUGCCGACCGGCGCCACGGCGGUGCCUACACUACCGGAAUCAGCUCCUUUGCCGUGUGUCUCCGACACUCGGCAAAGGCUAUUUUACACUCGGCACAGAAUGAUCGGCGAACUGUACAUCGGCAACAGCCUCUUUGCCGAGUACUAUUUGUCGGGCACUCGGCAAAGAAAAGUCACCGUCAUGGCGCCAAGUGACGGUGACGGAUCCUUUGCCGAGUGCCUUCUGUGGCACUCGGCAAAGAGGCCAAUUUUGCCGAGUGUUUGCUCGAGAGGCCCUCGGCAAAGACUGAUCCAGUGGGCCCCACCGCCAGUCCCUGUGCCGAGAGCUCUAAUAGGCACUCGGCAAAGGAGUCUUUUUUGCCGAGUGUCUGGUGGACUGGCACUCGGCAAAGAACCCUCCAGUGGGCCCCUUUACCAAUAUCUUUGCCGAGUGCCUUGGCAACAGCACUCGACAAAGAUGUCUUUGCCGGUUCCCAGGUUUCCUUCUUUGCCGAGUGCCAUUGUCAGCACUCGGCAAAGAUGGCUUUACCGGUUCCCAGGUUUCCUUCUUUGCCGAGUGCCAUGGUCAUAGCACUCGGCAAAGUGACCAGGAUGUCCCUUUUUUAUUUGCUUUUGUUGUUCCAUCCAAACAAACAAAAGAUAUAUAUCAUGUUGAAUAAUUAGACAAAUUCCAAAUUAAAUUCCGAAUAUAAAUCAUGACCAAAUCAGAAGAACUGAAAUAAAAGCCAAAUCAGAUGAUGCGUACUGAUUAGACUUACUGAUUGUUGGCGCGCGCCAGGAUCAGCUGGGUCGACGAUGUCAGAAGAUCACGAGCAGUCACGUGAAGGCGCUUCCCAAAAACCUUAUUCGCCCUCUCCCGGUGUAGGAUCUAGAAGACGAAGGGUUCCGGAGACCUGCUCUCCUGAUCGCAGAUGCACCUCUGCGGUCGGAACGAAGGGAACUAAAAGGCGGCUCAGCUAUGAAGAUAGGCGAAAGCGAACUGGGAUCUGGGAUGAUUUGGAGGCUGGCUGCCGGGCUCCUUUUAUAGGGCCGAGUCCGCGACCCCGUGCUUAUCCGCCCACGAAAAUCUCGCAAUCAGUUGAGAUUUUAUAGCGAUCGGUUAGGAUAAGCGUAACAGCCAAGAAACCAAAAAAUCAAACGGCAAAAGGUAGCCGCGCCCCCGCAAGGCGAGGGGCCAGAUUUCGACGGACCAUUCACGCGCAUGUCGUGCGCCCGCGCCCUUCGCCCCGCCCCGCCCCGCCCCGGCCCGGCCCGGCCCGGCCCGGCGAGGCGAGCGAGCACGCGCGCGCGUGUGGCUCUCCACACUCUCUCCUCUCAUCCAUGACUUGGUGAGUGAGUGUGGCUUCCAUAUUUAAGCUAGCUCUACUCCACUAGAGCUAGCAAUAUGGUGCUAAUGGUUCCACCUAUCCUCUAGCCAUCCUCUUGUAUGGGCUUUUGAGAUUUUCUGGGAUUUAUUUGAAUUUCUUAAUUGGGCCAAGCCCAUAAAUCCUAACAAUCCCCCACCAGAUCUCAAAUGCCCAUCUGCAGUUUUCGCCACUGUUCACUACUGUUUAAUUGUCGGGGACCAUAAUUAGGGGUACCCUCAAGACGCCUAAUUCUCAGCUGGUAACCCCAUCAGCAUAAAGCUGCAGAGGCCUGAUGGGUGCGAUUAAGUCAGGGAUCAGUCCAUACGAGCGACUCGAUCACGCCUCGCCCGAGCCUAGCCUCGGGCAAGGGCAGCCGACCCCGAGGGAUUUCCAUCUCGUCCGAGGCCCCCCUUUAACGGCGGACACAUCUCCGGCUCGCCUGAGGCCUUGCCUUCGCUAAGAAGCAACCCUGACUAAAUCGCCGCGCCGACCGACCGAGUCGCAGGAGCAUUUAACGCAAAGGUAGCCUGACACCUUUAUCCUGACGCGCGCCCCCCGGCAGAGCCGAAGUGACCGCCGUCACUUCGCCGCUCCACUGACCGGUCUGACAGAAGGACAGCGCCGCCUGCGCCACUCCGACUGCAGUGCCACUUGACAGAGUGAGACUGACAGGCAGUCAGGCCUUGCCAAAGGCGCCAUAGGAAACUCCGCUCCGCCUGACCCAGGGCUUGGACUCGGGCUAAGCCCCGGAAGACGGCGAACUCCGCACCGCCCGACCCAGGGCUCGGACUCGGGCUAAGCCCCGGAAGACGGCGAACUCCGCACCGCCCGACCCACGGCUCGGACUCGGGCUAAGCUUCGGAAGACGGCGAACUCCGCUCCGCCCGACCCAGGGCUCGGACUCGGGCUAGGCCCCGGAAGACGGCGAACUCCGCUCCGCCCGACCCAGGGCUCGGACUCGGGCUAGGCCCCGAAAGACGACGAACUCCGCUCCGCCCGACCCAGGGCUCGGACUCGGGCUCAGCCCCAGAAGACGACGAACUCCGCUUCGCCCGAUCCCAGGGCUCGGACUCCGCCCUGGCCUCUGCCGAACAACCUCCGCCUCGCCCGACCCAGGGGCUCGGGCUCGGCCUCGGCCAUGGAAGACAGACUCGACCUCGGCUUCGGAGGAGCCUCCACGUCGCCCGACCUAGGGCACAGGCCCGCCACGUCAACAGGAAGCGCCAUCAUCACCCUACCCCGAGCCGACUCGGGCCGCAGAGAACAAGACCGGUGUCCCAUCUGGCUAGCUCCGCCAGAUAGGCAAUGAUGGCGCCCCGCUAGCCCUGUGACGACGGCGGCUCUCAGCCCCCUUACAGAAGCAGGGGACGUCAGCAAGGACUCAACCGCUCCGACAGCUGUCCCUCCGCCAGGCUCCGUUGCUCCUCCGACAGCCACGACAUCACACCAGCAGGGUGCCAAGAUCUCUCCGGCUGCCACAUUGGCAUGUACUUAGGGCGCUAGCUCUCCCUCCGCUAGACACGUAGCACUCUGCUACAUCCCCAUUGUACACCUGGAUCCUCUCCUUACGCCUAUAAAAGGAAGGACCAGGGCCUUCUUAGAGAAGGUGGGCCGCGCGGGGACGAGGACGGGACAGGCGCUCUCUUGGGGCCGCUCGCUUCCCUCACCCGCGUGGACGCUUGUAACCCCCUACUGCAAGCGCACCCGACCUGGGCGCGGGACGAACACGAAGGCCGCGGGAUUUCCACCUCUCUCACGCCCGUCUCCGGCCACCUCGCUUUUCCCCCUUCGCGCUCGCCCACGCGCUCGACCCAUCUGGGCUGGGGCACGCGGCACACUCACUCGUCGGCUUAGGGACCCCCCCGGUCUCGAAACGCCGACAGUUGGCGCGCCAGGUAGGGGCCUGCUGCGUGCUGACGAACAGCCUCCCGUCAAGCUCCAGAUGGGCAAUCUCCAGCAACCUCUUCGGCCCGGGACGGUGCUCCGUUUCGGGAGUCUUUAGUUCAUGUCCUUCGACGGCAGCUACGACAAGAUACUCCUUCCACCGCCGCGCGACAACAACAAUGGCGGCCGACAACCCGCCCGCCGGCGGCGGAAUCGACGACAUCUUCCCCGCGUGGUGGAAGAACAACAUUCGAGCUCGCCCCGUCCUCUCCCCCGCCAACGAAGGAGGAGGCGGGGCAACCAAGGCCAAGCGGGAGGCCGCGCUUCGUCGGCUGUCGAGCGAAUCGACGUCCCCAGCGCCCCAACGGGGGGUGCGUCGGGUGUCGACCUCGCGCUUGAGACGAAGGCGAGCGUCGUCCCCCCGCGACACACCAAUCCCGAGCAAGUGGACGACGCCAGUGCGCUCGCGGAGGGCUUGCAGGACGUCGCCCUCGUACCUAAGACGACGGUGCAAUCAGUCCCCGACGUGACUAUGUCGCUCCUCGUCGACCAAAAGGUACUGACUGAUUCCCAUCUUACGUCAUUUCGACUCGGCCUCAACCCGCCUAGCGACCUUGCUUUGGCGGGCGCUCUCGUUGAGGCGAGUGCAACCCCUCUGGGGUUUCGUAUGCGGUCGCCUUGGGACCGGUUGACAGACGUCUCGACCUACGGGCCCUCUGGGUCCGAGGAAGACGACGAUCCCAGCAUCUGUUGGGAUUUCUCUGGAUUUGGCGACCCCAGUGCCAUGCGGGACUUUAUGACCGCAUGUGACUAUUGCCUCUCCGACUGUUCCGACGGUAGCCGCAGCCUUGAUGACGAGGACUGCGGCCCAAGCCGCGAAUGUUUCCACGUCGAGCUAGGGGAUCCCUCCGAAGGCAACCGUCUCGGCAUGCCAGAGGACGGUGAUCACCCUAGGCCGGUGCCUCGCGCUGACAUCCCACGGGAGCUAGCUAUGGUCCCCGUUCCGGCGGGGGGUCACGACCCACAGCUCGAGCAAGUCCGCGGGGCGCAGGCCAGGCUCGACGAGGGAGCAGGAGCGCUUGAGACGAUCCGCCGGGACGUCGGGCAGGUAUGGGCGGGCCAACCCCCGGCCGGAGAAAUACGUCACCUGCCCCAAGGUUUCCAGCACCGCGUCGCCAACGACGUCAGGGUCAAGCCGCCACCCGCAUCCAGCGGAGUCGGUCAGAACCUGGCAGCCGCAGCGAUGCUCCUUCGCGUGAUGCCGGAGCCAUCAACCACCGAGGGUCGGCGAAUCCAGGGAGAGCUCAGGAAUCUCCUGGAAGGCGCUGCGGUCCGACGGGCCGAGAGCUCUGCCUCCCGGAGGCAGGGAUACCCCUCGGAACCUCAUGCCGCGACUUCCCGAUUCAUGCGGGAAGCCUCGGUCUACACCGGGCGCACGCGCAACACCGCGCCUGCGGCCCCGGGCCACCUCGGCAACGAGCACCAUUGUCGCGACUGUCGGGCCCACCUCGACGAAAGGGUGCACCGAGGCUACCACCCCAGGCGUGGGGGACGCUAUGACAGCGGGGAGGAUCGCAGUCCCUCGCCCGAACCACCCGGUCCGCAGGCCUUCAGUCGGGCCAUCCGACGGGCGCCGUUCCCGACCCGGUUCCGACCCCCGACUACUAUCACAAAGUACUCGGGGGAAACGAGACCGGAACUGUGGCUCACAGACUACCGCCUGGCCUGCCAACUAGGUGGGACGGACGACGACAACCUCAUCAUCCGCAACCUCCCCCUGUUCCUCUCCGACACUGCUCGCGCCUGGUUGGAGCACCUGCCUCCGGGGCAGAUCUCCAACUGGGAUGACUUGGUCCAAGCCUUCGCCGGCAAUUUCCAGGGCACGUACGUGCGCCCCGGGAAUUCCUGGGACCUUCGAAGCUGCCGGCAACAGCCGAGAGAGUCACUCCGGGACUACAUCCGGCGAUUCUCGAAGCAGCGCACCGAGCUGCCCAACAUCACCGACUCGGAUGUCAUCGGCGCGUUCCUUGCCGGCACCACCUGCCGCGACCUGGUGAGUAAGUUGGGUCGCAAGACCCCCACCAGGGCGAGCGAGCUGAUGGAUAUCGCCACCAAGUUCGCCUCUUGCCAGGAGGCGGUCGAGGCCAUCUUCCGAAAGGACAAGCAGCCCCAGGGCCGCCCAUCGGAAGAGGCCCCCGAGGCGUCUACUCCGCGCGGCGCCAAGAAGAAAGGCAAGAAGAAGUCGCAAUCGAAACGCGACGUCGCCGACGCGGACCUUGUCGCCGCCGCCGAGUACAAGAACCCUCGGAAGCCCCCCGGAGGUGCUAACCUCUUCAACAAGAUGCUCAAGGAGCCGUGCCCCUACCAUCAGGGGCCCGUCAAGCACACCCUCGAGGAGUGCGUCAUGCUUCGGCGCCACUUCCACAGGGCCGGGCCGCCCGCAGAGGGUGGCAGGGCCCACGACGAUGACAAAAAGGAAGAUCACCAAGCAGGAGAGUUCCCCGAGGUCCGCGACUGCUUCAUGAUCUACGGUGGGCAUGCGGCGAAUGCCUCGGCUCGGCAUCGCAAGCAAGAGCGCCGGGAGGUCUGCUCGGUGAAGGUGGCAGCGCCAGUCUACCUAGACUGGUCCGACAAGCCCAUCACCUUCGACCAAGCUGACCACCCCGACCACGUGCCGAGCCUGGGGAAAUACCUGCUCGUCGUCGACCCCAUCAUCGGCGACGUCAGGCUCACGAAGGUCCUGAUGGAUGGGGCAGCUGCCUCAACAUCAUCUAUGCCGAGACCCUCAGGCUCCUGCGCGUCGAUCUGUCCUCCGUCCGAGCAGGCGCUGCGCCCUUCCACGGGAUCAUUCCUGGGAAGCGCGUCCAGCCCCUCGGACGACUCGACCUUCCCGUCUGCUUCGGAACGCCCUCCAACUUCCGAAGGGAGACUUUGACGUUCGAGGUGGUCGGGUUCCGAGGAACCUACCACGCGGUACUGGGAAGGCCAUGCUACGCGAAGUUCAUGGCUGUCCCCAACUACACCUACCUGAAGCUCAAGAUGUCGGGCCCCAACGGGGUCAUCACCGUCGGCCCCACGUACAAACACGCGUUCGAAUGCAACGUGGAGUGCGUGGAGUACGCCGAGGCCCUCGCCGAGUCCGAGGCCCUCGCCGAGUCCUAGGCCCUCAUCGCCGACCUGGAGAACCUCUCCAAAGAGGUGCCAGACGUGAAGCGUCAUGCCGGCAACUUCGAGCCAGCGGAGACGGUUAAGGCCGUCCCUCUCGACCCCAGCGGCGACACCUCCAAGCAGAUCCGGAUCGGUUCCGGGCUCGACCCCAAAUAGGAAGCAGUGCUCGUCGACUUUCUCCGCGCAAACGCCGACGUCUUUGCGUGGAGUCCCUCGGACAUGCCCGGCAUACCGAGGGAUGUCGCCGAGCACUCGCUGGAUAUUCGGGCCGGAGCCCGACCCGUCAGGCAGCCUCUGCGCCGAUUCGACGAGGAGAAGCGCAGAGUGAUAGGCGAGGAGAUCCACAAGCUAAUGGCAGCAGGGUUCAUCAAAGAGGUAUUCCAUCCCGAAUGGCUUGCCAACCCUGUGCUUGUGAGAAAGAAAGGGGGGAAAUGGCGGAUGUGCGUAGACUACACUGGUCUCAACAAAGCAUGUCUGAAGGUUCCCUACCCUCUGCCUCGCAUCGAUCAAAUCGUGGAUUCCACUGCUGGGUGCGAAACCCUGUCCUUCCUCGAUGACUACUCAGGGUAUCACCAAAUCCGGAUGAAAGAGUCCGACCAGCUCGCGACUUCUUUCAUCACGCCCUUCAGCAUGUACUGCUAUGUCACCAUGCCGUUCGGUUUGAGGAAUGCGGGCGCGACGUACCAGCGGUGCAUGAACCAUGUGUUCGGCGAACACAUCGGUCGCACAGUCGAGGCCUACGUCGACGACAUCGUAGUCAAGACAAGGAAGGCUUCCGACCUCCUCUCCGACCUUGAAGUGACAUUCCGAUGUCUCAAGGCGAAAGGCGUCAAGCUCAAUCCCGAGAAGUGUGUCUUCGGGGUCCCCCGGGGCAUGCUCUUGGGGUUCAUCGUCUCCAAGCGAGGCAUCGAAGCCAACCCGGAGAAGAUCGCAGCUAUCACCAGCAUGGGGCCCAUCAAGGACUUAAAAGGCGUACAGAGGGUCAUGGGAUGUCUCGCGGCCCUGAGCCGCUUCAUCUCACGCUUCGGCGAAAGAGGUCUGCCUCUGUACCGCCUCUUAAGGAAGGCCGAGUGUUUCGCUUGGACCCCUGAGACCGAGGAAGCUCUCGGGAACCUGAAGGCGCUCCUUACAAAGGCGCCUAUCUUGGUGCCCCCAGUUGAUGGAGAAGCCCUCUUGGUCUAUGUCGCCGCGACCACUCAGGUGGUUAGCGCCGCGAUUGUGGUCGAGAGGCAAGAAGAGGGGCAUGCAUUGCCCGUUCAGAGGCCAGUCUACUUCGUCAGCGAGGUACUGUCCGAAACCAAGAUCCGCUACCCACAAGUUCAGAAGCUGUUAUAUGCAGUAAUCCUGACGAGGCGGAAGUUACGACACUACUUCGAGUCUCAUCCGGUAACUGUGGUGUCAUCCUUCCCCCUGGAGGAGAUCAUCCAGUGCCGAGAGGCCUCGGGCAGGAUCGCAAAGUGGGCGGUGGAAAUCAUGGGCGAAACAAUCUCGUUCGCUCCUCGGAAGGCCAUCAAGUCCCAGGUGUUGGCGGACUUCGUAGCCGAAUGGGUCGACACCCAGCUGCCGACGGCUCCGAUCCAACCGGAGCUCUGGACCAUGUUUUUCGACGGGUCGCUGAUGAAGACGGGAGCCGGCGCGGGCCUGCUCUUCAUCUCGCCCCUCGGGAAACACCUACGCUACGUGCUACGCCUCCAUUUCCCGGCGUCCAACAAUGUGGCUGAGUACGAGGCUCUGGUCAACGGGUUGCGGAUCGCCAUCGAGCUAGGGGUCAGACGCCUCGACGCCCGCGGUGACUCGCAGCUCGUCAUCGACCAAGUCAUGAAGAACUCCCACUGCCGCGACCCGAAGAUGGAGGCCUACUGCGAUGAGGUUCGGCGCCUGGGAGACAAGUUCUACGGGCUCGAGCUUAACCACAUCGCUCGGCGCUACAACGAGACUGCGGACGAGCUGGCGAAAAUAGCCUCGGGGCGAACGACGGUUCCCCCGGACGUCUUCUCCUAGGAUCUGCAUCAACCCUCCGUCAAGAUCAACGACACGCCCGAGCCCGAGGCACCCUCGGUCCAGCCCGAGGUACCCUCGGCUCAGCCCGAGGCAUAUUCGGUUCAGCCCGAGGUACCCUCGGCCCCCGAGGGCGAGGCACUGCACGUCGAGGAGGAGCAGAGCGGGGCCACGCUUGAUCGAAAUUGGCAGACCCCGUACCUGCAAUAUCUCCGCCAAGGAGAGCUACCCCUCGACCAAGCCGAGGCUCGGCGGGUAGCGCGACGCGCCAAGUCGUUCGUCUUGCUGGGCGAUGAGGAGGAGCUCUACCACCGCAGCCCCUCAGGCAUCCUCCAGCGAUGCAUCUCCAUCGCCGAAGGUCAGGAACUCCUGCAAGAAAUACACUCGGGGGCUUGCGGCCAUCACGCAGUGCCUCGAGCCCUUGUCGGGAAUGCUUUCCGGCAAGGCUUCUACUGGCCAACGGCGGUGGCUGACGCCACUAGAAUUGUCCGCACCUGCGAAGGGUGCCAAUUCUAUGCGAAGCAGACCCACCUGCCCGCUCAGGCUCUGCAGACGAUACCCAUCACCUGGCCCUUUGCUGUAUGGGGUCUGGACCUCGUCGGUCCCUUGCAGGAGGCGCCCGGGGGCUACACGCACCUGCUGGUCGCCAUCGACAAAUUCUCCAAGUGGAUCGAGGUCCGACCCCUGAACAGCAUCAGGUCCGAGCAGGCGGUGGCAUUCUUCACCAACAUCAUCCAUCGCUUCGGGGUCCCAAACUCCAUCAUCACCGACAACGGUACCCAGUUCACCGGCAGAAAAUUCUUGGAUUUUUGCGAGGAUCACCACAUCCAUGUGGACUGGGCCGCCGUGGCUCAUCCCAUGUCGAAUGGGCAAGUAGAGCGUGCCAACGGCAUGAUUCUACAAGGGCUCAAGCCUCGAAUUUACAACGACCUCAACAAGUUCGGCAAGCGAUGGAUGAAGGAACUCCCCUCGGUGGUCUGGAGCCUGAGGACAACGCCGAGCCGAGCCACGGGUUUCACGCCGUUCUUCCUGGUCUACGGGGCCGAGGCCAUCUUGCCCACUGACCUGGAAUACGGCUCCCCGAGGACGAGGGCCUACAACGAUCAAAGCAACCAAGCUAGCCGAGAAAAAUCGCUGGACCAGCUGGAAGAGGCUCGGGACAAGGCCUUACUAUACUCGGCGCGGUACCAGCAGUCCCUGUGACGCUACCACGCCCGAGGGGUCUGGCCCCGAGACCUCCAGGUGGGCGACCUGGUGCUUCGGCUGUGGCAAGACGCCCGAGGGAGGCACAAGCUCACGCCCCCCUGGGAGGGGCCAUUCGUCAUCGCCAAAGUUCUGAAGCCCGGAACAUACAAGCUGGCCAACAAUCAAGGCGAGAUCUACGGCAACGCUUGGAACAUCAAACAACUACGUCGCUUCUACCCUUAAGAUGUUUUCAAGUUGUUCAUAUACCUCGCACCCACGCAAAGUUUAGUCAUCAAGGAAGGGUCGGCCUCGCCUCGGCAAGGCCCGACCCUCCCUCGAGGGCUAAAAGGGGGGGGACCCCCUCUGCGUCAAAAUUUUCCUCAAAAAAAGAUCUCUUUUAGCAGAAUAUCUUUCGUGCUUUUUGACUACUUCGGAAAGCGGAUCCUGAAAACGACGGAGUACACGUAAGCAGUCAAGGCUGACCGAGCCGAGGGACUCCUACGCCUCCGGGAUACGGAUACCUCACUCAUCACCUUCUGCGAUAAGUAACUCGCGUUCGGAUAAAGUGAUUCCGCGGACCGAACAUGUCUUUACGUUCGGAAGCUCUUCUGCCGAAGCGGUCCUUCAAGCCUUCUCGACUGAAUCGGUGACAGGGCCUCAUGGACGGGUGAAAGUACGCGUAAGCGGCAAGGCCGACCGAGCCGAGGGACUCCCACGCCUCCGGGAUACGGAUACCUCACUCAUCACCUUCCGCGAGAAGCAACUCUCGCUCGCACAAACAUCCCUGUUACCGACAAAAGGUCCAGAUGCUCGAAAUAGGAGGAAAGGAGACGCAGCUUUACAACGCAGCGAGGGUGUGUUUUCUGGCCUCAGCGGCCGCAGAAGGCACACGCUACAAGACAAUCUGAUCCUGCAGGCUCGGGUCUUCACGCUGGAAGGGGGCUGUAGCACCCUCGGCUUCGACGACACCUUCAGCGAGGUCUGUCCCAGCCUCAGACGGCGACACGGUCCAGGGACUUCUCCGGGAAUCCGGACCGAGCAGGCGGCUCGGCCGGUUACCCCCGGGGCCUCGGCUGACCAUCCUCCAAGGGCGCCAGCCCGGUCCGAGGCCUCGGCUGAUCAACUCCGGCGUCGGUCCCGCUGACGGACAACCCGGCUAGGCUCCGGCCAACCAGGUUUUCAUUUUCGAGCCAACUCCGCCUCUGUUCGUGCUGAUAUCGCUACCCCUGGCCUCGGCUCAUCGAAGAGCGGCCAAGGGGUCUCUUUAACUAAGCUAGAGGAGCCUCAGACAACAAGGCCGAUCGAGCCGAGGGACUCCUACGCCUCCGGGAUACGGAUACCUCACUCGUCACCUUGACACGGGGCGACUCAUGCUUGGUGAAGCGGUUUAGAUAAUCAACAGGCGAGACUUAGUGCUCGAAAAUGAGGAAAAGACACGGCUCCGUGCCGAAAUUACAUACAUGUUCAGGCCUCGACAGCCACAAUGAACAAAAACACUGGCAUUCAAAGUGCCAUUACAAACGGAACUCCGGUUCCCCCUCCGCAGGUACGAACAACCCCACUCCGUGGGGGAAGGCCUGCGGAGCAACAGAAGACCGACGAACGGCGCGCCGUCACCUGCUCCAGCAGCGGCGACGACGACGACUUCUGCUCCGGGGGGCCGAACAGCGGCAGCACUGACCUCAGGGCGGAUGCUGCUGCCAGGAGGCCCCCGCCCAUGCCAAAACUUGUGAGGCAAGGACGGGCAGAAGGCCGUAGAGUUGAAGGUCGGUCCGUGGCCGGCCUUGGCUAUCUCGCCGGCAGAAGAACCUCUUCAAGCUGCCGUGGCGGACGCCGGCGCCGCGAGCGGCUCCGAAGCCACUCGCGUCCGAGAGCCAGGCACGGUGCAGCUGCCAGCGCCACGAACGACGACCGCCCUUCCCUCCGAUAAUUGAGUGAAGGAGCGGGCCGCCGCCCAUGCGGGGGCCGACCUCAACUCGGCACACUCCCCUCCCCAGCCCUGGUGAUGAAAAUCCUUGAGGCUGAGGGAGGGGCAGAGGCCGCAGCCCGGCUCGCUUUCCCCCACCAUCAAGCCGGAGGUCACCAUCUUGGGUGACCACCGACGGGGGGAUACAGCCGGGCUGCAUGAUGAAAAUCCUUGAAGCCGAACGAUGGCUGAAAGGUACCAACUCCCACGGAGUUGCGUUCCUCCAACGAUGAGGCGGAAAGACGGCGGUUACCCCCCAUCCGGGGGCUUGGAAGGUGGAAAGACACGACGCAUAAGGGAGGAAGAAGACAUGGUCGCCCUCCGAAAGGGGUCACCCUCCUUUUAAAGGCAAUUCUCCCUACGUGCGCCCCCAAACGUCACGGGCUGAGUCUUCUCCAACACGCUCCAAGGCCCUCCCCUGCGGCGCGGGGGCUGGGUCCCGCAUGUCAUGCAAACCGGCGCAGAGCAGAAGAAGCCACACCGCCGCGCGUGGCGCACACAACCGCCCAGCAGUUACAAGCGACCCCCCACUUUUGCCCAGACCAAUGGGCGGAAGGGGCGGGCAGCCAUGCAGGCGGCAUGCAACCGCGCCAGGUGGACGCGCUUCUCCGACUCCCAACACGCCAGCAUGGAGGCCCAGGCCCACGCGUCACGCAACCGGCGCGCCAGAUGCUGCAUGCAAGCAACUGCACCGCCAUUUGCGCCACCACCGCGCCUCUUCGGUUACGGAACCAAUACCGCGACUCAAGGCGGCCCAGCGCACGACCCAGCAGCGCCAGCCUGGCGCGACGGUCAAUGCAGCCGAAAGUGGGCCGGCAGUGAUGACGGUGGCAGGCGGGCGGGAGCGGCGGUCACGUCGUCGGCCAGACUCACGUCCCAUCCAGGGGCAGCAAGAGAACCCCCUCUCACGGCGUGAAGAUAGGGCGCCCGUGAUCCGUUCCUCGAACGGCUCGCGCACGCGCAACGGCCGCCCCGCCAACCACUCGCCCCAUCGCACUAACUCCGCGGUGGGACAGGCGGCGCUUCUGGCAGGAGAAGCGGGCGACGCUUCGCCUUCGCCGUAAUAACCGCGUCAAAAAAAGGUACGCCACGUCGUUCGAUUUCGUAUCCUUUUCCUUUUUUCCUCUUUCUCUAUCUCUUGCAACAGGGACCGGGAAAGGGGGAUACCCUGAAAAGGAUCCUUCCCUGUGAAGGAACCGGGCUCCGAGCCCCCCUACUGAUCAGAGGUUCGAAGGCUGGCCCUCCGAGGGGUUCAACAGUCGCCUCAGAUCGCGUGGGCCCUACACCCACUACUGGUCAGAGGUUCGAAGGCCGGCCCCCCCGAAGGGCUCCACGGCCGCCUCAGGCUACUCGGGCUCCGCGCCCAUUACUGAUCAGGGGUUCGAAGGCUGGCCCCCGAAGGGUUCACAGUCGCCUCAGACGCCGAGCGAGGGAUAACCAGGGAUACGUUCGAUACAUAACCGAGGCUCGGGCUGCGCUCCCGAGGUACCCUAGGACAUUUCCGAGACCAGCGGGAGCGAUCUUGUAACGGAAUCCCAUCAGAGGGAGGUAUCGAGCCCUCGGACCCCGUCGCCAGGGGACCGGGUCCGGCAGAUCACCCGCAGGUACUUUUGGGCGUGCCUCUGGGCCCCUAGCCGACCCCCAACAAACGGGGCACGGACGUCCACUCGGAUUACCCGCUUGCAGCUCACCGGAGACACCAUGUUCGGUGCCCAUCGAGGGUAACAUGGCGCUCUCCCCCUCUCCUCCUUGCAGAAAGGCGACGUAGGGGCGUAUGUAAAAAAGCCGAGUCUGUCCCUGAUCGCCCUCUCACCCUGUGCGGAGGCUCGGGGGCUGCUCUCGCAAACCCGGCUCCGGCCGAACCGUUGACAGCGUCAACAUACCAGCCCGAGAGCUUGGGCCCCGACCGUGCACCCGGGCUACGGCCAGUUCGCAUGAGGGAACAACCAGACCAGCCGAAGCAUUACGCAAGGCAUUAAGACCUCGGGGGAGUGAAACCACUCCUCCGAGGCCUCAGGGGCUACACCCGGCGGGUGCGCUCGCGCGCACCCACCGGAACAAAAUGCAACCGAGAAAGGCUGGUCCCCUUGCAAAAAAGUGCGACGAAAGCCUCCAAGCGAGUGCUAACACUCCCUUCGAGGCUCGGGGGCUACUGUCGGGGACCAUAAUUAGGGGUACCCUCAAGACGCCUAAUUCUCAGCUGGUAACCCCCAUCAGCAUAAAGCUGCAGAGGCCUGAUGGGUGCGAUUAAGUCAGGGAUCAGUCCAUACGAGCGACUCGAUCACGCCUCGCCCGAGCCUAGCCUCGGGCAAGGGCAGCCGACCCCGAGGGAUUUCCGUCUCGCCCGAGGCCCCCCUUUAACGGCGGACACAUCUCCGGCUCGCCCGAGGCCUUGCCUUCGCUAAGAAGCAACCCUGACUAAAUCGCCGCGCCGACCGACCGAGUCGCAGGAGCAUUUAACGCAAAGGUAGCCUGACACCUUUAUCCUGACGCGCGCCCCCCGGCAGAGCCGAAGUGACCGCCGUCACUUCGCCGCUCCACUGACCGAUCUGACAGAAGGACAGCGCCGCCUGCGCCACUCCGACUGCAGUGCCAUUUGACAGAGUGAGACUGUCAGGCAGUCAGGCCUUGCCAAAGGCGCCAUAGGAAACUCCGCUCCGCCCGACCGAGGGCUCGGACUCGGGCUAAGCCCCGGAAGACGGCGAACUCCGCACCGCCCGACCCAGGGCUCGGACUCGGGCUAAGCCCCGGAAGACGGCGAACUCCGCACCGCCCGACCCAGGGCUCGGACUCGGGCUAAGCCCCGGAAGACGGCGAACUCCGCUCCGCCCGACCCAGGGCUCGGACUCGGGCUAGGCCCCGGAAGACGGCGAACUCCGCUCCGCCCGACCCAGGGCUCGGACUCGGGCUAGGCCCCGGAAGACGACGAACUCCGCUCCGCCCGACCUAGGGCUCGGACUCGGGCUCAGCCCCAGAAGACGACGAACUCCGCUUCGCCCGACCCCAGGGCUCGGACUCCGCCCUGGCCUCUGCCGAACAACCUCCGCCUCGCCCGACCCAGGGGCUCGGGCUCGGCCUCGGCCAUGGAAGACAGACUCGACCUCGGCUUCGGAGGAGCCUCCACGUCGCCCGACCUAGGGCACAGGCCCGCCACGUCAACAGGAAGCGCCAUCAUCACCCUACCCCGAGCCGACUCGGGCCGCAGAGAACAAGACCGAUGUCCCAUCUGGCUAGCUCCGCCAGAUAGGCAAUGAUGGCGCCCCGCUAGCCCUGUGACGACGGCGGCUCUCAUCCCCCUUACGGAAGCAGGGGGACGUCAGCAAGGACUCAACCGCUCCGACAGCUGUCCCUCCGCCAGGUUCCGUUGCUCCUCCGACAGCCACGACAUCACACCAGCAGGGUGCCAAGAUCUCUCCGGCUGCCACAUUGGCAUGUACUUAGGCGCUAGCUCUCCCUCCGCUAGACACGUAGCACUCUGCUACAUCCCCAUUGUACACCUGGAUCCUCUCCUUACGCCUAUAAAAGGAAGGACAAGGCCUUCUUAGAGAAGGUUGGCCGCGCGGGGACGAGGACGGGACAGGCGCUCUCUUGGGGCCGCUCGCUUCCCUCACCCGCGUGGACGCUUGUAACCCCCUACUGCAAGCGCACCUGACCUGGGCGAGGGACAAACACGAAGGCCGCGGGAUUUCCACCUCUCUCACGCCCGUCUCCGGCCACCUCGCUUUCCCCCUUCGCGCUCGCCCACGCGCUCGACCCAUCUGGGCUGGGGCACGCGACACACUCACUCGUCGGCUUAGGGACCCCCCGGUCUCGAAACGCCGACAUUAAUAUACUAGUUUUUCAGCAGAGACUGUUAAGUUGAACUUCCGCCUAGAACUCCAAGCUACACCAACCCACAACUUGGACAAUGGACUAUGCCUUGAAUUGCAAGUUUUGCGUGAAUGGGUUUCACUUGAAGUCAUGACCAGUACUUGGCUACCAGUAGUCCCCUUCUCGGGUGGAGCAUAUACGUCGUACUCCAAGGUCUCUUCAUGAGUUUACUAGAGAUCACCCAAAUCUCAUAGACUGCGAUGUUAGACAGUCUAACUCAUAUAGGUGUGUUCUUUCAAAGAAUGUUCUGCAGGACAACAUCUUCGCUAAUACAAGCCAACAGAACACAUUAAGGCACAAAGCCAACCUGCCUUACAGCAUUUGAGAGUAUUGCAUCUUUACUUAGAGAGGGUCAAAGGUUACUCUCCUUAGUUCACCAAUGGCUUGUUCUUCCCAGGACCUAAUUCACGGGAUCUCCGAUCACAUAGACUGGGUUUCCACCAUGGCAACUUUAUUCGGGUCUCAUACCCAUCUCUCUCGAUGCGAUUUCUAUCACAUUACGUGGUAGUCCCUUGGUAAAAGGAUCUGCCAGAUUUUUAUCUGUUGAAAUAUAAGUCACACUUAUAACUCCGGAGUUUCUCAACUUUCUGACAGACUUCAAUCGUCUUUUGACAUGUCUUGAUGACUUUCCAUUAUCCUUAGAACUCGUCACUUUAGCAAUCACUGUCUGAUUGUCACAGUUCAUAAGGAUAGCUGGUAUUGGUUUCUCAACCACCGGCAAGUCCAUCAAGAGUUCACGCAACCAUUCUGCCUCAACGGUUGCUGUGUCAAGUGCAGCUAGCUCGGCUUCCAUGGUUGACCUCGUCAAAAUGGUCUGCUUGCAUGACCUCCAUGAUACCGCACCUCCACCAAUAGUAAAGACAUAACCACUGGUGGCAUAAAGCUCGUCUGCAUCAGAUAUCCAGUUCGAAUCACUAUAUCCUUCAAGUACUGCAUGCUGACCAGAAUAGUGAAUUCCAUAACUCAUUGUACCUUGCAGGUAGCGCAUAACCCGCUCAAGUGCAUGCCAAUGAUCAGUCCCGGGGUUUGACAUGAACCUACUCAAUUUGCUCACAGCAAACGAGAUAUCGGGCCUUGUUGCACCAGCAAGAUACAUGAGUGAACCGACAAUCUGAGAGUAUCUCAAUUGGUCUAAACCAAUUCUCUUGUUCUUUCGCAGUGUCACACUGGGAUCAUAAGGUGUUGGAGAAGGUUUGCACUCAGAGAAGCCAAAUCGCUUCAAAACCUUUUCAACAUAGUGAGAUUGCGAGAGAGUAAUCCCACCAUCUGCCUUAAUCAGCUUGAUGUUUAGAAUCACAUCAGCUUCUCCCAGAUCUUUCAUAUCAAAACUCUUUGAUAGAAAAGACUUGACUUCAUUGAUCACAUCAAUGUUUGUGCCAAAUAUCAAUAUAUCAUCAACAUAUAAGCACAAUAUAACUCCUUCGCCCCCACCACAGCGAUAAUAUACACACCUGUCUGCCUCAUUAAUGGCAAAGCCUGCAGACGUUAGAGUCGUGUCAAACUUCUCAUGCCACUGCUUUGGUGCUUGCUUCAGACCAUACAAAGAUUUCAAUAAUUUGCACACCUUGCUUUCUUGACCCUUUACUACAAAUCCAUCAGGCUGUUCCAUAUAGAUUUCCUCGUCCAGCUCUCCAUUAAGAAAAGCUGUCUUUACAUCCAUCUGAUGAACAAGGAGACCAUACGAGGCAGCCAAAGAAAGUAGUACUCGAAUAGUGGUCAUUCUAGCAACAGGUGAGUAAGUAUCAAAGAAGUCUUCUCCUUCUUUCUGAGUAUAGCCUUUAGCCACAAGCCUAGCCUUGUACUUUUCAAUUGUACCAUCAGGCUUGAGCUUCUUUUUAAACACCCACUUACAACCCACAGGUUUGCAUCCAUAGGGUCGAUCAGUGACUUCCCACGUACCAUUUGAAAGAAUGGAGUCCAUCUCAUUAUGAACUGCUUCUUUCCAAUCAUCUGCAUCUGAAGAUGCAAAUGCUUCUGCAAUGGUAGUAGGAGUAUCGUCCACAAGGUACACAAUGAAAUCAUCACCAAAGGAUUUUUCAACCAUUUGUCUCUUGCUCCUUUUAGGAGCAUCAUUGUCAUCCUCCUCUAGGACAAUUUCAUGUGGCUGUUCAAAACUCUCAAUAGGUGUACUAUGUUCAGGAGUUAUCUCAGAAGAGUAUCUAGAAUUGCUAUGAAUGUCUUUCAUUGGAAAUAUAUGUUCAAAGAAAGUAGCAUCACGAGAUUCCAUAAUAGUAUCAACAUACACAUCAGGAACUUCAGAUUUAACUACUAAAAAUCUAUAUGCUAUGCUACACGAAGCAUAUCCAAGAAAGACACAAUCCACUGUCCUUGGACCAAGCUUGCGCUUUUUAUUAAUUGGUACAUUGACUUUCGCCAUGCACCCCCAAGUGCGCAAGUAUGAAAGUGAUGGUUUUCUCCCAACCCACUUCUCAUAAAGGGUUUUCUCUUCUUUGCCCAUAGGAAUUCUAUUCAGAACAUGACAUGAAGUCAGGACUGCCUCCCCCCACCAUGCCUUAGAUAAACCACAAGUGUCUAACAUGGCAUUCACCAGGUCAGUCAACGUACGGUUUUUCCUUUCAGCAAUCCUGUUUGACUUGGGUGAAUAGGGAGGAGUCCUCUCAUGAAUAAUGCCAUGUUCUGCGCAGAAAUCGUCAAAGACUUUGGGAAAGAACUCGCCACCAUGAUCUGAUCUAAGACGUUUGAUCUUUCUCUCUAGUUGGUUUUCAACCUCAGCCUUAUAGAUUUUAAAGUAGUCUAAAGCCUCAUCUUUAGUUUUUAGCAAGUAUACAUAGCAAAAUCUAGACGCAUCAUCAAUCAAUGUCAUGAAGUAUCUCUUACCACCUUUUGUCAACACACCAUUCAUCUCACAAAGAUCAGAAUGUAUGAGUUCUAGUGGUGCCAGGUGUCUCUCCUCAGCAGCCUUAUGAGGCUUUCGAGGUUGCUUCGACUGCACACAACUAUGGCACUUAGAACCUUUGACUAUGGUGAUAUUCGGAAUUAAACUCAUGGUUGCAAGCCGAGACAUAGAGCCAAAAUUAAUAUGACACAAACGAGAAUGCCAAAUACUCGCAAGAUCAUCAACAUUAGCACAAAUAUGGUUCACAGACUUAUUAUUGAAAUCUAACAAAGAAAAGCGGAACAAGCCUCCGCAAUCAUAGCCUUUACCAAUAAAUUGUCCAGACUUGGACACAACUAAUUUAUUGGACUCCAAAACUACCUUGAACCCAUCUCUACAUAGAAGGGUUCCGCUAACGAGAUUCUUGUGUAUAGAAGGGACAUGAUGCACGUUCUUCAGCUGCACGAUCUUUCCCGAAGUAAACUUCAGAUCCACCGUGCCAGUGCCAUGAACAGAAGCAUGUGACCCAUUCCCCAUUAGCACGGAAGAAUCCCGGGCGCCCUGAUAAGAGGAGAACAAGUUGAUGUCAGAACACACAUGAACAUUAGCACCAGUAUCAAGCCACCAGCUAGGUGAUUGAAAUACUGAGAAGAUGAAAGGUAAAUUAUCAUACCCUUUGUCUUCCUCAUUGCUAGCGACCACUAUGUUGACAUUGCCCUUUUUGCCACGGCGAUCCGCUCGAUCGGGACAAUCCUUGGCAAAAUGACCCGCCUCGCCACAUGCGAAACAUGUCAAUUCAGCCUUGUUCUUCUUCUUGAAGUUGGUAGUUUUGUUGGGCUUGUUAGAUUUUGGCUUUCCUUUCCCCUUGUUGUGGUUCCUUUGAACCAUGUUGGCGCUGGAGUUGCCCUCGCCUCCUUUAGAUCCCGUGUCCUUAGCCCGAGCUUUCUCCUCAACAUCUAGAGACGCUAUCAGAUUUUCAACUGAUAUCUCCUGUCUCUUAUGUUUCAGAGCUGUGGCGAAGUUUCUCCAUGUAGAAGGCAACUUUGCAAUAAUGCACCCAGCCACAAAUCGGUCAGGAAGGACUAUCUUAAGGUGGUCGAGUUCCUUGGCUAUACACUGUAUUUCAUGAGCUUGCUCUACAAUAGAGCGAUUAUCAACCAUCUUAUAAUCAUGAAAGCUCUCCAUGAUAUACAGGUCACUGCCAGCAUCUGAUGCACCAUACUUAGUAGUAAGUGCAUCCCACAACUCUUUCCCGUCCGUGUAUUGCAUAUUCGCAUCAACCAGACGGUCAACAAGGGCGCUAAGAACGGCUCCCGUGAACAUAGUAUUGGCAUGGUCGUACUCUUUCUCCUGUUCAGGAGUCAGUGGACCCUCAGGUCUGCCUUUACUAACAUGGAAGACAUUCAUAGCAGUAAGCCAGAGCGUGGCCUUGACUUGCCAUCUCUUAAAGUGCAUACCAUUAAACUUUUCUGGCUUCAGCGCGUCGGCAAAAGCAGCCAUAGAAAAACUAGGAAAUUGUCUACAAUAAGGUUUUUGGAUUGUUGAAUAAUUAGACAAAUUCCAAAUUAAAUUCCGAAUAUAAAUCAUGACCAAAUCAGAAGAACUGAAAUAAAAGCCAAAUCAGAUGAUGCGUACUGAUUAGACUUACUGAUUGUUGGCGCGCGCCAGGAUCAGCUGGGUCGACGAUGUCAGAAGAUCACGAGCAGUCGCGUGAAGACGCUUCCCAAAAACCUUAUUCGCCCUCUCCCGGUGCAGGAUCUAGAAGACGAAGGGUUCCGGAGACCUGCUCUCCUGAUCGCAGAUGCACCUCUGCGGUCGGAACGAAGGGAACUAAAAGGCGGCUCAGCUAUGAAGAGAGGCGAAAGCGAACUGGGAUCUGGGAUGAUUUGGAGGCUGGCUGCCGGGCUCCUUUUAUAGGGCCGAGUCCGCGACCCCCGUGCUUAUCCGCCCACGAAAAUCUCGCAAUCAAUUGAGAUUUUAUAGCGAUCGGUUAGGAUAAGCGUAACAGCCAAGAAACCAAAAAAUCAAACGGCAAAAGGUAGCCACGCCCCCGCAAGGCGAGGGGCCGGAUUUCGGCGGACCAUUCACGCGCAUGUCAUGCGCCCGCGCCCUUCGCCCCGCCCCGCCCCGCCCCGCCCCGGCCCAGCCAGGCCAGGCCAGGCCAGGCCAGGCGAGGCGAGCGAGCGCGCGCGCGCGUGGCUCUCCACACUCUCUCCUCUCAUCCAUGACUUGGUGAGUGAGUGUGGCUUCCAUAUUUAAGCUAGCUCUACUCCACUAGAGCUAGCAAUAUGGUGCUAAUGGUUCCACCUAUCCUCUAGCCAUCCUCUUGUAUGGCUUUUGAGAUUUUCUGGGAUUUAUUUGAAUUUCUUAAUUGGGCCAAGCCCAUAAAUCCUAACAUAUCAUUCACAUCACAUUAUAUAUCAAUCACAUCACAUAAUGAACACAUUUAUCAUCAACACCAUAUAUAUCACAAAGUCUCACAAAAGUCUCACAAAACAGAUCACAAGUCUCAAUAAAGUCAGAAUCAUCACAAAACAGAUAUAAGUCUGCAUCAUCACUAACAUCACCAAGUAUCUCACAAGAUAAAGUCUAACUAACAUCACCAACACUCAUAAAGGUAAGUCUGGAUCAUCACAAAACAGAUCAUCAAUGAGGUGGGCAUCUGGACUGGUUCGGCGAAGGGCUGGACGAAGCAUGAGGGUUGUUCGACGCCGCUGAUUGACCCUGCACAGAGAAGAGAUUGUAUGUGUGAGAACAUAUGAAUAUAUAUCAUGCAGUACUAAAAUUUUGAUACUCACAGGAGUAGUGAACUCUGUAGGGUCAGCUGCAGGGAACAACGGAGGUGGUGGAGCAUGACCCUGUGCGGCGCCAAGGCUCUGCAUGUACGCGAACAUCUCCGCCAUCCUCUUCUCCAGCUCCUCACGUUGCCUCCUCUCAUCAUCUAGCUGAGUCUGUAAUAUUUUGCCCUAAUGUUACGAUAAUGCAAAGAGAAGAUAUAUAAAAGUCAAUGAACGAUGAAUAGAUAAGGAAUAACCUGGAGUUGCUGGAUACGAUGCUGUGAGGUGUCCUGCCGAGGUCGUAUGGCUGGGCUCGCGCUCGUGCUCCUUGCUCGCACCUGAGAGAGAGUGGGAGUGGAGGACGAGUCGAUUGCCCCGUCGGCAAUCCAGUACCGCCCAUGCCUCUUGCCUCCUCCGACCCUCAUGAGGACAUCUCCGUCGAUGUCCAUGGUCCUCGGAUCGUAAUCUGGCCCAUGGACCUCCUUGGCCAUGGCGGUGUACUCACUGAGUCGGCUGUGGAUGGCGGGGUUGGUGUACGCCUCAGGCCCGUCAUCCGGGUUGUAGGUGACGUCGGACGUCGCCUUCCCCUUGUGGGCCAUGGCAUAUGCCGAGAACGUGGAGCAAGGCGCGCCACCAUGUGCCGCCGACUACGAGAAAACCAACGAGAUGGUUAGAAAUCAUGUCUAAUCGAAAGUUAUAUACCUAAAUAAAAAAGAGUGCAUACCCAUGCUUCCGCGUAUUUGCCCAGGCUGCGGCUGCCUUGAUGGUGGGAGGGACCUUGCAUCAGCAAACGCCGUUCCCGGCUAGCGUUGUGCGCCUCAUCCCACUCAGCCGAGCACCACCUCUGCACCAUCUGCUCCCAGCACUCAGGAUGCGCGGCGCACCAAUGAGGAAUCAUCUAAAAAAAUAUAAGUACACAGCAUAUCAGAAGAAAAAAAUAAGCAUAUUUAGUACCAAUAAUAAAGUUUUGUAUUUACCUGCAAGUACUGGUCCGGAGUCAACGACAUGGUUCGGGCGUCCUUCUUGUUCACCUUCUCCCCAAGGACGGAGCCGUGGUAAGUGACGAUGGCCUGGAUGCGCGCCUCGUAGUGCAUGUCCACGACGAGCUUCUUACAGCACGUCGUAGACACCACAUCCGCCUUGGCCUCGUAUCCAGCAUCGCACCUGAAGAAAUCCUACAUACAAAGACAAUGUAUCCAUACAUUAUUUCAAGAAUAUGCAACAAAUGCGACUUAUUAAACAAUAUAGUGCGAGGAAGACUUACCCACAGCUCUUGCUUCACCCGCUCCGCCUUGUUGUUGAAUUGUCUGCCGUCCCGAUCUACUGCAUCGGGGGCGACGACGUAGUGGUCGAAGGUGUAUGCUGGGCUCGUCACUCCGGCGUACUCGACAAGUCCAGGGAAGUGUUCCCGGCAUAGAAGGCCGAGGAUGCCAUUGGGGUUGCGGCCGUGACCCCCUGCAGUCUCCAAAACCAUCCAAGACCUGUCCAAGUGAUUAAGAUGAAGUAUUAGUUUCUAUUAUUAAUUUGAACAUAUAAUAUGAAAAAGCAGCAACAACAUCUAAAGUUACCUACCUCUCUCCAUCGGGUCGUAUCAGCGGACGUCUGUCACGAAGUAUGGGUCGCUUAGGGAGGCUCGCGGGACCUCGCAGGUAGAUACUUGUCGGCGUUUCGAGACCAGGGGGUCCCUCGGGCCGAUGAGUGAGUGUCGCCGCGUGCCCCAGCCCAGAUGGGUCGAGCGCGUGGGCGAGCGCGAAGGGGGGAAGGAGCGAGGCGGCCGGUGACCGGCGUGAGAGAGGUGGGAAUCCCGCGGCCUUCGUGUUCGUCCCGCGCCCAGGUCGGGUGCGCUUGCAGUAGGGGGUUACAAGCGUCCACGCGGGAGAGGGAAGCGAGCGGCCCCAAGAGAGCGCCUGUCCCGUCCUCGUCCCCGCGCGGCCAACCUUCUCUAAGAGGGCCCUAGUCCUUCCUUUUAUAGGCGUAAGGAGAGGAUCCAGGUGUACAAUGGGGGUGUAGCAGAGUGCUACGUGUCUAGCGGGGGAGAGCUAGCGCCCUAAGUACAUGCCGAUGUGGCAGCCAGAAAGAUUUUGGCACCCAGCUGGUGUGAUGUCGUGGCCGUCGGAGGAGCGACGGAGCCUGGCGGAGGGACAGCUGUCGGAGCGGUUGAGUCCUUGCUGACGUCCUCCUGCUUCCGUAAGAGAGCUGAGAGCCGCUGUCGUCACAGAGCAUGCGGGGCGCCAUCAUUGCCUAUCUGGCGGAGCUAGCCAGAUGGGACACCGGUCUUGUUCUCUGCGGCCCGAGUCAGCUCGGGGUAGGGUGAUGAUGGUGCUUCCUGUUGACGUGGCUGGCUUGCGCCCUAGGCUGGGCGACAUGGAGGCUCCUCCAAAGCCGAGGUCGAGUCUGUCUUCCAUGGCCGAGGCCGAGUCCGAGCCCCUGGGUCGGGCGAGGCGGAGGUCGUUCGGUAGAGGCCAGGGCGGAGUUCGAGCCCUGGGGUCGGGCGAAGCGGAGUUUGUCGUCUUCUGGGGCUGAGCCCAAGUCCGAGCCCUGGGGUCGGGCGGAGCGGAGUUCGUCGUCUUCUGGGGCUGAGCCCAAGUCCGAGCCCUAGGGUCGGGCGGAGCGGAGUUCGUCGUCUUCCGGAACCUAGCCCGAGUCCGAGCCCUGGGUCGGGCGGAGCGGAGUUCGCCGUCUUCCGGGACCUAGCCCGAGUCCGAGCCCUGGGUCGGGCGGAGCGGAGUUCACCGUCUUCCGGGACCUAGCCCGAGUCCGAGCCCUGGGUCGGGCGGAGCGGAGUUCGCCGUCUUCCGGGACCUAGCCCGAGUCCGAGCCCUGGGUCAGGCGGAGCGGAGCUUCCUAUGGUGCCUUUGGCAGGGCCUGACUGCCUGCCAGUCUCACUCUGUCAAGUGGCACUGCAGUCGGAGUGGCGCAGGUGGCGCUGUCCUUCUGUCAGGCCGGUCAGUGGAGCGGUGAAGUGACGGCGGUCACUUCGGCUCUGCUGGGGGGCGUGCGUCAGGAUAAAGGUGUCAGGCCACCUUUGCGUUAAAUGCUCCUGCGAUUCGGUCGGUCGGUGCGGCGAUUUAGUCAGGGUUGCUUCUUAGCGAAGGCAGGGCCUCGGGCGAGCUGGAGAUGUGUCCGCCGUUGGAGGGGGGCCUCGGGCGAGACGGAAAUCCUCCGGGGUCGGCUGCCCUUGUCCGAGGCUAGGCUCGGGCGAGGCAUGAUCGAGUCGGUCGAAUGGACUGAUCCCUGACUUAAUCGCACCCAUCAGGCCUUUGCAGCUUUAUGCUGAUGGGGGUUACCAGCUGAGAAUUAGGAGUCUUGAGGGUACCCCUAAUUAUGGUCCCUGACAGUAGCUCCCGAGCCUCGAAGGGAGUGUUAGCACUCGCUUGGAGGCUUUCGUCGCACUUUUUUGCAAGGGGACCAGCCUUUCUCGGUUGCAUUUUGUUCCGGUGGGUGCGCGCGAGCGCACCCGCCGGGUGUAGCCCCCGAGGCCUCGGGGGAGUGGUUUCGCUCCUCCGAGGUCUUAAUGCCUUGCGUAAUGCUUCGGCUGGUCUGGUUGUUCCCUCAUGCGAACUGGCCGUAGCCCGGGUGUACGGUCGGGGCCCAAGUUCUCGGGCUGGAAUGUUGACGCUGUUAACGGUUCGGCCGGAGCCGGGUUUGCGAGAGCAGCCCCCGAGCCUCCGCACAGGGCGAGAGGGCGAUCAGGGACAGACUCGGCUUUUUUACAUACGCCCCUGCGUCGCCUUUCCGCAAGGAGGAGGGGGGGGGGGAAAGCGCCAUGUUACCCUCGAUGGGCGCCGAACAUGGUGUCUCCGGUGAGCUGCAAGCGGGUAAUCCGAGUGGACGUCCGUGCCCCGUUCGUUAGGGGUCGGCUAGGGGCCCAGAGGCACACCCAAAAGUACCUGCGGGUGAUCUGCCGGACCCGGUCCCCUGGCGACGGGGUCCGAGGGCUCGAUGCCUCCCUCUGAUGGGAUUCCGUUACAAGAUCGCUCCCGCUGGUCUCGGAAAUGUCCUAGGGUACCUCGGGAGCGCAGCCCGAGCCUUGGUUAUGUAUCGAACGUACCCUUGGUCAUCCCUCGCUCGGCGUCUGAGGCGGCUGUGAACCCUUCGGGGCCAGCCUUCGAACCCCUGAUCAGUAAUGGGCGCGGAGCCCGAGUAGCCUGAGGCGGCCGUGGAACCCUUCGGGGGGGGGGGGCGGCCUUCGAACCUCUGACCAGUAGUGGGUGUAGGGUCCACGCGAUCUGAGGCGGCUGUUGAAACCCUUCGGGGGGCCAGCCUUCGAACCUCUGAUCAGUAAGGAGGCUCGGAGCCUGGUUCCUUCACGGGGAAGGAUCUUUUUCGGGGUAUCCCCCUUUCCCGGUCCCUGUUGCAAGAGAUAGAGAAAGAGGAAAAACGGAAAAGGAUACGAAAUCGAACGACGCGGCAUACCUUUUUUGGCGCGGUUAUUACGGCGAAGGCGAAGCGUCGCCCGCUUCUCCUGCCAUAGGUGCCGCCUGUCCCGCCGCGGAGUUAAUGCGACGGGGCGAGUGGUUGGCGGGGCGGUCGUCGCGCGUGCGCGAGCCGUUCGAGGAACGGAUCACGGGCGUGUUGUCUUCACGCCGUGAGAGGAGGUUCUCUUGCUGCCCCCGGAUGGGACGUGAGCUUGGCUGACGACGUGACCGCUGCUCCCGCCCGCCUGCCACCGUCAUUACUGCCGGCCCACUUUCGGACGCAUUGACCGCCGCGCCAGGCUGGCGCUGCUGGGUCGUGUGCUGGGUCGCCUUGAGUCGCGGUAUUGGUUCUGCAACCGAAGAGGCGCGGUGGUGGCGCAAGUGGCGGUGCAGUCGCUUGCACGCAGCAUCUGGCGCGCCGGUUACAUGACGCGUGGGCCUGGGCCUUCAUGCUGGGCGUGUCGGGAGUCGGAGAAGCGCGUCCACUUGGCGCGGUUGCAUGCCGUCUGCAUGGCUGCCCGCCUCUUUCGCCCGUUGGUCUGGGCAAAAGUGGAGGGUCACUUGUAACCGCUGGGCGGUUGUGUGCACCACGCGCGGCGGUUUGGCUUCUUCUGCUCCGAGCCGGUUUGCAUGACAUGCGGGACCCAGCCCCCGCGCCGCAGGGGAGGGCCUUGGAGCGUGUUGGAGAAGACUUAGCCCGUGACGGUUGGGGGCGCAAGUAGGGAGAGUUGCCUUUAAAAGGAGGGCGACCCCUUUCGGAAGGCGACCAUGUCUUCUCACUCCCUUAUGCAUCGCGUCUUUCCACCUUCCAAGCCCCCGGAUGGGGGAUACCCGCCGUCUUUUCGCCUCAUCGUUGGAGGAACGCAACUCCGUGGGAGUUGGUACAUUUCAGCCAUCGUUCGGCUUCAAGGAUUUUCAUCACACGGCCCGGUUGCUCCCCUCCGCUGGUGGUCACCCAAGACGGUGACCUCUAGCUCCUGGAUGGGGAGAGGCAAGCCGGGCUGUGAUCCCGAUCCCGCCCUCAGCAUCGAGGGUGUUCGUCAUCCUUGCUGGGGCGGGGAGCGAGGCGAGUCGGGGCUCUACCUCCUGCGCGGGUCGGCGGGCCACCUCUUCUUCCAGCUUCUGGUGGUGGCAAUCGCCCUCCAGCCCUAUGGCGGAGACGUCCUCCAGCCAUGCCGGGGAAGGCGAACUAUUGCUGCCCAGCUAGGAUGCAACAUUCCGCCCUCUCCCUCGCAUUCGCGGCGAGGACGGCAGCGAGGACCUGCCGGUGCGCUUGGGAGUGGCCCGCUCUUUGGCUUUAAUAGCUGGUUCACGUCCCUUGAGCGGGACCGCGAACGAGAGCCCUCCGGUGGCCGCGUCCACCCGGGACCAUGGCUGCUGCUGCAGAGGUCGUUGGCAGGUCCCCCGACGUUCGUCGCUCCGCAGGCUCGAGGUUGCUCAUACCCGUGGGGGACGGAACCAGAGUUCCGUUUGUAAUGGCAUUUUGAAUGCCAGUGUUUUUGUUCAUUAUGGCUGUCGAGGCCUGAACAUGUAUGUAAUUUUGGCACGGAGCCGUGUUUUUUCCUCAUUUUCGAGCACUAAGACUCGCCUGUUGAUUAUCUGAACCGCUUCACCAAGCAUGAGUCGCCCCGUGUCAAGGUGACGAGUGAGGUAUCCGUAUCCUGGAGGCGUAGGAGUCCCUCGGCUCGGUCGGCCUUGUUGUCUGAGGCUCCUCUAGCUUAGUUAAAGGGACCCCUUGGCCGCUCUCUGACGAGCCGAGGCCAGGGGUAGCGAUAUCAGCAUGAACAGAGGCGGAGUUGGCUCGAAAAUGAAACCUGGUUGGCCGGAGCCUGGCCGGGUUGUCCGUUAGCGGGACCGACGCCGGAGUUGAUCAGCCGAGGCCUCGGGUCGAGCUGGCGCCCUUGGGAGAUGGUUGGCUGAGGCCCCAGGGGUAACCGGCCGAGCCGCCUGCUCGGGCUGGAUUCCCGGAGAAGUCCCUGGCAGCGAUUGUCCGGGCGUGGCGAUGACGUCGUCCUCCAGAGUGGGGAUCCCUGGACCGCGUCGCCGUCUGAGGCUAGGUCGGACCUCGCUGAAGGUGUCAUCGAUGCCGAGGGUGCUACUGCCCCCUUCCAGCAUCAAGACCCGAGCCUGCAGGAUCAGAGUGUCUUGUAGCGUGUGCCUUCUGCGGCCGCCGAGGCCAGAACACACACCCUCGCUGUGUUGUAAAGUUGUGUCUCUUUUCCUCUUGUUUUGAGUAUCUGGACUUUUUUGUCGGUAACAGGGUUGUUUGUGCGAGCGAGAGUUGCUUCUCGCGGAAGGUGAUGAGUGAGGUAUCCGUAUCCCGGAGGCGUGGGAGUCCCUCGGCUCGGUCGGCCUUGCCGCUUACGCGCACUUUUACCCGUCCAUGAGGCCCUGUCACCGACUCAGUCGAGAAGGCUCGAAGGAUCGCUUCGGCCGAAGAGCUUCCGAACGUGAAGACUUGUUCGGUCCGCGGAAUCACUUUAUCCGAACGCGAGUUACUUAUCGCAGAAGGUGAUAAGUGAGGUAUCCGUAUCCCGGAGGCGUAGGAGUCCCUCGGCUCGGUCAGCCUUGGCUGCUUACGUGUACUCCGUCGUUUUCAGGAUCCACUUUUCGAAGUAGUCAGAAAGCACGAAAGAUAUUCUGGCAGAAGAGAUCUUUUUUCGAGGAAAAUUUCAACACAGAGGGGGUUCCCCCCCUUUUAGCCCCCGAGGGAGGGUCGGGCUUUGCCGAGGCGAGGCCGACCCUUCCUUGAUGACUAAACUUUGCGUGGGUGCGAGGUAUAUGAACAACUUGAAAACAUCUUAAGGGUAGAAGCAACGUAGCUGUUGGAUGUUCCAAGCGUUGCCGUAGACCUCGCCUUGACUGUUGGCCAGCUUGUACGUUCCGGGCUUCAGAACUUUGGCGAUGACGAAUGGCCCCUCCCAGGGGGGCGUGAGCUUGUGCCUCCCUCGGGCGUCUUGCCGCAGCCGAAGCACCAGGUCGCCCACCUGGAGGUCUCGGGGCCGGACCCCUCGGGCGUGGUAGCGUUGCAGGGACUUCUGGUACCGCGCCGAGUGUAGUAAGGCCUUGUUCCGAGCCUCUUCCAGCUAGUCCAGCGAGUCUUCUCGGCUAGCUUGGUUGCUUUGAUCGCUGUAGGCCCUCGUCCUCGGGGAGCCGUAUUCCAGGUCAGUGGGCAAGACGACCUCGGCCCCGUAGACCAGGAAGAACGGCGUGAAACCCGUGGCUCGGCUCGGCGUUGUCCUCAGGCUCCAGACCACCGAGGGGAGUUCCUUCAUCCAUCGCUUGCCGAACUUGUUGAGGUCGUUGUAAAUCCGAGGCUUGAGCCCUUGUAGAAUCAUGCCGUUGGCACGCUCUACUUGCCCAUUCGACAUGGGAUGAGCCACGGCGGCCCAGUCCACCCGGAUGUGGUGAUCCUCGCAGAAGUCCAAGAAUUUUCUGCCGGUGAACUGGGUACCGUUGUCGGUGAUGAUGGAGUUCGGGACCCCGAAGCGAUGGAUGAUGUUGGUGAAGAAUGUCACCGCCUGCUCGGACCUGAUGCUGUUAAGAGGUGGGACCUCGACCCACUUGGAGAAUUUGUCGAUGGCGACCAGCAGGUGCGUGUAGCCCCGGGCGCCUUCUGCAAGGGGCCGACGAGGUCCAGACCCCACACAGCAAAGGGCCAGGUGAUGGGUAUCGUCUGCAGAGCCUGAGCGGGCAGGUGGGUCUGCUUCGCAUAGAAUUGACACCCUUCGCAGGUGCGAACAAUUCUAGUGGCGUCAGCCACCGCCGUUGGCCAGUAGAAGCCUUGCCGGAAAGCAUUCCCGACAAGGGCUCGAGGCACUGUGUGAUGGCCGCAAGCCCCCGAGUGUAUUUCUUGCAGGAGUUCCUGACCUUCGGCGAUGGAGAUGCAUCGCUGGAGGAUGCCCGAGGGGCUGCGGUGGUAGAGCUCCUUCUAAUCGCCCAGCAAGACGAACGACUUGGCGCGUCGCGCUACCCGCCGAGCCUCGGCUCGAUCGAGGGGUAGCUCUCCUUGGCGGAGAUAUUGUAGGUACGGGGUCUGCCAAUUCUGAUCAGGCGUGGCCCCGCUCCGCUCCUCCUCGAUGCGCAGUGCCUCGCCCUCGGAGGCCGAGGGUACCUCGGGCUGAACCGAGGGCGCCUCGGCCCGAGCUGAGGGUGCCUCGGGCUGUGCCGAGGGUACCUCGGGCUGAACCAAGGGCACCUCGGGCCCGGGCGCGUCGUCGAUCUUGACGGAGGGUUGAUGCAGAUCCCGGGAGAAGACGUCCGGGGGAACCGUUGUUCGCCCCGAGGCUAUUUUUGCCAGCUCGUCCGCAGUCUCGUUGUAGCGCCGAGCGAUGUGGUUAAGCUCGAGCCCGUAGAACUUGUCUUCCAGGCGCCGAACCUCAUCGCAAUAGGCCUCCAUCUUCGGGUCGCGGCAGUGGGAGUUCUUCAUGACUUGGUCGAUGACGAGCUGCGAGUCACCGCGGGCGUCGAGGCGCCUGACCCCUAGCUCGAUGGCGAUCCGCAACCCGUUGACCAGAGCCUCGUACUCAGCCACAUUGUUGGACGCCGGGAAAUGGAGGCGUAGCACAUAGCGUAGGUGUUUCUCGAGGGGCGAGAUGAAGAGUAGGCCCGCGCCGGCUCCCGUCUUCAUCAGCGACCCGUCAAAAAACAUGGUCCAGAGCUCCGGUUGGAUCGGAGCCGUCGGUAGCUGGGUGUCGACCCAUUCGGCUAUGAAGUCCGCCAAUACCUGGGACUUGAUGGCCUUCCGAGGGGCGAACGAGAUUGUCUCGCCCAUGAUUUCCACCGCCCACUUUGCAAUCCUGCCCGAGGCCUCUCGGCACUCGAUGAUCUCCCCCAGGGGGAAGGAUGACACCACAGUUACCGGAUGAGACUCGAAGUAGUGUCGCAACUUCCGCCUCGUCAGGAUCACUGCAUACAGCAGCUUCUGAACUUGUGGGUAGCGGAUCUUGGUCUCGGACAGUACCUCGCUGACGAAGUAAACUGGCCUCUGAACGGGCAAUGCAUGCCCCUCUUCUUGCCUCUCGACCACAAUCGCGGCGCUAACCACCUGAGUGGUCGCGGCGACGUAGACCAAGAGGGCUUCUCCGUCAGCUGGAGGCACCAAGAUAGGCGCCUUUGUGAGGAGCGCCUUCAGGUUCCCGAGAGCUUCCUCGGCCUCAGGGGUCCAAGCGAAGCACUCGACCUUCCUUAAGAGGUGGUACAGAGGCAGACCUCUUUCGCCGAGGCGUGAGAUGAAGCGGCUCAGGACCGCGAGACAUCCCAUGACCCUUUGUACGCCUUUUAAGUCCUUGAUGGGCCCCAUGCUGGUGAUGGCUGCGAUCUUCUCUGGGUUGGCUUCGAUGCCCCGCUCGGAGACGAUGAACCCCAAGAGCAUGCCCCGGGCCACCCCGAAGACACACUUCUCGGGAUUGAGCUUGACGCCUUUCGCUUUGAGACAUCGGAAUGUCACUUCAAGGUCGGAGAGGAGGUCGGAAGCUUUCCUCGUCUUGACUACGAUGUCAUCGACGUAGGCCUCGACCGUGCGACCGAUGUGUUCGCCGAACACAUGGUUCAUGCACCGCUGAUACGUAGCGCCCGCAUUCCUCAAACCGAACGACAUGGUGACAUAGCAGUACAUGCCGAAGGGCGUGAUGAAAGAAGUCGCGAGCUGGUCGGACUCUUUCAUCCUGAUUUGGUGAUAUCCUGAAUAGGCGUCGAGGAAAGACAGGGUUUCGCACCCAGCAGUGGAAUCCACGAUUUGAUCGAUGCGAGGCACAGGGUAGGGAACCUUCGGACAUGCUUUGUUGAGACCAGUGUAGUCUACACACAUCCGCCAUUUCCCCCCUUUCUUUCUCACAAGCACAGGGUUGGCAAGCCAUUCGGGAUGGAAUACCUCUUUGAUGAACCCGGCUGCCAUUAGCUUGUGGAUCUCCUCGCCUAUCACUCUGCGCUUCUCCUCGUCGAAUCGGCGUAGAGGCUGCUUGACGGGUCGGGCUCUGGCCCGGAUAUCCAGCGAGUGCUCGGCGACAUCCCUUGGUAUGCCGGGCACGUCCGAGGGACUCCACGCGAAGACAUCGGCGUUCGCGCGGACAAAGUCGACGAGCACUGCUUCCUAUUUGGGGUCGAGCCCGGAACCGAUCCGGAUCUGCUUGGAGGCAUCGCCACUGGGGUCGAGGGGGACGGCCUUGACCGUCUCCACUGGCUCGAAGUUGCCGGCAUGGCGCUUCACGUCUGGCACCUCUUUGGAGAGGCUUUCCAGGUCGGCGAUGAGGGCCUCGGCGUACUCCACGCACUCCACGUCGCAUUCGAACGCGUGUUUGUACGUGGGGCCGACGGUGAUGACCCCGUUUGGGCCCGACAUCUUGAGCUUCAGGUAGGUGUAGUUGGGGACGGCCAUAAACUUCGCGUAGCAUGGCCUCCCCAGUACCGCGUGGUAGGUUCCUCGGAACCCGACCACCUCGAACGUCAGAGUCUCCCUUCGGAAGAUGGAGGGCGUUCCGAAGCAGACGGGAAGGUCGAGUCGUCCGAGGGGCUGGACGCGCUUCCCGGGAAUGAUCCCAUGGAAGGGCACAGCGCCUGCUCGGACGGAGGACAGAUCGACGCGCAGGAGCCUGAGGGUCUCGGCGUAGAUGAUGUUGAGGCAGCUGCCCCCGUCCAUAAGGACCGUGGUGAGCCUGACGUCGCCAACGACGGGUUCGACGACGAGCGGGUAUUUCCCCGGGCUCGGCACGUGGUCGGGGUGGUCAGCUUGGUCGAAGGUGAUGGGCUUGUCGGACCAGUCUAGGUAGACUGGCGCCGCCACCUUCACCGAACAGACCUCCCGGCGCUCUUGCUUGCGAUGCCGAGCCGAGGCAUUCGCCGCAUGCCCACCGUAGAUCAUGAAGCAGUCGCGGACCUCGGGGAACUCUCCUGCUUGGUGAUCUUCCUUCUUGUCGUCGUCGCGGGCCCUGCCACCCUCCGCGGGUGGCCCGGCCCUAUGGAAGUGGCGCCGAAGCAUGACGCACUCCUCAAGGGUGUGCUUGACGGGCCCCUGAUGAUAGGGGCACGACUCCUUGAGCAUCUUGUCGAAGAGGUUAGCACCUCCGGGGGGCUUCCGAGGGUUCUUGUACUCGGCGGCGGCGACAAGGUCCGCGUCGGCGGCGUCGCGUUUCGCUUGCGACUUCGUCUUGCCUUUCUUCUUGGCGCCGCGCGGAGUAGACGCCUCGGGAGCAUCUUCCGAUGGGCGGCCCUGGGGCUGCUUGUCCUUUCGAAAGAUAGCCUCGACCGCCUCCUGGCCAGAGGCGAACUUGGUGGCGAUGUCCAUCAGCUCGCUCGCCCUGGUGGGGGUCUUGCGACCCAACUUACUCACCAGGUCGCGGCAGGUGGUGCCGGCAAGGAACGCGCCGAUGACAUCCGAGUCGGUGAUGUUGGGCAGCUCGGUGCGCUGCUUCGAGAAUCGCUGGAUGUAGUCCCGGAGAGACUCUCCCGGCUGCUGCCGGCAGCUUCGGAGGUCCCAGGAAUUCCCGGGGCGCAUGUACGUGCCCUGGAAAUUGCCGGCGAAGGCUUGGACCAGGUCAUCCCAGUUGGAGAUCUGCCCCGGAGGCAGGUGCUCCAACCAGGCGCGAGCGGUGUCGGAGAGGAACAGGGGGAGGUUGCGGAUGAUGAGGUUGUCGUUGUCCGUUCCACCCAGUUGGCAGGCCAAGCGGUAGUCCGCGAGCCACAGUUCCGGUCUUGUUUCCCCCGAGUACUUUGUGAUAGUAGUCGGGGGUCGGAACCGGGUCGGGAACGGUGCCCGUCAGAUGGCCCGGCUGAAGGCCUGCGGACCGGGUGGUUCGGGCGAGGGACUCCGAUCCUCCCCGCUGUCGUAGCGUCCCCCACGCCUGGGGUGGUAACCUCGGCGCACCCUCUCAUCGAGGUGGGCCCGACGGUCGCGAUGAUGGUGCUCGUUGCCGAGGUGGCCCGGGGCCACAGGCGCGGUGUUGCGCGUGCGCCCGGUGUAGACCGAGGCUUCCCGCAUGAAUCGGGAAGUCGCGACAUGAGGUUCCGAGGGGUAUCACUGCCUUCGGGAGGCAGAGCUCUCGGCCCGUCGGACCACAGCACCUUCCAGGAGAUUCUUGAGCUCUCCCUGGAUUCGCCGACCCUCGGUGGUUGAUGGCUCCGGCAUCGCGCGGAGAAGCAUCGCUGCUGCAGCUAGGUUCUGACCGACCCCACUGGAUGCGGGUGGCGGCCUGACCCUGACGCCGUCGGCGACGCGGUGCUGGAGACCCUGGGGCAGGUGACGUAUUUCUCCGGCCGGGGGUUGGCCCGCCCAUGCCGGCCCGACGUCCCGGCGGAUCGGCUCAAGCGCUCCUGCUCCCUCGUCGAGCCUGGCUUGCGCCCCUCGGACUUGCUCGAGCUGUGGGUCGUGACCCCCCACCGGAACGGGGACCACAGCUAGCUCCCAUGGGAUGUCAGCGUGAGGCACCGGCCUAGGGAGAUCACCGCCCUCCGGCAUGCCGAGAUGAUUGCUUUCGGAGGGAUCCCCUAGAUCGACGUGGAAACAUUCGCGGCUUGGGCCGCAGUCCUCGUCGUCGAGGCUGCGGCUACCGUCGGAACAGUCGGAGAGGCAGUAGUCACAUGCGGUCAUGAAGUCCCGCAUGGCACUGGGGUUGCCAAAUCCAGAGAAAUCCCAACAGAUGUUGGGGUCGUCAUCUUCCUCGGACCCAGAGGGCCCGUAGGUCGAGACGUCCGUCAGCCGGUCCCAAGGCGACCGCAUGCGAAACCCCAGAGGGUUUGAUCUCGCCUUUACGAGAGCGCCCGCCAAAGCAAGGUCGCUAGGCGGGUUGUGGCUGAGUCCAAAUGACGUAGGAUGGGAAUCGGUCGGUACCUUUCGGUCGACGAGCAGCGACAUAGUCACGUCAGGGACUGAUUGCACCGCCGUCUCAGGUACGAGGGCGACGUCCUGCAAGCUCUUCGCGAGCGCACUAGCGUCGUCCACUUGCUCGGGAUUGGCGUGUCGCGGGGAGACGGCGCUCGCCUUCGUCUCAAACGCGAGGUCGACGCCCGACGCGCCCCCGUUGGGGCGCUGGGGACGUCGACUCGCUCGACAGCCGAUGAGGCGCGACCUCCCGCUUGGCCUUGGUUGCCCCGCCUCCUCCUCCGUUGGCAGGGGAGAGGACGGAGCGAACUCGAAUGUUGUUCUUCCACCACGCGGGGAAGACGUCGUCGAUUCCGCCGCCGGCGGGCGGGCUGUCGGCCGCCAUUGUCGUUGUCGCGCGGCGGUGGAAGGAGUAUCAUGUCGUAGCUGCCGUCGAAGAACAUGAACUCAAGACUCCCGAAACGGAGCACUGUCCCGGGACGGAGAGGUUGCUGGAGACUGCCCAUCUGGAGCUUGACGGGAAGCUGUUCGUCAACACGCAGCAGGCCCCUACCUGGCGCGCCAACUGUCGGCGUUUCGAGACCGGGGGGUCCCUCGGGCCGACGAGUGAGUGUCGCCGCGUGCCCCAGCCCAGAUGGGUCGAGCGCGUGGGCGAGCACGAAGGGGGGAAGGAGCGAGGCGGCCGGUGACCGGCGUGAGAGAGGUGGGAAUUCUGCGGCCUUUGUGUUCGUCCCGCGCCCAGAUCGGGUGCGCUUGCAGUAGGGGGUUACAAGCGUCCACGCGGGAGAGGGAAGCGAGCGGCCCCAAGAGAGCGCCUGUCCCGUCCUCGUCCCCGCGCGGCCAACCUUCUCUAAGAGGGCCCUGGUCCUUCCUUUUAUAGGCGUAAGGAGAGGAUCCAGGUGUACAAUGGGGGUGUAGCAGAGUGCUACGUGUCUAGCGGGGGAGAGCUAGCGCCCUAAGUACAUGCCGAUGUGGCAGCCGGAGAGAUUUUGGCACCCAGCUGGUGUGAUGUCGUGGCCGUCGGAGGAGCGACGGAGCCUGGCGGAGGGACAGCUGUCGGAGCGGUUGAGUCCUUGCUGACGUCCUCCUACUUCCGUAAGAGAGCUGAGAGCCGCCGUCGUCACAGAGCAUGCGGGGCGCCAUCAUUGCCUAUCUGGCAUAGCUAGCCAGAUGGGACACCGGUCUUGUUCUCUGCGGCCCGAGUCAGCUCGGGGUAGGGUGAUGAUGGCGCUUUCUGUUGACGUGGCUGGCUUGCGCCCUAGGCUGGGCGACGUGGAGGCUCCUCCGAAGCCGAGGUCGAGUCUGUCUUCCAUGGCCAAGGCCGAGUCCGAGCCCCUGGGUCGGGCGAGGCGGAGGUCGUUCGGCAGAGGCCAGGGCGGAGUCCGAGCCCUGGGGUCAGGCGAAGCGGAGUUCGUCGUCUUCUAGGGCUGAGCCCAAGACCGAUCCCUGGGGUCGGGCGGAGCGGAGUUCGUCGUCUUCUGGGGCUGAGCCCGAGUCCGAGCCCUAGGGUCGGGCGGAGCGGAGUUCGCGGUCUUCCGGGACCUAGCCCGAGUCCGAGCCCUGGGUCGGGCGGAGCGGAGUUCGCCGUCUUCCGGGACCUAGCCCGAGUCCGAGCCCUGGGUCGGGCGGAGCGGAGUUCACCGUCUUCCGGGACCUAGCCCGAGUCCGAGCCCUGGGUCGGGCGGAGCGGAGUUCGCCGUCUUUCGGGACCUAGCCCGAGUCCGAGCCCUGGGUCGGGCGGAGCGUAGCUUCCUAUGGUGCCUUUGGCAGGGCCUGACUGCCUGCUAGUCUCACUCUGUCAAGUGGCACUACAGUCGGAGUGGCGCAGGUGGCGCUGUCCUUCUGUCAGGCCGGUCAGUGGAGCGAUGAAGUGACGUCGGUCACUUCGGCUCUGCUGGGGGGCGUGCGUCAGGAUAAAGGUGUCAGGCCACCUUUGCGUUAAAUGCUCCUGCGAUUCGGUCGGUCGGUGCGGCGAUUUAGUCAGGGUUGCUUCUUAGCGAAGGCAGGGCCUCGGGCGAGCCGGAGAUGUGUCCGCCGUUGGAGGGGGGCCUCGGGCGAGACGGAAAUCCUCCGGGGUCGGCUGCCCUUGUCCGAGGCUAGGCUCGGGCGAGGCAUGAUCGAGUCGGUCGAAUGGACUGAUCCCUGACUUAAUCGCACCUAUCAGGCCUUUGCAGCUUUAUGCUGAUAGGGGUUACCAGCUGAGAAUUAGGAGUCUUGAGGGUACCCCUAAUUAUGGUCCCCGACAAUACUCCUCGAACCUGAGGAGCCAGAACCUGAGACGUCCUGCUGAGCGGCGGCGUCGUCGUCGUCGUCCUGCUGCGCCGCAUCGUCGUCGUCCUGCUGUGCCGCAUCGACAGCGGCUUGCUGCUCCACCUGCUGCUGUACGGCGUCGUCCUGCUGCGCCUCCUCCUCCGUCCUACGGGUGCUCCUCCUCCCCCUCCCCCUCCCCCUCCCCCUCCUCGUCCUCGUCCCACCGCCCACCAUCUUUGUCCAACAACCUGCAAUUAAGAGUAAACAAUUAAGCACAGAUAAAAAAUAUGUAUUUAGAAACAUAUGCAAAAUAAAUGAAAUAUAGCAUUACAUCGAUUAAAAAUAAUCUUCAUAUGUGUCCGGGUUAGCCGGAUCAUAAGUGUCAUCAUCACUAUCAACCAUUUCAUAGUCGACAUCAUCUGAAGGCGCAAUUUCGUCAUUGGCAUUGUCUUCAAGUAUUUCUAAGUCAUUCUCAUUUUGCACCUCAUCAUCCUCGUCAUCAACAACCAUUUCAAUAUCUACUUCUAUUCCGAUCGCUUCGGUUAAGUCUAUCUCAAAUUGCCCUUCGAGCCCAUCUUCUUAGAAGAACUCUCCGUCAUAUGUGUCCGGGUCUAAGUUAUAAUCUUCAUCGUUUGGAACAGGUAAUUUAGCGUGCGGUGAUACCUUAUACACAACAUCCCAACCCUUAAGAUGUUGUUUCGUUUGGCACGCAUAUGGAAGAUAAUACACUUGUGUGGCCUGUUGGGCCACAAUAUAGACAUCGUCUCCUGGUAAGGUGGAAUCCUGUCGAAUUUCAACUAGCCCAAGAUUAGAAUGUGUCCGUCUCGUAACUUCAGGGUCAAACCAAUGACAUUUGAAUAUCACUGGAGUAAGAGGUUUGGAACCAUAAAAAUUGAGUUCAUAUAUUUCUUCAAUUCUUUUAUAAUACUCGACCUCGUCAAGCCCGGGCGUAUAGACUCCAGAACACGUGGUUUUUCGAUUGGGCCGACUUUGGUCGUAGCUUGUUGUGCGAAAACGGUAUCCAUUGACGUCAUACCCAGAAAAUUUGAGCAACAUGCUCACUAAACAUGGUCCUGAACUUGCCAUCCACAUGUUUAAAAAUUGUAUAAAACACAAACAAAGUCAGAAAAUUAUGAAACUUGUCCACGUGUCAUGAUAUCAUAUGUAGAGUCUGUGAUAAAAAAUUUAGAAUGUUUGGAGAAAGGAGUGCGGCACUAUGUGUAGAAACCUAAGAGAACCACACAUGAAAUCAUAGAGUUUCAAUGUGGAUCUCUUAGGUUUGUACACAUAGUGCGUUACAGCUUUCUCCAAACAUUCUAAAAUUUUUAUCGCAGCCUCUACAUAUGAUAUCAUGACACGUGGACAGGUUUCAGAAUUUUCUGACUUUGUUUCUGUUUUAUACAAUUUUUAAACACCUGGAUGACAAGUUUACGGUCAUGUUGAGUGAGCAUGGUGCUCGAAGUUUUCGGUCCGCUCCUGAAAUCGGUCGUAACUUGUGCUAAGUAGCAUGGAUAUCAUUUUUGCAUGCACGGUUUUCCAAGUUUCGAGUGACCUGCAGUUCAAAUCUGAAUUUUCCGAAGAAAUUCAAAUAAACAAACUAAAUGUACUAGCUAUAGAAAACACUGUUAUAAUUGUCCCAAAAUGGUACAUGUAGGUCUACAUAGUGUAGGAACAUACCACAAAAAGUUUGGGAGACAAAAUCAAAAAAAUACAAAUAUACUUUGCCGAGUGUCUAUAGAAGACACUCGACAAAGAGCAUUUUGCCGAGUGCCCAAUAUGUGGCACUCGACAAAGAAGCCUCUUUGCCGAGUGCCAGCAGUUGGCUCUCGGCAAAGACUAACGGCCGUCAGCUUUGGGACGGCCGCUGACGGCCCUUUGCCGAGAGCCCUCUUUGCCGAGUGUUUGACACUCGGCAAACUUGUCUUUGCCGAGAGCCCCCUGUGCCGAGUGUUCAACACUCGGUAAAGGGUCUCUUUGCCGAGAGCCUAUCUUUGCUGAGUGCGGCACUCGGCAAAGCUUUCUUUGCCGAGUGACCGACAAAAGGCACUCGGUAAAGAAUGCAACACUCGGCAAAGCCUACGAUUCCGGUAGUGCUAGUCACCUGAGCUGCUUCCUGUCCGUCCUGUCCUGCGAUAAGGUCGGCGGCUUCCUGCCCGUCCUGAUCAUGCAUGUCUGAGUGGUCAUCUGUUGGUUUGCUGUAGAGAUGCCAGUCAGUUAACGGUUAGACGCGUGGCCUGUUCAUUGCAAAGGGAGCUAGAUGGCCGCCGGCGCCAUGGAUGUGUUCGACAUGCAUGCACGCGGCCGAGGUUGGCUGGAUGUUAGUUCUACAACAAGUCGGCAUCCCAUGAGAGACCAACAGUGUGUUUGGUAUGUGGAUUCACCUUAUACUUCAUAAGGUGAUGCAUUAUAAAUUUAUACUAUAAUUUUUGGUGGAACCAACCUAUUAUUCCUCGUGUAUAUACUAAUUAUUAGCUUUAGAACAUCUCCAAGAGACUCUUUAUUUUUGACUCUCUAUUUGUCUCUCAAUAAAUAUUAAAAUCUAUAUAUAACAUCUCAUUCCAACAGACUAUUCUACAUGUAAGUUAGCUUAGCUAGCGAGAGUUGCUAGUCAAAUUUGGCUAGUGAGAGAGUCAAUUUAGAGAGCCGGAUAGCUUGACAAAUUAAAUGACUAGUCUGUUGAAGAACUAUUUUAUUAUUAAGUAGCUAAAAUUUAGCUUGAGAAACUAUUUAGCUAGUCUCUUAAAGAUGCUUUUAUAAGGAGUGGAGUGGUAAUGGAUCAACUCAUCUUUCACAAACCAAAUAAAAAAGUGAGGAGUGAGAAAAAGAUGGACCAAACACACCCCAAGAGUAUUAUUGUUGACGCUGAAUUGGAUCUUAAAUUACACACCAGUAAAUUUUAGAAUGUUACUUAUGAAUAUGGCUAAAAAAACUCGAGACUCGUGAGCCGGUUCGAGCUCGGGGCGGCUCGACUCGGCUCAGAGCGGCUCGCGAGUCUCGAGUGUGCCGAGCCAAGCCUGGUUUUCGAGCUCGCUGGUCCACCGAGCCAAACCGAGCCAGCUUGUUCUGGUUCGCGAGCCGGCUCAUGAGCUUUGCCAAAUUAACCAAACUAUACAGUAAUGAUGGAUAAUAGAUAAUUUUACUUAUAUUUGAAUGCUAAUUAUAUUUUUCACAUUUAUAUAUACUAUUAAAUCACUAUAUAAUAUAAUAUUAUUUAUCAAGGUCCAGCUCGCGAGCUGAGCCGAUUCCAACUCGUUGAGUGAACGAGCCAAGUCGGGCUUGAUUUGUCAACGAGCCGUACCAAGCCGAGUCGAACCGAGCUCGUCUCGGCUCGUUUCCGGUACUACUUAUGAAGGAUGCGGGUAAGAGCACUCCAAACCACUCACCAUGGUUAAUAAUAACGGGUAAUUAGGAGUAUCUAUUUCUGGAUUAUCUUAUCCUUGUACUGAAGAUGACUAAAGGUUAGGACAUGGACAUAUUUUUACUGCUGGAACAUGCAUGUAUGGUCUUCUGAUAUCUCCAAAAAAAGAAGAGAAAAGAUGUCGUGUCAAGCUGAGUCAUCAAUGAAUUUCUACGUACUAAAGAAAUGGAAAGGGAACGCACUAGUGUUAUGCUAAAGCGAAAAUCUCUAUAGAAAAGACAAAAGCUUCUAGGAUCUUCUUAGGGAAGCGAAGCUUCCACUUACUUGCUCGUCUUCAGCGUCAACGGAUGAUCGAUGGAUGGUCGGUGAAUGGUGGUGGUAGAAAAUGGCAGCAUAUAUGCAGGAGGGGGGCUGUGAUAGUACAAAUCAUCCAAGACAUCAUGGAUGACUGGCGAGUCUUACUUUUGUGGUUUCGCCUUGAGCCGAUGCCGGAUUCCCUUCACUUUGUCUUGAGAUCAGCAGCUUCAUCUCGCUGUCAGAAAGCCAACCGUACUACCCACGAUGCAUAUGCAUACCGAAACAAGGCCAGACAAAUAGCGAAUUGUUCAUAGAAUCAUUCAAGAUCCAAUCUACAACAUGUCUCAUCUAGAUGAUCCUAAGAACAUCUUGCAACUAUGAGGAUGAUCCUAAGAACAUCUUGCAACUAUGAGCCAAUGUUCACGCGCGCGAACAUAGAUUCAGACCUCAAAGGAAGUCCAUCCGGAACAGAUAACACGUCAGGUAGAUAUCAAUCUCUCGAGUUGUCACAUGCACGUGUUGCAGCGCACCUUAUGUAUUGUAGCACCCCAGCAAGCAAAAUACAUCUAGGUCGCAUAAUAUCAAUCUAUAACAUAAAGCGUAAAAGAAAUAGUAGAUUGAUACUGUAAAGAUUCAGAGGGCAGGUGAAGCGUCUUAUCCUGUUAGGGAUCGCGUACGUGUUUAUAUAGGCGCCCGGUGCGCAAGGCUAUACAACAGAUAUACUUGAGUAACAACCUUCAUCUAUUCCUAAGCAAGCAUAUCUAGCUAGCCAAUAAAGUAGCGGGAGGUUGUUACCCGAGUACAGGAUAUACAUGGAUAUAGAAUACAUUGCAUAUCUAUUCUAAUAGCCUCCCUCAAUCACAACCGUCUUAGGUUGAGAUUGACUUUGAAGUUUUCCAGCAGUCUGACCGAUAAUGCUUUGGUGAAGCCGUCUGCGACUUGAUCUUGGGAGGAGACAAAAUCUAUUUCUAAUAACUUUUGUAAAACUCUCUCUCUUACAAAAUAAUAAUCCACCUCAAUAUGCUUGAUUCUAGCAUGAAAGACAGGAUUAGCUGAUAAAUAUUUUGCUCCCAGAUUAUCACACCAAAGUUUAGCUAUUCUCGGACUGUUAAUAUUUAGCUCUUUGAGUAAGAUUUGAACCCACAUAAUUUCAGCUGUUGCAUUGGCAAUAGCCUUAUAUUCUGACUCAGUGCUGGAUCUAGACACUGUGGGUUGUUUGCGAGCACUCCAAGAAAUGAGAUUUGAACCUAGAAACACUGCAAAGCCUCCCGUUGAUUUUCUGUCAUCAAUACUACCAGCCCAGUCUUGCAUCCGAAAAGACACUUACCAAGGUUGAGGGUGACUUAUGUAUAUGCAGCCCUAAUUUUGUGCAUUGUUUGAUAUAUCUGAGAAUUCUUUUUACUGCAGCCCAGUGAACAGUUGUAGGAGCAUGUAGAAACUGACAUACCUUAUUAACUGAAAAGGCAAUGUCAGGCUUAGUGAGAGUUAAAUAUUGUAGGGCCCCAACUAUGCUCCUAUACUGAGUUGCAUCAUUGUUGCCUAGUAAAGAUCCUUUGUGCAAGGAUAGCUUCUCACAGGUGGAUAGUGGCGAGCUGACUGGUUUGCAAUCUGACAUCCCUACCUUUUUCAAUAAAUCUGAAGCAUACUUGUCUUGGGUGAGAAUAAUUCCAUCACGUACCUUGUUUACUUCUAUUCCCAAGAAAUAGUGAAGGUCACCAAGAUCUUUAAGAGCAAAUUCUUCCUCUAGGUCUUUCAACAAUGCUGCGGUGGCUGCUUCUGUAGAACUUGCAACAAUUAUAUCAUCAACAUAAACAAGCACAAAAAUUGUAGUGUUACCCUUGUUAUAGAAGAAUAAGGAUGAAUCAACCUUUGAUGGUGAGAAGCCAAGAUUCAUUAAUUUUGAGCUAAGACGAGAGUACCAUGCUCUUGGUGCUUGUUUAAGCCCAUAAAGAGAUUUGUCAAGCUUACACACAUACUCUUUCUUGGAUGGAUCCUCAAAACCUGGUGGCUGCGGCAUAUAAACUUCUUCGAGAAAGCCAUGAAGGAAGGCAUUCUGAACAUCAAGUUGUCUAAGACUCCAUCCUCGAGAAAUGGCAACAGACAAAAUAAUGUGUAUUGUAGUAGGUUUAAUGACUGGACUGAAUGUGUCUUCAUAAUCUAUACCAUAACGUUGUUUAAAACCUUUUGCAACUAGUCGGGCUUUAUACCUAUCUAAGCUUCCAUCCACUUUUCUUUUAAUUUUAUACACCCAUUUACAUCCUAUUACAUUCGUGCCUUUUAUUGGUGGAACUAGCUGCCAUGUCUUAUUAUUCAUGAGAGCAGUGUAUUCCAGAUCCAUAGCAUUUUUCCAGUUGGAAUUACUAAGUGCUUCCUCAAGACACUAGGGGUUCACCAGAGGACGUAAAGCAGCCAUACCUGAUCGUGCCAUCAGUGUAUACUUUUUCCUUCCGAAUGCCACUCCUCAGUCUUGUAUAGGGACGCAGAGCAGCCACUUGAACAGGUUCAACAACUGCUUCCCCUGACACCUCUUGUAUGGUCAAAUCAGGUGCACGCGCCUCAAUAGAUGUUGUAGGCUGCUCAGAGGAUGGUGCAUGGAAUCCGUCAGGUACCUAUUCAUCUGUCAUAGUAACGUGAAUAGUAGUGGCAGGCUCCCUAUGCUCAUCGGCUACUGUAGCAGGCACUGUAGCUACUUGGCGCCCAUGCCCAUGCGAGUGGUCAUAAUGUGAUUCUCCCUCCCCUGGUGGCAGGCUUGCAACAGUUGGUAGGGAGUUGUCAUUUCGGUGAAUAGUACCUCCUGCAUAUUGAUGUUGUACUGCAAUAUUCUCAUUAGGCAUGUUAGUAUCGACAUGGAGAAAAUCAGGGACAUCAGGAUCACAUCUAUCAGCACCUUUUUUAGUCGUAAAGGAUGGCAACAAAAGAACUUCAGAUCGUAAUCUAGCCCCAACAUUAGAAUGGAGUGUAUAGAAGGGAAAACAGUCUCAUCAAAUAUGACAUCUCUAGAGAUGUAAACACGUCCAGUGGAGAUAUCGAGACAUUUAAAACGCUUGUGAAGAGGACUAUAGCCAAGAAAAGCACACUGCUUUGAUCUGAAUUGAAGUUUGUGUGUGUUAUAGGGGCGCAGAUUAGGCUAACAUACACAGCCAAAAAAUCGUAAGGAAGAAUAAUCUGGCUUUUGGUGAAAAAGACGUUCUAUAGGAGUUUGAUUAUUAAUAACCGGGCUGGUAGUCUUUUUGUCGGCGUUUCGACCCCAGGGGGUCCCUGGACCGACGAGUAAAUUGUCGCCGCGUGUCCCAGCCCAGAUGGGUCGGCGCGAGACGGAGCACGAAGGGGGAAAAGGAGACAGGCAAAAGGGGAAACCCGCGGCCUUCGUGUUGUCCUGCGCCCAGGUCGGGUGCGCUUGCAGUAGGGGGUUACAAGCGUCCGCGUGGGAGAGAGCGAGGGACUUGCGCGUCGGCCCAUUCUCCCGCGCGGCCAACCUUCUCGUACGAGAGCCCUGGACCUUCCUUUUAUAGGCGUAAGGAGAGGGUCCAGGUGUACAAUAGGGAGAGUAGCAGUGUGCUAACAUGUCUAGCAGAGAGGAGCUAGUGCCCUAAGUACAUGCCGUCGUGGCAGCUGGAGAGGUUUUGGCACCCUUUUCAUGUGAUGUCGUGGCCAUCGGAGGAGCGCUGGAGCCUUGCGGAAGGACAACUGUCGGGGCUGUCGAGUCCUUGCUAACGUCUCCUUGCUUCCGUAAGGGGCUGAGAGCCGUCGUCGUCAUGGAGCACGCGGGGCGCCAUCAUUAUUUGUUUACCGGGGCGAGCCAGAUGGGACGCCGGUCUUGUUCCCCGUAGCCUGAGCUAGCUAGGGGUAGGGUAAUGAUGGCCUCCUCUGUGACGUGGUCGGUCCGUGCCCUGGGUCGGGCGAGGCGGAGGCUCCUCCGAGGUCGAGGUCGAGUCUGUCUUCCGAGGUCGAGGUCGAGUCCGAGCCCCGGGUCGGGCGAGGCCGAGACCGUCGUCCGAGGCAAAGGCUGAGCCCGAGCCCUGGGCUCGGGCGAGGCGGAGUUCGUCGUCUUCCGAGGCCGAGACAGGGGCCGAGCCCUGGGGUCGGGCGAGGCGGAGCUUCCUAUGGCGCCCGAGGCCGGACUUGGCUGCUGUCAACCUCAUUCUGUCGAGUGGCACAACAGUCGGAGCGACGCAGGCGGCGUUGUCUUCUUGUUAGGUUGGUCAGUGGAGCGGCGAAGUGACUGCGGUCACUUCGGCUCUGUCGACUGAAGAGCGCGCGUCAGGAUAAGGUGUCAGGCCAUCCUUGCAUUAAAUGCUCCUGCGAUACGGUCGGUCGGUGUGGCGAUCUGGCCAAGGUUGCUUCUCGGCGAAGACUGGGCCUCAGGCGAACCGAAGGUGUGUCCGCUGCUUGAGGGGCCCCUCGGGCAAGACGUGAAUUCUCCAGGGUCGGCUGCCCUUGCCCGAGGCUGGGCUCGUGCGAGGCGAGAUCGUGUCCCUUGAGUGGACCGAGCCUUGACCUUAAUCACACCCAUCAGGCCUAUGCAGCUUUGUGCUGAUGGGGGUUACCAGCUGAGAUUAGGAGUCUUGGGGGUACCCCUAAUUAUGGUCCCCGACAGUAGCCCCCGAGCCUCGAAGGGAGUGUUAAUACUCGCUUGGAGGCUUUUGUCGCACUUUUUUGCAAGGGGACCAGCCUUUCUCGGUUGCGUUUUGUUCCGGUGGGUGCGCGCGAGCGCACCCGCCGGGUGUAGCCCCCGAGGCCUCGAAGGAGUGGUUUGACUCCUUCGAGGUCUUAGCGCGUUUCGUGAUGCUUCGGCCGGUCUGGUUGUUCCCCCAUGCGAACUGGCCGUAGCCCGGGUGCAUAGUCGAGUCCCAAGUUCUCGGGCUAGUAUGUUGACGCUGUCAACGGUUUGGCCGGAGCCGAGUUUGCGAGAGCAGCCCCCGAGCCUCCGCACAGAGCGAGAGGACGGUCAGGGACAGACUCGGCUUUUUACAUACUCCCCUGUGUCGCCUUUCCGCAAGGAGGGGGGGAAAGCGCCAUGUUGCCCUCAAAGGGCGCCGAACAUGGUGUCUCCAGUGAGUUGCUAACGGGUAAUCUGAGUGGAUGUCCGUGCCUCAUUCAUUAGGGGUCGGCUAGUGGCCCGGAGGCGCGCUCCAAAAGUACCUGCGGGUGAUUUGCCGGACCCGGUCCCUUUUUACGGGGUCCGAGGGCUCGAUGCCUCCCUCUGGUGGGAUUCCAUUACAAAAUCGUUCCCGCCGGUCUUGGAAAUGUCCUAGGGUACCUCGGGAGCGUAGCCCGAGCCUUGGUUAUGUAUCGAACGUACCUAGGGUCAUCCCUCGCUCUGCGUGCUCUGAGACGGCUGUCAGAACCCUUCGGGGGCCAGCCUACGAACCCCUGAUCAGUAGUGGGCGCGGAGCCCGAGUGGCCUGAGGCGACCGUUGAACCCUUCCGAGGGGCCAGCCUUCGAACCCCUGACCAGUAGUGGGCGCGGAGCCCGAGUGCUCUGAGGCGGCUGUUGAACCCUUCCGAGGGGCCAGCCUUCGAACCCCUGAUCAGUAGGGGGGCUCGGGGCCCGCUUCCUUCGCGGAGAAGGAUCCCUUUCGGAGUAUCCCCUUUCCCGGUCCCUGUGGCAAGAGAGAGAAAGAGGAAGUGGAAAAGGAUACGAAAUCGAAUGACGUGGCACACCUUUUUUGACGCGGUCAUCAUGGUGGAGGUGAAGCGUCGCCUGCUUCGCCUGCCAACGGUGCCGCCUAUCCUGCCGCAAAGUUAAUGCGACAGGACGAGUGGUUCGCGGGGCGGUCGUUGUGCGUGCGCGAGCCGUUCGAGGAACGGUUGUCUCGCUUUGAGUUUUUGAAUCUCGCGACGAGUUCGGGUGAAGUGUUGAACGGGUCUCGCCUGGGCCUUUAUAUAUUUGGGAGAGGGACCGAUGACGGUUCUUUACUCUGCUGCUCGCCUCCCACUUAGGUUUUCGCAACCCAAGGGAAUAGCCAGAGAAAGGAAACCGCGCACCCAGUCCUUUCCGCCGCCACCUCUUCUGCUUGGUGAUGGCCGACCGGGUGACCAUUGUUUCGCCGCGUGACCCGUGGCCUUUCUCCACCGUCGCGGUGGAUGACCUGGAGGCCCUUGUUUCUGAUGGUUUGCUUCGCCCUCUCUCCGGUGACUCGCAGCCGGAGUGGAUGGCCCCUCCGAGCGGAGCCGCCCCGUCCCCGCCGCCGGGGUAUGUGGUGAGCUUUGUCUCCUUUCACGAGCGGGGGUUCGGAGUGCCGGCAAGCCGUUUUAUGCGGGCGAUUCUGUAUGUCUACGGGGUGGAGCUGCACAACCUCAGUCUCAACUCCAUCUCACAAGCAGCCAUCUUCGCGGCGGUUUGUGAAGGAUAUUUGGGGAUUGCCCCCCACUGGGACCUGUGGACCCAUCUCUUCUCCGCGGAGCUUUUUGCCUCGCCGACGGGGGAAAGAAGGGUUCGCAUGGCGGUGCGGGCCGGUGGCUGCAUCCUCCAGUUGAGGCAGGCGUGGGCGCUGCAGUACAUCCCUGCCAUCCUCGUGUCUUCGAACAAAGGGUGGCAGCGCCGGUGGUUUUAUCUCCGAAAUGACGACGGGAGGCUCCCAUCAUUUUCUCAGCGAGUGGUGACCGUCGCCACCGAUAACUGGCGCUACGGGACCCCGCGCGACAGACAGAAGAAUCUCUAGCCCCUUUUGAAGGCCCUGGAGGAACUGCGAGAAGGAGGGCUCACCGCCGCGGGGGUGGUUGCCGCCAUUCAUCGCCGGAGGAUGCUCCCCUUGACGGAGCGACGACUGUCGCUUUGGGAGAUGACGCCGGGGGUCGACUUGGAGGGUUUGCAGAUGUCCUCGGACCCCCUUCCCACCGACGACCUCCACAGGCGGGUAGCCGGCACGGUAGGGAAGUUAGAGGCCGGCGCCUUUUCCCAGCCCUCGAUGCGUCCUGAUCGCGGGUGUGUGUCUCUGGUGAGUAUCCGCUCCUUCUUCCUUCUUGCGUCGGAUUGCCCUCAGUUCUCACAGCCGAGACUUUUCGUCCGUCUUCAGGAGGUGGGUUUUCACAAGCCUUCCCUGCCACCGGUCCCGGAGGACGCGGUGGACCGAGCUGCGCGGAGGGUCGCCGCGGAGAAGAGGAAGGAGAAGAAGGACACGAAGAAGGCUCGGGCCCGUGAGCGGAUACGGGCUCGGGACGCCUUGGAAAGGCUUCGUCGUCGGCAGGAGAGGGAUGGGCUCCCGAGGGAGCCAUCGCCGGAGACGCCUGAUGACGAUGACAAUGAUGAAGAAGAUGAUGAAGAUGAUGACAUGGCGGCCCACCUCGGCCUCAGCCCGGAUCUGAGGCUGGGCCAGGGGUCGUCAAGCCAGCCCCCGAGCGGGCUGGCACCAUCGGUAUCCGGGGCUAGGACGUCGGGGUCCCGGUCCAAAGAAUAGGGGCAGACCGAGGGGGUACUUGACCCCUCGGUCGAGGUAGUUGAGGUGACCCCGGGGGGUCAGGCCGAGCUGCCUGUUCCCCGAGAACAGUUGCCCGUGCCGACUACGCAGGAGGGCGAUCCUCGGGUCGUCGUGGCUGCGCCUGGGCAGUCCGUCCCUCGGGUGCCUCGGGCGCCCAAGGCAAGGACGGUACCGAAGCCGGCAGUGGGGCAGACCUCGGUGGUACCUUCGGGGAUCGAGGUUCGAGAGACCUCCCUACAGGCAUGAUUGAUCAUGGCCCAGAGCGGGUAAGUAUCUUAGGAUAUCUUCGUCCUAGCUCCUUCUUCGUGUGUCUUGAUCCUGCUCUUCCUUCUCUUCCCAGCAAACGGAGGCACGGGUCGACCGGUCUGGCUCCCCGGAAGGCCCUCAAGACGGCGCCGGCUUCUGCAGCUCGCGCCGCACCGGGCCUCGCCGGCCAGCUGGCCUCCUUGCAAGAUGCCCCGAAGCGGGGGGGCCAGGCGGCACACGUUGCCGUGGGGCGAGCCCCCGAGGCCGACUCCUCUGUCGAGGCGGCCGUCGUGCCGAGGGAGGCUGCUGGCGUGGCCACGACCUCGAGCCCACCAGAUGCGUUGCCGGCGCUGGCACCGGCUUCUGCCGAGGCGGUUGCCGUUCUGGCCGUGGAGCCAUCCAUCGUCGCCGACGCUGGGAUGGCCGAGGCGUCGCUGCUUGGUGCCCCGGAGGAGGGGGGCGCGGAACCGCGACCCGUCCCGGGGAGCGGUAACCUUGUCCCCGCGCGGCGCAGUCCCGAUGGGCGGCGUCAGUUGCUCCGGUUCCGGACCCGUGGGGCCUCGGAUCCCCUCUUCGUUCUUGACGAUGAGCGAGAGGAGUAGCCUUGGGACGGGCUUCGUGAGUGUGCCGAGGCAACAGUGCGGUCGCUUCGGUCGACCUUGGAGGUCCUUUGCAGGGACGUUCCCAAGAUCCUCCAGGUAAUGAUUUCAAGCAUGCCUUUCACGUGAUUAAGGCACUCUUUGUGGCGCCCCGCUUCCUUUCCUCAGGAUCUGACGGAUCUGAGCGCCGCCAAGUCGUCGUUCAUCCGCCGCGAGGCCGAUGUCUGGGUUUCGCUGCGGUCCCUGAGGACCACGCUUGCCAGGCUACCGAGCGCCUCUCCCAACGGAGCGCCGAGGUGGCGGACCUUCGGUUGCUCUGUGUCGAUCUGGGAGCAGAGGCAGCAGCGGCACGCGUAGAGGCACAGCGGCAGCAGUUGGAGCUCGGCCAGGUCAUCGGUGAGCGGGACCAGUCUCGGGGCCGGGCCGCCGAGGCUGAAAGCCGGGCUGAGGCUCUUGGAGUCCAGUUAGCCGAGGCGUCUGCUCGGGCCGGGGCCUUUGCGGCGGACCUAGCCGUGGCCCAAGCCGCAUCCUCAAAGCAACGCGCCCAAGCCGAAGGUAGGUCCUGGCUGUUUUAAGAUUUUGAUUCGGCUUCGUUCCUCAACUCAUGUUUGAAGUCUUCUGCUUUGGAUGUUCGCAGAGCUCGAGUCUGCCCUCGAUAAGUCCACCAAGGCGCUUGCCCAGGCGGCCGAGCAGAGGGAGGCCGACCACGCGGCCAUGUCUGAGGCCAUCUCGGCCUUCUGCCGGGUCUUUGGCUUUGACGACGUCCCCUCGGGAAGCUCCCCUCAGAGUCGCCUACAGGCCUUGGGUGACCAUGCGCGCGACAGAUUCCGCGAGGCGCUGCAUCAUGGCGUCAGGCGGGCCUUCGCCGUGCUCGCUUCCCACUACGACGUGGAUCUGGAGCGGGUCAGCGAGGGGUAUUGCCUUCCUGACGAAGAUGAAGCUGCCCUGGCCGAAGUCCAGAGGCUUGACGCAGCCGCCGCGGGCCCAAGCGCGGUACUGGCGACCACCUUCGAGGCAGAGAUCCUCCCGCUUGCGCCGUCGUCCGAGGCCGGGGCGGAUCUCGCCGAGGGUGGAGACGAAGCCGAGGGCGCGGCUCCUUCUCUGGGCGACGCCUGAUUCUGCCGGAGCAGUUUAUUUUGAAUGCAUGUGUGUCUUUUGCGGCCGCCGAGGCCCGAACACUUUAUCAUCGUAAUAUAAGGUUGUGUCUCUUUUCCUCCUGUUUCACGUAUCCGGACUCGUUCGUCAGUAGCGGGAUUGCUUACCCAAGUAAGAGUUAUUUUUCGUGGUAGGCGACGAGUGAGGUAUCCGUAUCCCAGAGGCGUAGGAAUCCCUCGGCUCGGUCGGCCUUGCCACUUACAUGCACCCUUAUUCAUUUCUUGGGGCCCUGUUACUGAUAUAGCCGGGAGACGCGAAAGUCUUUUUGAUGGAAGACUUUUUUUUGAGGAAAAUUUUGACGCAGAGGGGGUUCCCCCCUUCUAGCCCCCGAGGGAGGGUCGGGCUUUGCCGAGGCAAGGCUGACCCUUCCUUGAUGGUUAGACUUUGUAUGUGAACGAGGUGUACGAACGACUUGAAAGCAUCUUAAGGGUAGAAGCGACGUAGCUGUCGGAUGUUCCAAGCAUUGUUGUAGACCUCACCUUGACUCUUGGCCAGCUUGUAUGUUCCGGGCUUCAAAAUCUUGGCGAUGACGAAUAGCCCUUCCCAGGGAGGCGUGAGCUUGUGCCGCCCUCGGGCGUCUUGUCACAGCUGAAGCACCAAGUCGCCCACCUGGAGGUCUCGGGACCGAACCCCUCGGGCGUGGUAGCGUCGCAGGGACUACUGAUACCGUGCCGAGUGUAGUAAGGCCAUGUCCCGAGCCUCUUCCAGCUGGUCCAGUGAGUCUUCUCGGUUGGUUCGAUUGCUUUGGUCGUCGUACACCCUCGUCCUCGGGGAACCGUAUUCUAAGUCCGUGGGCAAGAUGGCCUCGGUCCCAUAGACUAGAAAGAACGGUGUGAAGCCCGUGGCUCGGCUCGGCGUUGUCCUCAGACUCCAGACCACCGAGGGGAGUUCCUUCAUCCAUCGCCUGCCGAACUUGUUGAGGUUGUUGUUGUGGGAUUACGGGGAGGCUACUCUAGCGCAAAACAAAAAUUUUCAUCCCCAUAAUACCAAGAACUACUGCGGUUAUAGGUCAUGGAAUUACCACUAGACGCGCAGAGCAGCGGAAGCCGUCUCGAUGUAGACGAACGCGUCGAGCAGUGCCGUGCAGUCGCCGGCGUCCUUCAAGUCCUCGCGCGGUUCGUCCAAGUGCUCCAGAUGUAGCACCUCCGAGGUAUCCACACGUACAGGGAGGAAGCGCCGCGUACCGAACUGCUAGGUUCGCGACGGCGGCUUGGCGAGGGCGAGAGGUGGGCGGCGGCUGUCAGUUCGCUGGUGGCAAAUUAGGUUAUCCUUAACCGCGCCCCCGCCCCUCAUUAUAUAGGCGUUAUGGUGGGCUUCUGACGCCGAGGCCCAUCAUUAACCCUAAAGCCCAGUCUAAUUUCGGAUCUAAUUCGAAUUAGGCUUCCUUCCCCUUAAGUGUGUGACCCUAUAGGUUCACGUACAAAUAGACAUAGCCCGAGUACUCUUACUUGGCCCAAUAAUUGACAGCGGCCUCUAGCAAGACAUGUCAACUCCUAUGUGUACGUAAAGAUCAUAUCAGACGAACCAUUGCAACAUUACGUACAUGCUGUUCCCUUUGUCUCACGAUAUUUGGUCUGGCUCUAAGCUGACCUCUCUUUCUCGAUACUGUGAAUUGGAAUCCUUUCAAUGGUUAACUCUUAACCCUAGCACGGCCAUGCAUUUCUUGAUCCAAUCACUCGAGGGGCCCAGAGAUAUCUCUCUCACAAAGAGAGGGACAAAUUCCAUCUUGACUGACCAUGCCUCACAGCAUGCUUCCUGACAAACCCAAAACUACCUUUAUAACUACCCAGUUACGAGAUAGCGUUUGAUAGUCCCUAAGUAAGUCAAUUCACAUCUUGAGAACAUGCGACAAUCUCAGGUCUAAGGAUACAGUAUUCAUGUUGCAAGAAGAGAACUAUAUUACAAUAUCUCACGUUGGGUCGGUCCAGCCUCAUGUCAUACAUGCGCCCACAUUAUUAGUUUAACAUCUCCAUGUUCAUGACUUGUGAAAUGUAGUCAUCAACUAAUACAUGUGCUAGUCAUCGACUCUGACUAGGGACAUCAUUUAGAAUAACCAUAUAAGUAAAGAAUCUCACAAACAAUUCACAUAAUUGCUAAUCAAUACAAGGUGCCUUCCAUGGAUAUUCAAUUAAGCAAUAUAUAUAUCAUGGAUACAAAGAAAUAUGCUCAUCUCUAUGAUUAUCUCUAGGGCAUAUUUCUAACAGUCUCCCACUUGCACUAGAGUUAAUCUAGAAGAUAUCUAAUACCCAUAGAUCUCACGUGUGCCUCAUGCUUAGGUUGUGGAAGAGGUUUUGUCAAAGGAUCAGCAACAUUCAAAUCCGUAUGUAUUUUGCAUAUCUUUAUCUCACCCCGCCUAAUGAAUUCCCGUAUGAGGUGAAACUUCCGUAGUACGUGUUUGUUUUUCUGGUGGUUCCUUGGCUCCUUAGCUUGCGCAAUAGCCCCAUUGUUGUCACAGUAGAGGUUCAAUGGGCUAGAUGCAUUAGGAAACACACCAAGCUCGAUGAGGAACUUCCUUAUCCAAACACCUUCCUUCGCAGAUUCAGAAGCUGCAAUGUACUCGGCUUCUGUUGUAGAAUCAGUCACAGUCUCCUGUUUGGAACUCUUCUAACUAACAGCACCACCAUUUAUUGUGAACACAAAACCUGAUUGCGAUUUUAACUCGUCUGGGUCAGUUUGGAAGCUAGCAUCGGUGUAACCAGUUACAACGAGCUCCUCCUUACCCCCAUAUACCAGGAACAUAUCUUUAGUCCUUCUCAAGUACUUAAGAAUGCCUUUUACCGCUGUCCAGUGAUCCUCACCUGGAUCAGCCUGGUAUCUACUCGUAGCACUUAUAGCGUAUGAAACAUCUGGGCGUGUACUUAUCAUGGCAUACAUGAUUGAUCCAAUCGCUGAGGCGUAUGGUACCUUACUCAUGCGCUCCCGCUCAUUAGCCGUCGCAGGACAUUGCAUCUGGCUAAGGUGUUUACCAUGUGACAUAGGUAUGAAACCUUUCUUGGACUGUUCCAUGUUGAACCGUUUCAAAACCUUGUCAAUGUACGUAUCUUGACUUAAUCCUAUAAGCCUCUUCGACCUAUCUCUAUAGAUCCUUAUGCCCAAAAUAUAUGCUGCUUCCCCUAAGUCCUUCAUAGAAAAACUCUUUUUCAGUGAAGCCUUGACGGACUCCAGCAUAGGAAUGUCAUUCCCAAUCAAUAAUAUGUCAUCCACAUACAAGAUCAGAAAUACAACAACGCUCCCACUUUCCUUCUUGUAAACACAAGCUUCUUCUUCAUUCUGAUGAAAACCAAGCCCUUUGAUCACUUCAUCAAAACGAAUGUUCCAACUCCGAGAUGCUUGCUUCAACCCAUAAAUGGAUUUUUGAAGUUUGCAUAUCUUUCCAGCAUUGAUCGGAUCGACAAAACCCUCGGGCUGUAUCAUAUACACGUCCUCAUCUAGGUUUCCAUUAAGGAAAGCUGUUUUGACAUCCAUCUGCCAAAUCUCAUAAUCGAAAUAUGCGGCAAUAGCUAGAAUGAUCCGAAUAGAUUUAAGCAUCGCUACUGGCGAGAAUGUCUCAUCAUAGUCAACUCCUUGAACUUGUCGAAAACCUUUUGCAACAAGUCGAGCCUUAUAGAUGUGAACAUUUCCAUCCAUGUCUUUCUUCUUCUUAUAGAUCCAUUUGCAUUCUAUAGGUCUAACACCAUCAGGCGGGUCAACCAAGUUCCAAACUUGAUUUUCUCCCAUGGAAUCUAUCUCGGAUCUCAUGGCGACAUGCCAUUUCUCGGAAUCUGGGUCCAUCAUCGCUUCUGAAUAUGUUGCAGGUUCGUCGUUGUCUAACAACAACACUUCCCCAUUGCCCAACAAUAGCACUUCUCCUCGUGCCUCGCGAAGCCUUGCUGACCUUCGUGGUUGUGGUGGUGAUUCUCUUGCCAUAGACGUCUCAACUUGUUCUGCUACAUUAGCAUCACUUGUCGAAUCUUGUCCCACUGGCUCAUCCUGAACUUCUUCAAGAUACACCUUUUGUUUACUUUUCUCUCUUUUGAGAAACUCUUUCUCUAAGAACACACCGUUCCGGGCGACAAACACUUUGCCCUCUGAGCGGUGGUAAAAGUAAUAUCCUAGAGUUUCCUUUGGAUAACCCACGAACAUGCACUUGUCCGAUUUUGGAGUGAGUUUAUCCGACUGUAGUCGCUUGACGUAAACCUCACAACCCCAAAUCUUCAGAAAAGACAAACUGGGAGUCUUCCCAGUCCACAUCUCAUAUGGUGUCUUAACUACGGACUUAGAUGGUACCCUAUUUAGUGUGAAAGCUGCUGUUUCUAGAGCGUAUCCCCAAAACGACAAAGGUAGGUCCGACUGGCUCAUCAUUGAUCGAACCAUAUCCAAUAAAGUCCGAUUACGUCGCUCAGACACGCCAUUCCUCUGAGGCGUUCCAGGCGGCGUAAGCUGUGGAACAAUUCCACAACUCUUUAGAUGAUUGCUAAACUCAUGACUCAAAUAUUCACCACCACGAUCUGAUCGCAGUGCUUUAAUUUUCUUGCCACGCUGAUUUUCUACUUCAUUCUGAAACUCUUUGAACUUUUCUAAGGAUUCAGACUUGUGUUUCAUUAAGUAGACAUACCCAUAUCUACUAAAAUCAUCAGUGAAGGUUAUGAAGUAUUGGAAUCCUCCCCUAGCUGUCGUACUCAUUGGUCCGCACACAUCAGUAUGUAUGAGUUCCAAUAAAUCUAACGUCCUCUCCGGUAAACCCGUGAAGGGCGCCUUGGUCAUCUUACCAAGUAAGCAAGCUUCACAUGUCUCGUAUGAUUCAAAAUCAAACGAAGUUAAAAGCCCAUCAGAAUGAAGCUUCUUCAUGCGAUUCUCACUUAUAUGACCCAAACGACAGUGCCACAUGUAGGUAGGACUUAAAUCAUUAGGCCGAGGCCUUUUAGCACUAAUAUUACAGAUAGGUGCAUCAUCAAGAUUUAAAAUGAAUAACCCAUUCAUAAUGGAUGCAAAAGCCACAAACAUGCCAUUCUUAGAGAUCACACAACCAUUGUUUUCACUCGCAAAUGAAUAACCAUCCUUCAUCAAACAUGAAGGAGACAUAAUGUUUCGACUCAUACUAGGAACUAGAUAACAAUUAUUUAACUCCAAAAUAAAUCCUGAUGGGAGGUGGAGUUGCAUCGUCCCGACGGUCAACGCAGCAACUCUUGCAUUAUUGCCUACCCGGAAAUCAACUUCUCCUCUUUUCACGCUUCUACUUCUUAUCAUUCCCUGCAUCGAAUUGCAAAUAUGGGCAACCGAUCCGGUAUCAAAUACCCAAGAAUUAAUAUAAGAAUCAGCAAGAAAAAUUUCUGUAAUGUGAAUAGCAAGUGUACCUGCUGCGGCUGUACCCUUACCGCCGCGAUCCUUAAUAGAGGCCAAGUACUGCUUGCAAUUCCUUUUCCAGUGACCAAGUUCUUUGCAAUAAAAGCACUCUGCAUCUGCAGCUGGUCCAGCCUUGGGCUUUUGAUUGGGCUUGGAUACUGUAUCCUUUCCCUUGCCCUUCUUCUUUUGAGACUUACCCUUCUUCUUAAAGUUGGGUUUGUUUUGGACCGCCAUCACAUGGCCGCUGCUGCCAGCACUUUUCUUUAUGUCCCCCUCUGCAGUUUUCAGCAUGCCACAUAGUUCAUUGAGGCCCCUCUCCGCCCCAUGCAUAUGGUAGUUCGUGAUGAAGUUUCCAUAGCUGGGCGGAAGAGAUGCCAAAAUGAAGUCAGUGGCCAACUCUUGGCUUAUUGGGAAGCCUAGCUUCUCCAACCUCUGACUGUAACCAACCAUUUUGAUUACAUGUGGCCCAACUGCUGCGCCUUCUGCUAGCUUGCAUUCCAGAAAGGCUUUGGACACAUUGAACCUUUCAGUCCUAGCCUGAGUCUGGAACAUAUCCUUGAGCGCCACGAUCAUAUCGUACACCUCAUGGUUUGUCUCAAACUGCAUCUGGAGCUCAGGCUCCAUGCAAGCAAGCAUUAGGCAACUCACUUCAAGAUUAGCAUCCAUUGCUUUCUUGUAAGCGGUUUUAGCUGCAGCAGUUGCAUUUUCACCAGGAUCCUCUGGCAGUGGGGUGUCUAGAACGUCUUCCUUUUUUUCAGCCCUGAGAACAAUUCUCAGGUUACGGAUCCAAUCCGUAUAGUUUGUUCCAUUUAACUUAUCCUUUUCAAGAAUUGAUCGCAAAGUAAAUGUUGGUGUGCUAGGUGCCAUCUACAACAAAAUAAUGCAAAAUACUAAGACAAAAGUAUCCAUGAUAGAGUAAAUCAUAUUAAACAUUUAAUAGUCUACUCCCACUAAAAUCAAUAUCCCUCAAUUGAUACUUAGUGAUUCAGAACCCACAACUAACAAGUCUACUAGUGAACUUUAGCAUCACCGCUAGAAGACAAGGUAGAUCGGUAAGCAACUCCUUGCUAAUCAUAUCAUAUAUAUGACUCCUGUUGUUGGGUGACAUCUCUAUGUCUCGGCUCCCAACCUUAUGCCUCAAAGUCCUUAACCAUUAAGCUGACUUUGUUUAAGUUAACCAACCCUUUCUGCAGUUCGUAUCCGAUACAAACCUAUCUAGUCAAGGAAAACUGGUGGCACCCUAAUUUCAUAGACCCACCACCAAUUGUACAAGACUUAUGAUAGUGCAAGGUUUGGAGAGGCAUUUAAAACUUAAACAUUUAUGAGGGAUCGUCCUACUUAUAACAUCGCACGCAAGGAAUUAUAUGCAAUAUAAACAAGUAGAACAAUAAGAAUGGCAUUCACACAACAGUUGUGAUUCGGUAUGGCUUGCUUUCACAUGGUGAUCUCCAUCUCCAAUAAUCUGUCCAUCACGAUGAUCUCCAUCUCCAUGAUAUAGGUAUGCCAUCCUCCAGGUGAUGAGUCCUUCAAGACCUAUCUAACGUAUGCUGGUAAACAAAUUACAUAUAUGCUUUGGAUCAUCACAUGUUGACACGCAGGUCAUUACAUUAAAUUUGGACAAUACAUGUGGCUCCAGCCGUAUUGCCCUGGUCACGACACGCAGGUCAUGAAUAAUUUAUUAACAUGCAUCACAUACACAUAAUAGCCAUACCGAUCACAUGUCCUGCAAAAACAGGUUAGACAAACACGUUUCUAUACGUUCGCCACUACAGCAGAUAGCCACGGCGGUCCCGAGACUUUCGACCCGAAGAAGAUUACACUCAUGACGUCGAUCUGUUGCGUCAAUCUGCUGGUUGUGUACGCAGUUAGCCCCGAUGGUGAUUCCAGCCGGUAGGGGCAAGUCACGCAUACAACAGAGAAGGACGAACUGAUCUCUCCAGUCAUAUCCGAUGUAAUCUACUUCAACCCUUUAUUACCAAUUGAUCUAAUCAAACCGUGCAUCAAGUAGAUCCAUCACAUGAACCUAGAUCCAGACCUAAAACUUACGCAGAACCUGGCUCCGAUACCACUGUGGGAUUACGGGGAGGCUACGCUAGCGCAAAACAAAAAUUUUCAUCCCCAUAAUACCAAGAACUACUGCGGUUAUAGGUCAUGGAAUUACCACUAGACGCGCAGAGCAGCGGAAGCCGUCUCGAUGUAGACGAACGCGUCGAGCAGUGCCGUGCAGUCGCCGGCGUCCUUCAAGUCCUCGCGCGGUUCGUCCAAGUGCUCCAGAUGUAGCACCUCCGAGGUAUCCACACGUACAGGGAGGAAGCGCCGCGUACCGAACUGCUAGGUUCGCGACGGCGGCUUGGCGAGGGCGAGAGGUGGGCGGCGGCUGUCAGUUCGCUGGUGGCGAAUUAGGUUAUCCUUAACCGCGCCCCCGCCCCUCAUUAUAUAGGCGUUAUGGUGGGCUUCUGACGCCGAGGCCCAUCAUUAACCCUAAAGCCCAGUCUAAUUUCGGAUCUAAUCCGAAUUAGGCUUCCUUCCCCUUAAGUGUGUGACCCUAUAGGUUCACGUACAAAUAGACAUAGCCCGAGUACUCUUACUUGGCCCAAUAAUUGACAGCGGCCUCUAGCAAGACAUGUCAACUCCUAUGUGUACGUAAAGAUCAUAUCAGACGAACCAUUGCGACAUUACGUACAUGCUGUUCCCUUUGUCUCACGAUAUUUGGUCUGGCUCUAAGCUGACCUCUCUUUCUCGAUACUGUGAAUUGGAAUCCUUUCAAUGGUUAACUCUUAACCCUAGCACGGCCAUGCAUUUCUUGAUCCAAUCACUCGAGGGGCCCAGAGAUAUCUCUCUCACAAAGAGAGGGACAAAUUCCAUCUUGACUGACCAUGCCUCACAUCAUGCUUCCUGACAAACCCAAAACUACCUUUAUAACUACCCAGUUACGAGAUAGCGUUUGAUAGUCCCUAAGUAAGUCAAUUCACAUCUUGAGAACAUGCGACAAUCUCAGGUCUAAGGAUACAGUAUUCAUGUUGCAAGAAGAGAACUAUAUUACAAUAUCUCACGUUGGGUCGGUCCAGCCUCAUGUCAUACAUGCGCCCACAUUAUUAGUUUAACAUCUCCAUGUUCAUGACUUGUGAAAUGUAGUCAUCAACUAAUACAUGUGCUAGUCAUCGACUCUGACUAGGGACAUCAUUUAGAAUAACCAUAUAAGUAAAGAAUCUCACAAACAAUUCACAUAAUUGCUAAUCAAUACAAGGUGCCUUCCAUGGAUAUUCAAUUAAGCAAUAUAUAUAUCAUGGAUACAAAGAAAUAUGCUCAUCUCUAUGAUUAUCUCUAGGGCAUAUUUCUAACAGUUGUAGAUCCUCGGCUUGAGUCCUUGCAGAAUCAUGGCGUUGGCACGCUCUACUUGCCCAUUCGUCAUGGGGUGAGCCACGGCGGCCCAGUCCACCCGAAUGUGGUGAUCCUCGCAGAAGUCCGGGAACUUUCUGCCGGUGAACUGGGUGCCGUUGUCGGUGAUGAUGGAGUUUGGGACCCCAAAGCGAUGGAUGAUGUUGGUGAAGAACGCCACCACCUGUUCGGACCUGAUGCUGUUUAGGGGUCGGACCUCGAUCCACUUGGAGAAUUUGUCGAUAGCGACCAACAGGUGCGUGUAGCCCCCGGGUGCCUUCUGCAAGGGACCGACGAGGUCCAGACCCCACACAACAAAUGACCGGGUGAUGGGUAUUGUCUGCAGAGCCUGAGCGGGCAGGUGGGUCUGCCUUGCGUAGAAUUGACACCCUUGGCAGGUGCGGACAAUUCUAGUGGCGUCGUCCACCGCGGUUGGCCAGUAGAAACCUUGUCGGAAAGCGUUUCCAACAAGGGCUCGAGGCGCUGCGUGAUGACCGCAAGCCCCCGAGUGUAUUUCUUGUAAGAGCUCCUGACCUUCGACGAUGGAUAUGCAUCUCUGGAGGAUGCCGGAGGGGCUGCGGUGGUAGAGCUCCUUCCCGUCCCCUAGCAAGACGAACGACUUGGCGCGCCGCGCCAGUCGCCGAGCUUCGGCUCGGUCGAGGGGCAGCUCUCCCCGGUGGAGAUAUUGCAGGUAUGGGGUCUGCCAAUCCCGAUUAGGCGGGACCCCAUUCCGCUCCUCCUCGACGCGCAGUGCCUCACCCUCGGGGGCCGAGGGUGCCUCGGGCUGAACCGAGGGCGCCUCGGGCUUAGCCGAGGGUGCCUCGGGCAGGGCCGAGGCCUUCUCGGGCUCGGGCGUGUCGUCGGUCUUGACUGUGUGUUGAUGUCGGUCUCGGGAGAAGACGUCCGGGGGAACCGUUGUCCACCCCGAGGCUAUCUUAGCCAGCUCAUCCGUAGUCUCGUUGUAUCGUCGGGCGAUGUGGUUGAGCUCGAGCCCGUAGAACUUGUCUUCCAGGCGCCGAACCUCAUCGCAGUAGGCUUCCAUCUUCGGGUCGCGGCAGUGGGAGUUCUUCAUGACUUGGUCGAUGACGAGCUGUGAGUUGCCACGAGCGUCGAGGCGUCGGACCCCUAGCUCGAUGGCGAUGCGCACCCCGUUAACCAGAGCCUCGUACUCAGCCACAUUGUUGGACGCCGGGAAAUGGAGGCGCAGCACGUAGCGGAGGUGCUUCCCGAGGGACGAGAUGAAGAGCAGGCCCGCGCCUGCCCCUGUUUUCAUCAGCAACCCGUCGAAAAACAUGGUCCAGAGUUCCGGUUGGAUCGGAGCUGCUGGAAGCUGGGUGUCGACCCAUUCAGCCACAAAGUCCGCCAAGACUUGGGACUUGAUGGCCUUCCGAGGGGCGAACGAGAUUGCUUCGCCCAUGAUUUCCACCGCCCACUUUGCAAUCCUACCCGAGGCCUCCCGGCACUGGAUGAUCUCCCCCAGGGGGAAGGAUGACACCACAGUCACCGGAUGAGACUCGAAGUAGUGUCGCAACUUCCGCCGCGUCAGAAUCACAGCAUACAGCAGCUUCUGGAUCUGUGGGUAGCGGAUCUUGGUCUCGAACAAUACCUCACUGAUGAAGUAGACCGGCCUCUGAACAGGCAAUGCAUGUCCUUCUUCUCGUCUCUCAACCACGAUCGCGGCGCUGACCACCUGAGUGGUAGCGGCGACGUAGAUCAAGAGGGCUUCUCUGGCAACGAGGGGCACCAAGAUGGGCGCGUUCGUAAGGAGCGCCUUCAGUUUCCCGAGGGCUUCCUCGGGCUCGGGGGUCCAAGUGAAGCACUCGGUCUUUCUUAAGAGGCGAUACAGAGGUAGGCCUCUUUCGCCGAGGCGCGAGAUGAAGCGGCUCAGAGCCGCAAGGCAUCCCAUGACCCUCUGUACGCCUUUCAAGUCCUUGAUGGGCCCCAUGUUGGUGAUGGCCGUGAUUUUCUCCGGGUUGGCCUCGAUGCCCCGCUCGGAGACGAUGAACCCCAAGAGCAUGCCUCGGGAGACUCCGAAGACACACUUCUCGGGAUUGAGUUUCACGCCCUUCGCCUUGAGACACCAGAAUGUCGUUUCAAGGUCGGAGAGGAGGUCGGAGGCUUUCCUCGUCUUGACUACGAUGUCAUCGACGUAAGCCUUGACCGUUCGACCAAUGUGCUCGCCAAACACGUGGUUCAUGCACCUUUGGUACGUCGCACCCUCAUUCCUCAAACCAAAUGGCAUAGUAACGUAGUAGUACGUGCCAAAAGGUGUGAUGAAAGAAGUCGCGAGGUGGUCGGACUCUUUCAUCCUGAUUUGGUGAUACCCCGAGUAGGCAUCGAGGAAAGACAGGGUUUCGCACCCAGUAGUGGAAUCCACGAUUUGAUCGAUGUGAGGCAGAGGGUAGGGAACCUUCAGACAUGCUUUGUUUAGACCAGUGUAGUCUACACACAUCCGCCAUUUCCCUCCUUUCUUUCUCACAAGCACAGGGUUGGCAAGCCAUUCGGGAUGGAAUACCUCUUUGAUGAACCCAGCGGCCAUUAGCUUGUGGAUCUCCUCUCCUAUGGCUCUGCGCUUUUCUUCGUCGAAUCGGCGCAGAGGCUGCUUCACGGGUCGGGCUCCAGCUCGGAUAUCCAGCGAGUGCUCGGCGACAUCCCUCGGUAUGCCAGGCAUGUCCGAGGGACUCCACGCAAAAACUUCGGCGUUUGCGCGGAGAAAGUAGACGAGCACUGCUUCCUAUUUGGGGUCGAGCUUGGAGCCGAUCCGUAUCUGCUUGGAGGUGUCGUUGCUGGGGUCGAGAGGGACGGACUUAACUGUCUCUGCUGGCUCGAAGUUGUCGGCAUGGCGCUUCACGUCUGGCGCCUCCUUGGAGAGGCUCUCCAGGUCGGCGAUGAGGGCCUCGGAUUCGGCGAGGGCCUCGGCGUACUCCACGCACUCUACGUCGCAUUCGUACGCGUGUCGGUACGUGGGGCCGACGGUGAUGACCCCGUUGGGGCCCGGCAUCUUGAGCUUGAGGUAGGUGUAGUUGGGGACGACCAUGAACUUGGCGUAGCAUGGCCUCCCCAGCACUGCGUGGUAGGUUCCUCGGAACCCGACCACCUCGAACGUGAGGGUUUCCCUUCGGAAGUUGGAGGGAGUCCCGAAGCAGACGGGCAGAUCGAGUUGUCCGAGGGGCUGGACGCGUUUUCCGGGGAUGAUCCCAUGAAAAGGCGCCGCGCCUGCCCAGAUCGAGGACUGAUCGAUCUGCAGGAGCCCGAGGGUCUCGGCGUAGAUGAUGUUGAGGCUGCUACCUCCGUCCAUGAGGACCUUGGUGAGGCUGACGUUGCCGAUGAUGGGGUCAACAACGAGCGGAUACUUCCCCGGGCUCGGCACGCGAUCGGGGUGGUCGCCCUGGUCGAAGGUGAUGGGCUUGUCGGACCAGUCUAGGUAGACUGGCGCCGCCACCUUUAUCGAGCAGACCUCCCGACGCUCUUGCUUGCGGUGCCGAGCCGAGGCGUUCGCCACUUGCCCACCGUAGAUCAUGAAACAGUCGUGGACCUCGGGGAACUCCUCAGCCUUGUGAUCCUCCUUCUUGUCGUUGUUGUGGGCUCGGCCACCUUCCACCGGUGGCCCAGCCCUGUGGAAGUGGCGCCGAAGCAUGACGCACUCCUCGAGGGUGUGCUUGACGGGCCCCUGGUGAUAGGGGCACGGCUCCGUUAGCAUCUUGUCGAAGAGGUUGGCGCCUCCGGGAGGUUUCCGAGGGUUCUUGUACUCAGCGGCGGUGACAAGGUCCGCAUCGGCGGCGUCACGUUUCGCUUGCGACUUCUUCUUGCCUUUCUUCUUGGUGCCGCGCUGAGUGGAUGCCUCGAGGACAUCUUCCGGUUGGCGGCCCUGGGGCUGCUUGUCCUUCCAGAAGAUGGCCUCAACCGCCUCCUGGCCAGAGGCGAACUUGGUGGCGAUGUCCAUCAGCUCGCUCGCCCUGGUGGGAGUCUUGCAACCCAGCUUGCUCACCAGGUCGCGGCAGGUGGUGCCGGCGAGGAACGAGUCGAUGACGUCCGAGUCGGUGACGUUGGGUAGAUCGGUGCGCUGCUUCGAGAAUCACCAGAUGUAGUCCCGGAGAGACUCUCCCGGCUGCUGGCGGCAGCUUCGGAGAUCCCAGGAGUUCCCAGGGCGCACGUACGUGCCCUGGAAGUUGCCAGCAAAGGCUUGGACCAGGUCAUCCCAGUUGGAGAUCUGCCCCGGAGGCAGAUGCUCCAGCCAGGCUUGAGCGGUGUCAGAGAGGAACAGGGAGAGGUUGCGGAUGAUGAGGUUGUCAUCGUCCGUUCCACCCAGCUGGUAGGCCAGUUGGUAGUCCACGAGCCACAGUUCCGGCCUUGUGUCCCCCGAGUACUUUGUGAUGGUAGCCGGGGUUCGGAACCGGGUCGGGAACGGCGCCCGUCGUAUGGCCCGGUUGAAAGCCUGCGGACCGGGUGGUUCGGGCGAGGGACUCCGAUCCUCCCCGCUAUCGUAUCGUCCCCCACGCUUGGGGUGGUAGCCUCGGCGCACCCUCUCGUCGAGGUGGGCUCGACGGUUGCGGUGGUGGUGCUCGUUGCCGAGGCGACCCGGGGCUGCAGGCGCUGUGUUGCGCGUGCGCCCGGUGUGGACCGAGGCUUCCCGCAUGAAUCGGGAAGUCGCGGCGCGAUGCUCCGAGGGGUACCCCUGCCUUCGGGAGGCAGAGCUUUCGGCCCGUCGGACCGCAGCAUCCUCCAGGAGAUUCUUGAGCUCUCCCUAGAUACGCCGCCCUUCGAUGGUUGAUGGUUCCGGCAUCGCUCGGAGUAGUAUUGCUGCCGCAGCCAGGUUCUGGCCGACCCCACUGGAAGCCGGUGGCGGCCUUGCCCUGACGUCGUCGGCAAUGCGGAGCUAGAUGCCCUGGGGCAGAUGACGCACUUCUUCGGCUAGAGCUCGGUCUGCCCAUUCCUGCCCGAUGUUCCGCUGGAACUGCUCAAGUGUUCCUGCUCCCUCGUCGAGCCUGGCCUGCACCUCGCGGAUUUGCUCGAGCUGUGCGUCCUGACCCCCCACAGGGACUGGGACCACAGCUAGCUCCCGAAGGAUGUCAACGCGAGGCGCAUGCCUAGAAGGAUCACCGUUUUCCGGCAUACCAAGAUGGUUGCCUUCGCCGGGACCCCCUAGAUCGACGUGGAAACAUUCACGACUUGGGCUGCAGUCCUCGUCGCCGAAGCUGCGGCUACCAUCGGAACAAUCGGAGAGGCAGUAGUCGCAUGCGGUCAUGAAGUCCCGCAUGGCACUGGGGUUACCGAGCCCGGAGAUAUCCCAACAAAAGUCGGGCUCGUCAUGUUCCUCGGAACCCGAGGGUCUGUAGGUCGAGACGGCCGUCAGCCGGUCCCAGGGUGACCGCAUAUGAUACCCCAGAGGGUUUGUAUGUGCCUUUACGAAAGCGUCCACCGAAGCAGGGUCACUCGGUGGGUCGCAGCUGGAUCUAAAAGGCACGAAAUGGGAAUCGGUCGGUACCUCUUGGUCGACGGGCGGUGACGAAUUGAGUCAGGGGCGGACUGCGUCGUCGUCUCAGGUAUGAGGGUGACGCCCAACAAGUCCCUCGUGAGUGUGCUGGCGUCGUUCGUCCGCUUGGAGCUGGCGUGUUGCGGGGAAACGGCGCUCGUCUUCGUCUCAGACGCGAGGUUGACGCCCGACGUGUCCCCCGUUGGGGCGUCGGCGCCGUCGACUCGCUCGACAGCCGACGAGGUGCCGCCUCCUGCUUGGCCAUGCCUGCCUCGUCUCCUCCGUCGGUGGGGAAGGUGACGGGACAGACCCGAAUGUCGUUCUUCCGCCACGUGGGGAAGACGUCGUUGAUUCCGCCUCCGACGGGCGGGCUGUCGGCCGCCAUUGUCGCUGUCGCGCGGCGGAGGAAGGAGUAUCAUGUCGUAGCCGCCGUCGAGGGACAUAAACUCAAGACUCCCAAAACGGAGAAUCGUCCCGGGUUGGAAAGGUUGCUGGAGACUACCCAUCUGGAGCUUGACGGGAAGCUGUUCGUCAACACGCAGCAGGCCCUACCUGGCGCGCCAACUAUCGGCGUUUCGACCCCGGGGGUCCCUGGACCGACGAGUAAAUUGUCGCCGCGUGUCCCAGCCCAGAUGGGUCGGCGCGAGAUGGAGCACGAAGGGGGGGAAAAGGAGACAGGCAAAAUGGGAAACCCGCGGCCUUCGUGUUGUCCUGCGCCCAGGUCGGGUGCGCUUGCAGUAGGGGGUUACAAGCGUCCGCGUGGGAGAGAGCGAGGGACUUGCGCGUCGGCCCGUUCUCCCGCGCGGCCAACCUUCUCGUACGAGAGCCCUGGACCUUCCUUUUAUAGGCGUAAGGAGAGGGUCCAGGUGUACAAUAGGGAGAGUAGCAGUGUGCUAACGUAUCUAGCAGAGAGGAGCUAGUGCCCUAAGUACAUGCCGUCGUGGCAGCUAGAGAGGUUUUGGCACCCUGUUCAUGUGAUGUCGUGGCCGUCGGAGGAGCACUGGAGCCUUGCGGAAGGACAGCUGUCAGGGUUGUCGAGUCCUUGCUGACGUCUCCUUGCUUCCAUAAGGGGCUGAGAGACGUCGUCGUCAUGGAGCACGCGGGGCGCCAUCAUUAUUUGUUUACCGGGGCGAGCCAGAUGGGACGCCGGUCUUGUUCCCCGUAGCCUGAGCUAGCUAGGGGUAGGGUAAUGAUGGCCUCCUCUGUGACGUGGUCGGUCCGAGCCUUGGGUCGGGCGAGGCGGAGGCUCCUCCGAGGUCGAGGUCGAGGUCGAGUCUGUCUUCCGAGGUCGAGGUCGAGUCCGAGCCCCGGGUCGGGCGAGGCCGAGACCGUUGUCCGAGGCCAAGGCUGAGCCCGAGCCCUGGGCUCAGGCGAGGCGGAGUUCGUCGUCUUCCGAGGCCGAGACGGGGGCCGAACCCUGGGGUCGGGCGAGGCGGAGCUUCCUAUGGCGCCCGAGGCCGGACUUGGCUGCUGUCAGCCUCAUCCUGUCGAGUGGCACAACAGUCGGAGCGACGCAGGCGGCGCUGUCUUCUUGUCAGGUCAGUCAGUGGAGCGGCAAAGUGACUACGGUCACUUCGGCUCUGUCGACUGAAGAGCGCGUGUCAGGAUAAGGUGUCAGGCCAUCCUUGCAUUAAAUGCUCCUGCGAUACGGUCGGUCGGCGUGGCGAUCUGACCAAGGUUGCUUCUCGGCGAAGACUGGGCCUCGGGCGAACCAAAGGUGUGUCCGUUGCUUGAGGGGCCCCUCGGGCGAGACGUGAAUUCUCUGGGGUCGGCUACCCUUGCCCGAGGCUGGGCUCGGGCGAGGCGAGAUCAUGUCCCUUGAAUGGACCGAGCCUUGACCUUAAUCGCACCCAUCAGGCCUUUGCAGCUUUGUGCUGAUGGGGGUUACCAGCUGAGAUUAGGAGUCUUGGGGUACCCCUAAUUAUGGUCCCCGACACUAUUAAUAAGAUAUGUGGCUGAUAGAAAAGCUUCAUCCCAAAAUUUUAGCGGCAUAGAAGCAUGAGAUAGUAAGGAGAGGCCAACUUCGACAAUGUGUCGAUGCUUUCGUUCAUGUGCCCCAUUUUGCUGGUGCGUAUGAGGGCAGGAGACCAAAUGAGAUAAGCCAAUUUUAGUAAAAACUAGAUUUAACUUUUGAUAUUCUCCUCCCAGUCUGUUUGAAUGGCGCGAAUUUUUCUAUCAAUUUGCCUUUCAACGAGUUGUUGAAAUUCAAUAAAUUUUUGGAACACCUCAGAUUUCAGUUUGAUAAGGUAAAUCCAGGUAAAUUUGCUGUAAUCAUCAAUAAAGCUGACAUAAUAUUGUUUUCUGCCUACAUACUAAAUUGCAGGACCCCAUACAUCAGAAAAUAUGAGCUCUAAAGGAGAGCUGGACUUACUAGAUGUAUGGGGUCCUGCAAUUGCAGGACCCCAUACAUUCUCAGGUGCUAUUCUCAGGUGCCAUCCAAAGUAGCGGGAGGUUGUUACUCGAGUAUAGGAUAUACAUGGAUAUAGAAUACAUUGCAUAUCUAUUCUAAUAGAUACUACAUAGGAUAACUAGCACAUCUUGUCAACAAAUAAUGUUUAGUAGAAGAUCUACAUGAAUGUAAGGAAAAUGGACCGUGGUCUAUUUGCUUAUGUAAUUUUAGUGUUUGAUGAUCAACACAACCUAUGGACUAAUAUAUUUGCUAGUGUUUAUUAUUAUAGUUCAAAGGAUGUAGAGUAGACUUGAACCCCUCAAAGAAGACAAUAGAAAACUCAUUGAAGACUUGACAACAUCAUGCAAGAGUCCAAGGCACAAAACAAAAAAAAGCCCAAGUGAAGUAACAUGAAGAAUAAAAGACUAAGCUAUAACAGGGUAACCGGACGGUCCAGAGGUACACCGGACCUAGACACCAGACUAAACACGUAGAGAUGUAUAAUAUGCACCUGAGCCUGCUGGCACACCAGACCGCACAGGCUCAAUGGUUGGUAACGACUAGCUUGAACUUUCACAUGAUGUGGUAGGCACCUGACCAAUCCGAUUUAAACUGUUGGCACACCGAACCUCUGGUGUGCAGCAAAAAAGCUGACAACCAUCCAACGACAAGAUGACGUGAAAUGGUUCCAGAUUAGGUCCGAUAUACACAGUUGGUGCAUUAGAUCGGUACGCAAAAAAUCAUACUACCUUCGAACGACUCUUUUGGCCUUGGGGCUCUAUAUAUACCAUACAACUAGCCAUUUGAAGCUAUGGAGAGCUAAGAAACUCAGUGUAUGUGUUGAGACACAAUUCCAUGGCUCAAAACAUCCACGUGCUCAAUAGAAUCCCUCGAUGAUUAGCAUAGGUGCUUUACAAACCGCUGGAUAACACUUGCUCUAGGUUUAUUCCUAGUUGGUUAGAGUGAGGUUAGACAACCCAAAAACCCCUCAUCUCUUGCGCGAGUCAUGCAAGAUCACAUCAACCAUGUUUGUGGUGUGGCCGCCACCAUAUACUGAAGGGAAUGAAGCCAACGACGUUUUAGCUAGAAGCCCAAUAGUAAAGACAGCGGGGAGUGAAAGGGAACUGGGCCAUAAGGCUAUUUCUAUAUUAGUUUUGGUGUUUGAUGACCAUCACAACCUUAUGGACUAACUAGUUUGCUACAUGAAUAGUCUUAGGUUCAUAAGAUUAAGAUUUGAAGAUUUAAGUUAGAAAUAGCUCAAACACGAGCUAAAAGGGCACAUUUUAGAAAAAGAUGAACUAUAAGUAGUUCAAGUACUUGGAUAAGUUAUAAGUUCCCUAGGAACACAUGUGGGCAUAAAAAGAGGUUGGGAAGUUCAGAAAUUGAUAUUGACACUUUGGAGCCAAGUUUGAGCAAAAAUGAGAAUAUGAGUAAUAACUGGCAAGCCUAUUGUAUCCCCAUUUAGUGCGCGCAAUGACACAUCUAUAUGUCGACCAACUACCAUCUAAGUACAUACUAAGGCGAUACACAAGAAACACGAUAGUGGUGACAAGAUUCGAUAGACAUGAUAAAGCAUUAUGUGUUGCUAAUGGUAACACACUGGCAUGAAGAACAAAGUCAAUUCUUGUAGAUGUUUCCAAGCUAAAAAGAUGAGUGCUAAACACGAUAGUGGCAUGAAGAACAAAGUCAAUUCUUGGAGAGAUCCUAUAUUUAUAGAGGAAAUUAAGCACUUAAAUCAGAUUUUUUGUUUUCAUGCAUCCCAAUCCAUUUUCUUUCAACGCACAUUCUUGCCAUCCUAAAUGUGUGUGCAUGCAGCAGGAAACAUAAUUUUUGCGUUGUACCGCAGUGUAUAAAUAUAUAUACUGUGUAGCAUAAUUAGUGUCAGUAUAUGUCAUAAACCGGUUCCAACGAUUCUACCUGCAUGGCUGUUGUCAAGAUUCUACUUUUAUGGACGAAAUAAAGCAUUUAAAUCAGAUUUUUUUGUUGCCAUGCAUGCCAAUUUAUUUCCUUUCAACCCACAUUCUUAAUCUCCUAAAUUUGUGCGCAUGCAGCAGGAAACAUAUUUUUUAUGCGGUGUACCACACUGUAUAAAUAUCUAUACAAUGUAGCAUAAUUAAUAUCAGUAUAUAUCAUAAACUAGUUCCAACGAGCAUAAUAACUGCAUUGCUGUUGUAGAGAUCCUAUUUUUAUGGACAAAAUAAAACACUAAAAUUAGUUUUUUUGUUUCCAUGCAUGUCAAUCCAUUUUCCUCUCAACGCACAUUAUUGUCAUCCUAAAAUUGUGUCCAUGCAGCAUGAAAUUGAUUUUUAUGCAGCGUACCAUAUUGCAUAAAUACCUACACUGUGUAGCAUAGCUUGUGACAUUAUAUUUCAUAAAAUAUUUCUAAUGAGUCUAGCUACAUAGCUGUUAUAGAGAUCAUAUAUUUAUGGAAAGAAUAAAUCAUUCAAAUCAGAUUUUUUGUUUCCAUGUAUGCAGCAGUUAACUGAUACACUUCAUAAUUAUUCGCGCAUGCAAAUGAAAACAAACUGCGCGCAUGCAAGGAAUGGAUGCAUGCGGGAGGUGGGCUGGCGGCCAGGAUGCGAUGGUGCAUGGCUGGCUGGGGCUUCCUGUAUGCUAUAGAAGCCUAGAGAUUAUAUAUAUAUAGUGGAAAAUUAAAAAAUAGAAAAUAAUCACUGUCCGCUAAGUUUAAAAAGCGAUAGUGGCAAAAUAUUUUCACUAGCGUUUGUUAUAAGAGAACCAACCGUGGAAAUUUAUUUCCAUAGGCGGUUGAGUAAAUAAAACCGCCUAAUGGCGGAUGCAGGACAUAAUUUCAUGUGGGGCCAAACAAAAUCAUAAGACAUCUAGAUAAGAUUAUAAAACAGAUGUAACACUGCAUAUAGAAUCUAGUGAUCAAACAAUAGAAAUUAAAAUUUGAAAGAAGAGAAAAAUAUGAACAAGAAAAACUAACAUGUCAAUGUUGCGAUGGCUGAAUGACUGAAUUGUGCGGGUGUGAGUGCAGGGAGAAGGGGGAUGGACGGGCGACAGCGACAUUGGUGCGGCGACAGAGUUGGUGAGCGCAGAAGGGGAGCUAGGUGUGGCAGCGACAUUGGUGCAACACAGAAGAGGGCAGGCGACAAAGUCAGGGCGAGUACAACAAGGGGAUGGCGACGACGGAGUCAAGCACUUCUACCUUGUGUUGAUCGGAUACAACGAUAACAAAAUAGAAGCGGAAUCGGUCUGUUUUAGAAAGUUGUGGAGUUGGAUUGUUGGACAGGAUGGUGGAUGUGUGCUGCAUUUUGCCUUCAUGUCCUUACUAUUUUUUUCAAUUCGCAUCAUAUUCAACAUAUAUAUAAGAAGACAAAAAAUUGAGGUGGGGCCACAGCCCCCUUUGCCCACCCCGUGGCUCCGCCCCUGAAACCGCCCACAAUUUCUACUCAUCCCUAGCACUAGCGGUUCUAAAAAACGUUAGUGAAAAUGAGUUACGAACUACCUCUAUGUAACUUCUUUGUACUAGUAUCUCAUCUGAUCUCUUAUUUCAAAUGACACUGUUUACAGGUAAUUAGUGUUAUCUACAUAUGUAGGCAUGCAAUGCACGAUUGUUAGCCACGACAUAUUAGGCUAUCUCCCACGGUCUCACAGUGUCACUUCUUAUUUCAAACUUGUCGGGGACCAUAAUUAGGGGUACCCUCAAGACGCCUAAUUCUCAGCUGGUAACCCCCAUCAGCAUAAAGCUGCAAAGGCCUGAUGGAUGCGAUUAAGUCAGGGAUCAGUCCAUACGAGUGACUCGAUCACGCCUCGCCCGAGCCUAGCCUCGGACAAGGGCAGCCGAACCCGAGGGAUUUCCGUCUCGCCCGAGGCCCCCCUUUUAACGGCGGACACAUCUCCGGCUCGCCCGAGGCCUUGCCUUCGCUAAGAAGCAACCCUGACUAAAUCGCCGCGCCGACCGACCGAGUCGCAAGAGCAUUUAACGCAAAGGUGGCCUGACACCUUUAUCCCGACGCGCGCCCCCCGGCAGAGCCGAAGUGACCACCGUCACUUCGCCGCUCCACUGACCGGUCUGACAGAAGGACAGCGCCGCCUGCGCCACUCCGACUGCAGUGCCACUUGACAGAGUGAGACUGACAGGCAGUCAGGCCCUGCCAAAGGCACCAUAGGAAACUCCGCUCCGCCUGACCCAGGGCUCGGACUCGGGCUAAGCCUCGGAAGACGGCGAACUCCGCUCCGCCCGACCUAGGGCUCGGACUCGGGCUAAGCCCCGGAAGACGGCGAACUCCGCUCCGCCCGACCCAGGGCUUGGACUCGGGCUAAGCCCCAGAAGACGGCGAACUCCGCUCCGCCCGACCCAGGGCUCGGACUCGGGCUAAGCCCCAGAAGACGGCGAACUCCGCUCUGCCCGACCCAGGGCUCGGACUCGGGCUAAGCCCCGGAAGACGGCGAACUCCGCUCCGCCCAACCCAGGGCUCGGACUCGAGCUAAGCCCCGGAAGACGGCGAACUCUGCUCCGCCCGACCCAGGGCUCGGACUCGGGCUAAGCCCCGGAAGACGGCGAACUCCGCUCCGCCCGACCCAGGGCUUGGACUCGGGCUAAGCCCCAGAAGACGGCGAACUCCGCUCCGCCCGACCCAGGGCUCGGACUCGGGCUAAGCCCCAGAAGACGGCGAACUCCGCUCCGCCCGACCCAGGGCUCGGACUCGGGCUAAGCCCCGGAAGACGGCGAACUCCGCUCCGCCCAACCCAGGGCUCGGACUCGAGCUAAGCCCCGGAAGACGGCGAACUCUGCUCCGCCCGACCCAGGGCUCGGACUCGGGCUAAGCCCCGGAAGACGGCGAACUCCGCUCCGCCCGACCCAGGGCUCGGACUCGGGCUCAGCCCCAGAAGACGACGAACUCCGCUUCGCCCGACCCCAGGGCUCGGACUCCGCCCUGGCCUCUACCGAACGACCUCCGCCUCGCCCGACCCAGGAGCUCGGGCUCGGCCCCGACCAUGGAAGACAGACUCGACCUCGGCUUCGGAGGAGCCUCCACGUCGCCCGACCUAGGGCACAGGCCCGCCACGUCAACAGGAAGCGCCAUCAUCACCCUACCCCGAGCCGACUCGGGCCGCAGAGAACAAGACCGGUGUCCCAUCUAGCUAGCUCCGCCAGAUAGGCAAUGAUGGCGCCCCGCAAGCCCUGUGACGACGGCGGCUCUCAGCUCUCUUACGGAAGCAGUGGGACGUCAGCAAGGACUCAACCACUCCGACAGCUGUCCCUCCGCCAGGCUCCGUUGCUCCUCCGACAGCCACGACAUCACACCAGCAGGGUGCCAAGGUCCCUCCGGCUGCCACAUUGGCAUGUACUUAGGGCGCUAGCUCUCCCCAGCUAGACAUGUAGCACUUUGCUACACCCCCAUUGUACACCUGGAUCCUCUCCUUACGCCUAUAAAAGGAAGGACCAGGGCCCUCUUAGAGAAGGUUGGCCGCGCGGGGACGAGGACGGGACAGGCGCUCUCUUGGGGCCGCUCGCUUCCCUCACCCGCGUGGACGCUUGUAACCCCCUAAUGCAAGCGCACCCGACCUGGGCGCGGGACGAACACGAAGGCCGCGGGAUUUCCACCUCUCUCACGCCCGUCUCCGGCCACCUCGCUUCCCCCCUUCACGCUCGCCCACGCGCUCGACCAAUCUGGGCUGGGGCACGCGGCACACUCACUCGUCGGCUUAGGGACCCCCGGUCUCGAAACGCCGACAGUUGGCGCGCCAGGUAGGGGCCUGCUGCGUGUUGACGAACAGCUUCCCGUCAAGCUCCAGAUGGGCAGUCUCCAGCAACCUCUCCGGCCCGGGACGGUGCUCCGUUUCGGGAGUCUUGAGUUCAUGUCCUUCGACGGCAGCUACGACAUGAUACUCCUUCCACCGCCGCGCGACAACGACAAUGGCGGCCGACAACCCGCUCGCCGGCGGCGGAAUCGACGACAUCUUCCCCGCGUGGUGGAAGAACAACAUUCGAGCUCGCCCCGUCCUCUCCCCUGCCAACGGAGGAGGAGGCGAGGCAACCAAGGCCAAGCGGGAGGCCGCGCUUCGUCGGCUGUCAAGCGAAUCGACGUCCCCAGCUGUAACACCCUGAAUUUGGGGGUAUAAAAUUUCUUUGCUAAUAUUCACAAAUUCAGGUGUUAUUUCCCUUUUCUCAUCCUUCCUCAUUCUUUUCUUUCUCAUUUCUAUAGGAGAAAAGUGCUUAUUUUAUUUGUAAUUAUAGUUUAUUAUGUUAAACCCUAAGGGAGUAUGAAUUGUUGCAUCAUGUUGAACCCUAGAUUUCACUUUUGCUUGGUGCAUAAUUCUUGGAAAGUUUGAUUUGAAUUUGUGGCUCAUUUGGAUUUGAAUCAAUUGGAGAAAAUAAAAAGAAAAGGGAAAACAAUUCCAGAAUAAAAAGAAAAGAGAAAGAGGCCUAACCCCGCCGCCCCCUCGGCCUUUCGGCCCAGCCGGCCCAAUCCCGCGCGCGCGCUCUCCCCCUCCCGCUCUCUCUGCCCUGGCGGGCCCGCCCGUCAGCGUAGCCGCCUCUCGCGCGCCCGCCUCCGCUCUCCCCUCUCUCUCUGCUCGCGGGCCCGGGCUGUCAGCCCCGUUGUCCCCGCGUAACCGCCGCCGAGCUGCGCGCGCCCGCCUUCUCCGCGCCCACGUCGCGUGUGGAGCUCGCAACUGACCCGCCCCUGGCCACUUGAGCCCCGAACCCCACUCGCCAUCGCCCCCUCCCCCAUUUGCGCUCUAGCGGACCCCUCUUCCACCUCUCCCUCGCUGCGCGCACGCAGAGCGCCGCCGCCGUAAACCCCGCCGUCCCGAGCUCGUUUCUCGGCUGCCAUUGGAGCUCCGCCGUGUCCGUUGCCACGGUGAGCUUCGCCCCGGCGUCCGCAACCCGGGACGCGCCCCAACUCCCUCUCCCCCUCCCUAUUUCUUUCUGCCCGCACUCACCCGCCGUUCCCCGUGCAGCCGCGGAGGUCCGCCACCGUCGCCCCGAGCCACCGUCGCGCCAUUGCCGCCGCCGAGGAGUCCCCGGAGCCCGCCUUGAGGUAAAGAACCUCUCCCGCCCCUAUCGACCCGUGUAUUGCCUUCUGUUGCGCUUAAUUCCUCGCCGGAGUAGAGUAAUCCCGCCGCCGAGCCGUUCCGCCGUGAACCGCCCCCCUCCUGUGCCCCUGCCCCGACCCAGACCCCACUAGAGGACUCCCCGUGCCCUCCCCAACCUUUCCUGGCCACUCAGGUCGCCCCAGAGACCCGCCAAACGCCCGCGCCCCUCGUCUCCGGCGAGCUCUCCGCCGCGGGGACGAGCGCCGCCGCCCCAGCUAGCCGUAGGAGAAGCCCAGGCCCACUUCCCCCUCACCCCGUCUCCCUGCCGUUUGGGCCCCGCCUGUCAGCCCGCCCGCGCGCGCGCUCUGCCCGCCGGCCCCGCCUGUCAGCCCGCCCGCGCGCGCUCUGCCCGCCGGCCCCGCCUGUCAGCCUGCCCGCGCCCCGCGCUGCCCGCCCGGUCCCGCCUGUCAGUCGCCCAGGCCGCCGCGCGCUCGCGCGCCCGCCCGCAGGAUCUAAUCCUGGCCGUUCGCUUUAGAUCUGACGGCCGUAGUAGCCCGAUACCCCUUCGCCUGCGCGUUUUCUUAAAGAGACCCCCAGUUUUCUGGAAUUUGAACCCACCGUCCCUGGUUUCUCGCAGUUAAGUCCCUGGACCUUUUAAUUAAUUCAAAAUAGGUACUUAGGGUAUAUUUUUAAUCCCCAAACUUGUAAAAUUCAUAACUUUGUCAUAUGAACUCCAAAUGAGGUGCUUCAAAUUGCAAAAUGCUCAUGAUGUUUUUGUCUAUCUAUUCAAACAAUGUUUCCCUGCUGUUUCCAUGUACCAAUUAAUAGUUAAUCACCAGGAUAGGAUUAAGGCUAUUGGAAUCUUAUUUGAGAUAAUUAGAAAUUGGUAGACUUUAAUAAAAGUUGGAUUACUUAAGUUUAUGGACUUAAACACCUAAGUUUAGGAACUUAAAACCAGGUAAUGAUUUAAUCCCACCACUGACUUAAACCUGAUUAGUGGAUAAUGAAUCACUUUGUAUAGUCCUCUAUCCCAGACCUAGGGAACACCAGAGUACCUAUCUCUUUUCUAGUAUGAACUUGUGAUCUCUCUGCUGCAUAUGUUUGGUAUGUUGCUUUUGUUUGUUGUCUUCCCAAGUGCAUAGUGUGAAUGAUUACUUUACGUAGACAACGAGCAGUCUGUGUUUCCCGAGGAGGUUGCAGAGGAAGUCCCUGAUCAGCAGUUUGGUGAAGGCAAGUGUCCUCUGUCCCAUUAUGUCCUAUUCAUUUAUAACUUACUACCCCGCAUUACUUAGUUGAAACCUAAGGAUUGACUAGCUUUACACUUUACUUUAUCCUUGAUAACCUUGUGGGCUGUUAUGGUUAGCACUCUGCUAUUGCCUUAACUUAAUCAAUGAACAUGAUGUGACUAUUUAUGAUACUGUUAUCCUGAUGAUGUUGAUGAUCUUGUGAUACUCUAGGGGGCUCAGGCUGUUUCCUGAGUACCUCUCCGUAAGGACUGGUUCGUUGAGAGACCACCCGGGAUAACAGUGCAACCAUGAGGGUGAAAUGGGAUACCCUUAGCUGAUUAAUUAGAUGAACUAGAGGUGUAGUUGCUUAGCCGUCGUGCCGUCAAUGGGGUCCAGGCACAGUGCUUGCUCUGCCGAGGCUGAGUGCCGAGGUUCUUUCGUUUUGCUCUUUGUUAGUCACUCUCCUGCGGGGAGGGGUACUGUGUUUAUCAAACUGGAGAAACCUAACGUGCAGCUAUGAUCUCUAGGGAAUCUUUGUAAAAGCUACGUAGUGAUGCCCUGCCGGACCACCUAGGUAGUGGUCAAUGGGGAUUAGCUCUCCCCGGGUAGAAAGGGAAUCAUGGCUCAUGGGUAAAGUGUGCAACCUCUGCAGAGGGUAGUGAAACUGGUAUAUCAGCCGUGCUCACGGUUAAGAGCAGCCUUGGGAUCCUCUUUGAUUAGUGAUACAGAUGGUUCGAGAUACAAGGAUUAUGUUAUGGUUUUGAUUCGACUACGAUGAUGAUGUUCCUCGAUGAGGAAAUGGUUUACGGGUUGGUUAAUGCUAAAAUCUGGCUUCUACUAAUGAUAAAUACCUGACCAACUAAAAGCAACUGCUUGAGCCUAACCCCACAUAAAGCUAGUCCACUUCAGCCAAACGGGACAUUUGCUGAGUACGUUGAUGUGUACUCAUCCUUGCUUUACCACAAAACACCAGGUUGCCCGCACUGUAACCACUGCUCAGGAGAAGGUGAAGCCGUGGAAGGAGACUUCCAAGAGUUUCAAGACUACGACGAAUUCUAGGUGUGGGUUGGCGGCAACCCCCAGUCAGCUGCCUGUGAAGGACUUAUCUUUACUGUGUUUCGCUAGUACUUUGAUUUACUUGUUAAGACAAUGACUAUGUGGAUGUCUAUGACUCUAUGAUGUAAUAAGUACCCUUUUAUGUUAUUAUUCGAGCAUUGUGUGAUGAUGUUCAUUUAUGUAAUCGCUAUGUACGUGAGUUCUGAUCCUGGCACGUACAUAGUUCGCAUUCGGUUUGCCUUCCAAAACCGGGUGUGACAUAAGUGGUAUCAAAGCCGUGCUGACUGUAGGACCGCUGACCUAGAGUAGCACUGGUCGUACUAAGGACUAUUGACCCUCCCCCUCACCUUGACCUCUGAUGUUACUUCAAAAGUCGGUCACCUCGACCAACCCUAUGUUUUACUACCUAUAUAUACUAUACCUUGUUAAAAAUUUUAUUUUAUUCUGUCUAUGGUUUAUUCACUUGUCAUAUUAGUUCUGCUCUUACUCUUAUGCUUACGGUGUCUUUUGUAGAUGGCUCGUCUUAGACACACUGCACGUAAGUCGGUGAUUCCUUUCCUGCCGUCUCGACUUGCGGAGCGUCCUCUGCACCGCACCGUGUCCGGUCAGUCGAGUCACCUGGAGAGGCUGCACCACCGCCUGCGUGAGGAGCAGGAACGCCGGCGCCAGCACAGAGAGCAGCAGGGCUCUUCCUCCCCACCCCAGCGAGAGGUGGAGUCUGUGCGGCCCCGUUCCUCUGUUGCCCAGCUGGAGGCGCCCCCUGCACCACUGCGGGACGCCCCGGCUGUUGGAGGAGCUACUGGAGGAGAUCCUGGAGGAGACCCCGACGACGACGACUCAGACCACAGCACGGAGUCCUCUGAGCCGCAGGAGGCGGAAGGAUGGGUCGCCCGACCCAUCACCCGUGACGCCGCUCGCGGUUGUCACUUCCACGACGCACUCGACACCUUGCUGCGCCAGGCUUUCGACCGGCACACCUGGUCGAUCGAGUAUCGUUGUGUAGUCUACCAGCACAGUCGCGGGAGGUAUCCGGACCGCUGGGAGGCUACCUGCCUAGUUCGCCGUCCGGAGGAUGACCUCCGGGGUGCGGAGGCCGUUUCGGAGCACUAUUCCAUCUCCGAGAGGGACACUGCAGAGGCGGCUAUGCAGGAUGCAGCACGGCAUGCACUCUCUCAGUACUGUUCUUUGUUCGGUGGCGUGGCCGACGGUCUCAACCUUCGGUACUACCCCCGCCGCCCUACUGGCAGCACAGAGAGUGUGGUUGUCUCACCUGUUGGUGAGGCUAACCCUAGGUUGAGCAGCACAGUCAACCUAGUCGCGGUGCUUAACACUGAGCUGGAUCACUCUCUGGACGAGCUAAGCAGGGCUCAAACGGAGAUUGCGGGGUUGCGUGCUGAGUUGGCAGAGCGCCAUCACCAGGAGGGUGGUUCUCCCGCACCUGUUGGGACUCAGCACCCAUACCGCUCACCGCCACGUGGUCACCACACUUAUGGUUCCCCUGUCUGUAAGACCAGGAUAGAUCUGGAUCCUUAGAUCGUUAGCGUCGAAGUUUGUAAUAAUUCUUAAGUCAGAUGUCUCAGUCUUAGGUAGUCAGUUUAGUUUGCUUAUCAGUUGCUUCCAUUUAGUUUAGUUUGCUUAUCAGUUGCUUUCAUGUUUGUUAUGAUGAACAUGUGCUGGAUUUGAAUCUUUGUAAUGACUGUAGCCAACAUGUGGGUUUCCCCUGCAGUUUGGCUUAGCUAGUAAUGUUAAUGAAGUCAGUUGUUUAGUUGGGAAACCCUUUACUCCUACUUUCCUUUCUUAUCUGAGAAGCUGUGUUGAAUCAUGAAUGAGGAUCAGUGAAGCUCUUUUGUUCACUCAGUGUCAUGAAGAAUUCUGUAUUCUCUUUUCUUAUGCUGAAGGGUUGUAAGAUCAAUGCUGAUGUAUGAAUGUCUUCCACAGAUGUCUGACAACAGGCGCCGAUGCAACAGGCGUGCUCAGCAAGAGCAGCAUGACCAGCAGGAGGAACAACAGAGGCAGCCUCCCCCACCACCCCCGAUGUCAGUGGAGCAGAUGUUCUUGAUGCAGACCCAAGCAGUGCAGGCCAUUGGGCAGACUCUGGCAGCCAUGCAGCAGGCUCAACAGCAACCCCAACCCCAAUUGCAAGUGCAGAUGCCCCAGAUGCCACGAGAUAAGCGUGGUGAGUUCAUGAGAGGGCACCCUCCUACCUUCGCCCAUUCUGCUGACCCCAUGGAUGCAGAAGACUGGCUGCGCGCAGUGGAAAGGGAGCUGCGCACCGCCCAAUGUGACGACAGGGAGAAGGUUCUGUAUGGUCCCCGCCAGCUGAGGGGAGCAGCCCAGUCCUGGUGGGAGUCCUACCUCGCCACCCAUGCUGACCCUGAAGCCAUCACGUGGGAGGAAUUCAGCGAGAGCUUCCGCAGGUACCAUGUGCCAGAGGGACUAAUGAUCGUGAAGAAAGAGGAGUUUCUGGCUCUGAAGCAGGGACCCCUGUCUGUUUGAGACAAGUUUCUGCAGCUGUCUUGUUAUGCACCUGAGGAUGUCAACACUGAUGCUAAGAGGCAGUACAGGUUCAUGAGAGGUUUGGUGGAUCCCCUGCAUUACCAGCUGAUGAAUCAUACCUUCCCAACCUUCUAGCACCUGAUCGAUAGGGCAGUUAUGACUGAGAAGAAGCGUAAGGAUAUGGAAGAUCGGAAGCGCAAGAUGAAUGGACCCCAGUCCGGAGGCAUCAGCCGUCCGCGUUUCUCCGGCAGUUCAUCUCAGCAAGGCAGACCUGGUCACCCACAGGGAUAUCAGAAUCAGAAUCAGCGUCCGCAUCAGCAGCAAUUUCAGAGGCAGUACCCGCAGCAGCAGCAGCAGUAUCGUCAGCACAGCCAGCAGGGAGGUAAUCAGUAUCAGAAGCAGAACAACCAGGCACCUCGCCUUCCUGCCCCAGCAGCAAAUCAGAGCAACCAAGCAGCCCCAGCACAAGGAGGAGGCAGAGGAUGUUUCCACUGUGGAGAUCAAGGCCACUGGGCGAUGCAGUGCCCAAAGAAGAUGGCUCAGCAGCAGACCAACCCCAAUGCUCCAACAAGGCAAGGUGUACUGCAGCCGGCAGCAGGCAAUCGUAACCAAGCGUACAACCGUGGAAAGGUGAACCACUUGGAGGCCGAAGCGAUCCAGGAUGCACCAGAUGUGGCAGUAGGUAUGUUCUCGGUCGAAUCUCAUCCCGCAAAAGUGCUAUUUGAUACUGGUGCAACUCAUUCUUUUGUCACUGCAACCUGGGUAGAAUUGCAUAACAUCUCAGUAGAGGUAAUGAUGCCGCCCAUGAGGAUUAAUUCGGUUGGUGGCAAGGUGCAAACAGAUAAAAUAUGUUCAAAUAUAAUGGUGGAAAUAAGGGGGAUAGGAUUCCCCAGUGACUUAAUAGUAAUAGACACCCCUGGGAUAGAUGUUAUUCUAGGGAUGAAUUGGUUAAUGAAGUAUGAAGCAAAUGUUAGUUGUGACAAGAGGACCGUAACAUUGAAGUCCCCGUCAGGAGAAGAGGUAGUGGCCGAGCUAAGGAUGCCUAAGUCAGAAGAGGGAGUCUGUCACCAGAUUUCAGUUGAUAGUAAGGAGCCCAACCCGCUCAAGGCUAUCAAGGUUGUGUCGGGCUUUCCGGAUGUGUUUCCCGAGGAGCUAACAGGCAUGCCACCCGAGAGAAAGGUUGAAUUUGCCAUAGAGCUUAUCCCUGGUACCGCCCCCAUCUCCAAAAGAGCCUAUCGAGUGUCUGGACCAGAAUUGGUGGAACUCAAGAAGCAAAUAGAUGAGAUGUUAGAGAAGGGUUACAUCAGGCCAAGCACCUCGCCUUGGGCCGCUCCAGUGUUGUUUGUAGAGAAGAAAGAUGGUACCAAAAGGAUGUGCAUAGACUACAGGGCCUUGAAUGAAGUCACUGUCAAGAACAAGUACCCCCUGCCAAGGAUAGAAGAUUUGUUCGACUAGCUCAGAGGUGCCAGCGUAUUCUCGAAGAUAGAUCUGAGAUCUGGUUACCAUCAACUCAGAAUCCGACCCUCAGAUAUACCGAAGACGGCAUUCAUCACCAAGUAUGGGUUAUAUGAGUUCACAGUUAUGUCCUUUGGAUUGACAAAUGCGCCAGCCUUCUUUAUGUAUCUGAUGAACAACGUGUUCAUGGACUAUCUAGACAAGUUUGUGGUAGUGUUCAUCGAUGACAUUCUCAUAUACUCUCAAAGUGAGGAAGAUCAUGUAGAGCAUUUGAAGAUGGUAUUGCAAAGGCUUCGAGAGCAUCAGUUGUAUGCCAAGCUGGGCAAAUGCGAGUUCUGGAUUCAUGAAGUCUUAUUUCUGGGUCACAUCAUAAAUCAAGAUGGGUUGGCAGUGGAUCCGAAGGAUGUUCGUGGGAUCAAGAGCUUCAUCGGAAUGGCCGGAUACUAUAGGCGUUUCAUUGAAGGCUUCUCAAAGAUUGCUAGGCCAAUGACAGCGUUACUAGCAAAGAAAGUUGAGUUUAAGUGGACCCAAAAGUGUCAGGAAGCAUUUGAAGAACUGAAAAAUAGAUUGACUACAGCUCCUGUGUUAGUCCUGCCUGAUGUUCACAAGUCAUUCUCAGUGUAUUGCGACGCUUCUUACACCGGAUUGGGAUGUGUGCUAAUGCAAGAAGGAAGGGUUGUAGCGUACUCGUCCCGACAGCUGAAGAUCCUUGAGAAAAAUUAUCCCACACAUGACCUGGAGUUGGCAGCAGUGGUUCAUGCUUUAAAGACCUGGAGACAUUACCUGUAUGGGCAGAAGUGCGACAUCUACACAGAUCAUAAAAGUCUGAAGUACAUAUUCACCCAAUCAGAGUUAAACAUGAGGCAGCGAAGAUGGUUGGAAUUGAUCAAGGACUAUGAGUUGGAGAUACAUUACCAUCCAGGCAAAGCCAAUGUUGUUGCAGAUGCUCUGAGCAGGAAGAGUCAAGUCAAUAUGUUGGCCUCGUACCCGAUGCCGUAUGAGUUAGCCAAAGAGUUCGACAGACUGAGCCUCGGUUUCCUGAACAGUACGCAGGGAGUAACAGUGGAAUUAGAGCCCACCCUAGAGCGGGAGAUCAAAGAAGGGCAGAAGGAUGAUGAAAACAUCAACAAGAUCCGGCAGCUGAUCUUAGAAGGAAGAGGCAAAGACUUUCGAGAGGAUGAAGAAGGGGUAAUAUGGUUCAAGGACCGAUUGUGUGUCCCCGACCUCAAACCUAUUCGGGAACUGAUCCUCAAGGAAGCUCAUGAGACAGCCUACUCCAUACACCCUGGAAGUGAGAAGAUGUACCAGGACUUAAAAAGAAGGUUUUGGUGGUAUGGCAUGAAAAGAGAGAUCGCAGAAUAUGUCGCCAUCUGCGAUAGCUGUCAGAGAACCAAAGCAGAGCAUCAGAGGCCUGCCGGAUUGUUGCAACCAUUGCGGAUUCCCCAGUGGAAGUGGGAUGAGAUCGGGAUGGAUUUUAUAGUUGGCCUACCUCGUACCCGGGCCGGUUAUGAUUCCAUCUGGGUGGUUGUGGACCGCUUAACAAAGGUGGCCCAUUUCAUACCUGUGAAGACGACAUACACCGGAGCAACACUAGCUGAGUUAUACAUGUCACGGAUAGUCUGCCUUCAUGGUGUACCGAAGAAGAUAGUGUCAGAUCGAGGCACACAGUUCACCUCUCAUUUUUGGCAGCAGCUACAAGAAGCUUUGGGCACACAUUUGAACUUCAGCUCAGCUUAUCACCCGCAGACAGACGGUCAGACUGAAAGAACUAAUCAGGUCCUAGAGGAUAUGUUGAGAGCCUGUGCGUUGCAAGACAAGUCAGGAUGGGAUAAAAGGUUAGCUUAUGAAGAAUUCUCCUACAACAACAGUUACCAGGCCAGCUUGAAGAUGUCGCCGUUUCAGGCACUCUAUGGACGGAGUUGUAGGACUCCGCUGCAUUGGGACCAGCCUGGAGAGAGACAGGUGUUUGGCCCCGACAUCUUGCUUGAAGCCGAGGAGAAUAUCAAAAUGGUUCGGGAGAAUCUGAAGACAGCCCAGUCAAGACAGCGAAGCUAUGCUGACAGAAGGAGAAGGGAACUGAGUUUUGAAGUGGGAGACUACGUCUAUCUGAAGGUGUCACCUAUCAGGGGAGUUAGAAGGUUCGGAGUUAAAGGCAAGUUAGCACCCCGGUACGUCGGACCAUAUCAGAUUCAAGCAAAGCGUGGAGAAGUGGCUUACCAGCUCAACCUACCAGAGAGCUUGUCAGCAGUGCACAACGUGUUCCACGUGUCGCAAUUGAAGAAGUGUCUGCGAGUACCAGAAGAACAGUUGCCAGUGGAGGGUUUGGAAGUCCAGGAGGAUCUGACAUACAUAGAGAAGCCGACGCAGAUUCUGGAGUUUGCAGACAGAGUCACCCGGAGGAACACCAUCAGAAUGUGCAAAGUCAGAUGGGGUCACCACUCGGAGGAAGAAGCAACCUGGGAACGAGAAGAUGAUCUGAAGGCCAAAUACCCCGAACUCUUUGCUGACCAACCUUGAAUCUCGGGGCGAGAUUCUUUUAAGGGGGAUAGGUUUGUAACACCCUGAAUUUGGGGGUAUAAAAUUUCUUUGCUCAUAUUCACAAAUUCAGGUGUUAUUUCCCUUUUCUCAUCCUUCCUCAUUCUUUUCUUUCUCAUUUCUAUAGGAGAAAAGUGCUUAUUUUAUUUGUAAUUAUAGUUUAUUAUGUUAAACCCUAAGGGAGUAUGAAUUGUUGCAUCAUGUUGAACCCUAGAUUUCACUUUUGCUUGGUGCAUAAUUCUUGGAAAGUUUGAUUUGAAUUUGUGGCUCAUUUGGAUUUGAAUCAAUUGGAGAAAAUAAAAAGAAAAGGGAAAACAAUUCCAGAAUAAAAAGAAAAGAGAAAGAGGCCCAACCCCGCCGCCCCCUCGGCCUUUCGGCCCAGCCGGCCCAAUCCCGCGCGCGCGCUCUCCCCCUCCCGCUCUCUCUGCCCUGGCGGGCCCGCCCGUCAGCGCAGCCGCCUCUCGCGCGCCCGCCUCCGCUCUCCCCUCUCUCUCUGCUCGCGGGCCCGGGCUGUCAGCCCCGUCGUCCCCGCGUAACCGCCGCCGAGCUGCGCGCGCCCGCCUUCUCCGCGCCCACGUCGCGCGUGGAGCUCGCAACUGACCCGCCCCUGGCCACUUGAGCCCCGAACCCCACUCGCCCUCGCCCCCUCCCCCAUUUGCGCUCUAGCGGACCCCUCUUCCACCUCUCCCUCGCUGCGCGCACGCAGAGCGCCGCCGCCGUAAACCCCGCCGUCCCGAGCUCGUUUCUCGGCCGCCAUUGGAGCUCCGCCGUGUCCGUUGCCACGGUGAGCUUCGCCCCGGCGUCCGCAACCCGGGACGCGCCCCAACUCCCUCUCCCCUCCCUAUUUCUUUCUGCCCGCGCUCACCCGCCGUUCCCCGUGCAGCCGCGGAGGUCCGCCACCGUCGCCCCGAGCCACCGUCGCGCCAUUGCCGCCGCCGAGGAGUCCCCGGAGCCCGCCUUGAGGUAAAGAACCUCUCCCGCCCCUAUCGACCCGUGUAUUGCCUUCUGUUGCGCUUAAUUCCUCGCCGGAGUAGAGUAAUCCCGCCGCCGAGCCGUUCCGCCGUGAACCGCCCCCUCCGGUGCCCCUGCCCCGACCCAGACCCCACCAGAGGACUCCCCGUGCCCUCCCCAACCUUCCCGGCCACUCAGGUCGCCCCAGAGACCCGCCAAACGCCCGCGCCCCUCGUCUCCGGUGAGCUCUCCGCCGCGGGGACGAGCGCCGCCGCCCCAGCUAGCCGUAGGAGAAGCCCAGGCCCACUUCCCCCUCACCCCGUCUCCCUGCCGUUUGGGCCCCGCCUGUCAGCCCGCCCGCGCGCGCGCUCUGCCCGCCGGCCCCGCCUGUCAGCCCGCCCGCGCGCGCUCUGCCCGCCGGCCCCGCCUGUCAGCCUGCCCGCGCCCCGCACUGCCCGCCCGGUCCCGCCUGUCAGUCGCCCAGGCCGCCGCGCGCUCGCGCGCCCGCCCGCAGGAUCUAAUCCUGGCCGUUCGCUUUAGAUCUGACGGCCGUAGUAGCCCGAUACCCCUUCGCCUGCGCGUUUUCUUAAAGAGACCCCCGGUUUUCUGGAAUUUGAACCCGCCGUCCCUGGUUUCUCGCAGUUAAGUCCCUGGACCUUUUAAUUAAUUCAAAAUAGGUACUUAGGGUAUAUUUUUAAUCCCCAAACUUGUAAAAUUCAUAACUUUGUCAUAUGAACUCCAAAUGAGGUGCUUCAAAUUGCAAAAUGCUCAUGAUGUUUUUGUCUAUCUAUUCAAACAAUGUUCCCUGCUGUUUCCAUGUACCAAUUAAUAGUUAAUCACCAGGAUAGGAUUAAGGCUAUUGGAAUCUUAUUUGAGAUAAUUAGAAAUUGGUAGACUUUAAUAAAAGUUGGAUUACUUAAGUUUAUGGACUUAAACACCUAAGUUUAGGAACUUAAAACCAGGUAAUGAUUUAAUCCCACCACUGACUUAAACCUGAUUAGUGGAUAAUGAAUCACUUUGUAUAGUCCUCUAUCCCAGACCUAGGGAACACCAGAGUACCUAUCUCUUUUCUAGUAUGAACUUGUGAUCUCUCUGCUGCAUAUGUUUGGUAUGUUGCUUUUGUUUGUUGUCUUCCCAAGUGCAUAGUGUGAAUGAUUACUUUACGUAGACAACGAGCAGUCUGUGUUUCCCGAGGAGGUUGCAGAGGAAGUCCCUGAUCAGCAGUUUGGUGAAGGCAAGUGUCCUCUGUCCCAUUAUGUCCUAUUCAUUUAUAACUUACUACCCCGCAUUACUUACUUGAAACCUAAGGAUUGACUAGCUUUACACUUUACUUUAUCCUUGAUAACCUUGUGGGCUGUUAUGGUUAGCACUCUGCUAUUGCCUUAACUUAAUCAAUGAACAUGAUGUGACUAUUUAUGAUACUGUUAUCCUGAUGAUGUUGAUGAUCUUGUGAUACUCUAGGGGGCUCAGGCUGUUUCCUGAGUACCUCUCCGUAAGGACUGGUUCGUUGAGAGACCACCCGGGAUAACAGUGCAACCAUGAGGGUGAAAUGGGAUGCCCUUAGCUGAUUAAUUAGAUGAACUAGAGGUGUAGUUGCUUAGCCGUCGUGCCGUCAAUGGGGUCCAGGCACAGUGCUUGCUCUGCCGAGGCUGAGUGCCGAGGUUCUUUCGUUUUGCUCUUUGUUAGUCACUCUCCUGCGGGGAGGGGUACUGUGUUUAUCAAACUGGAGAAACCUAACGGGCAGCUAUGAUCUCUAGGGAAUCUUUGUAAAAGCUACAUAGUGAUGCCCUGCCGGACCACCUAGGUAGUGGUCAAUGGGGAUUAGCUCUCCCCAGGUAGAAAGGGAAUCAUGGCUCAUGGGUAAAGUGUGCAACCUCUGCAGAGGGUAGUGAAACUGGUAUAUCAGCCGUGCUCACGAUUAAGAGCAGCCUUGGGAUCCUCUUUGAUUAGUGAUACAGAUGGUUCGAGAUACAAGGAUUAUGUUAUGGUUUUGAUUCGACUACGAUGAUGAUGUUCCUCGAUGAGGAAAUGGUUUACGGGUUGGUUAAUGCUAAAAUCUGGCUUCUACUAAUGAUAAAUACCUGACCAACUAAAAGCAACUGCUUGAGCCUAACCCCACAUAAAGCUAGUCCACUUCAGCCAAACGGGACAUUUGCUGAGUACGUUGAUGUGUACUCAUCCUUGCUUUACCACAAAACACCAGGUUGCCCGCACUGUAACCACUGCUCAGGAGAAGGUGAAGCCGUGGAAGGAGACUUCCAAGAGUUUCAAGACUACGACGAAUUCUAGGUGUGGGUUGGCGGCAACCCCCAGUCAGCUGCCUGUGAAGGCCUUAUCUUUACUGCGUUUCGCUAGUACUUUGAUUUACUUGUUAAGACAAUGACUAUGUGGAUGUCUAUGACUCUAUGAUGUAAUAAGUACCCUUUUAUGUUAUUAUUCGAGCAUUGUGUGAUGAUGUUCAUUUAUGUAAUCGCUGUGUACGUGAGUUCUGCUCCUGGCACGUACAUAGUUCGCAUUCGGUUUGCCUUCCAAAACCGGGUGUGACACCAGCGCCCCAACGGGGGGCGCGUCAGGCGUCGACCUCGCGUUUGAGACGAAGGCGAGCGCCGUCCCCCCGCGACACACCAAUCCCGAGCAAGUAGACGACGCCAGCGCGCUCGCGGAGAGCUUGCAGGACGUCGCCCUCGUACCUGAGACGACGGUGCAAUCAGUCCCCGAUGUGACUAUGUCGCUCCUCGUCGACCAAAAGGUACCGACUGAUUCCCAUCCUACGUCAUUUCGACUCGGCCUCAACCCGCCUAGCGACCUUGCUUUGGCGGGCGCUCUCGUUGAGGCGAGUGCAACCCCUCUGGGGUUUCGUAUGCGGUCGCCUUGGGACCGGAUGACGGACGUCUCGACCUACGGGCCCUCUGGGUCCGAGGAAGAUGACGAUCCCAGCAUCUGUUGGGAUUUCUCUGGAUUUGGCAACCCCAGCGCCGUGCGGGACUUUAUGACCGCAUGUGACUACUACCUCUCCGACUGUUCCGACGGUAGCCACAGCCUUGACGACGAGGACUGCGACCCAAGCCGCGAAUGUUUCCACGUCGAGCUAUGGGAUCCCUCCGAAGGCAACCAUCUCGGCAUGCCAGAGGACGGUGAUCUCCCUAGGCCGGUGCCUCGCGCUGACAUCCCGCGGGAGCUAGCUGUGGUCCCCGUUCCGGCGGGGGGUCACGACCCACAGCUCGAGCAAGUCCGCGGGGCGUAGGCCAGGCUCGACGAGGGAGCAGGAGCGCUUGAGCCGAUCCGCCGGGACGUCGGGCAGGUAUGGGAGGGCCAACCCCCGGCCGGAGAAAUACGUCACCUGCCCCAGGGUUUCCAGCACCGGUCGCCACAACGUCNNNNNNNNNNNNNNNNNNNNNNNNNNNNNNNNNNNNNNNNNNNNNNNNNNNNNNNNNNNNNNNNNNNNNNNNNNNNNNNNNNNNNNNNNNNNNNNNNNNNAGGAAGGACCAGGGCCCUCUUAGAGAAGGUUGGCCGCGCGGGGACGAGGACGGGACAGGCGCUCUCUUGGGGCCGCUCGCUUCCCUCACCCGCGUGGACGCUUGUAACCCCCUACUGCAAGCGCACCCGACCUGGGCGCGGGACGAACACGAAGGCCGCGGGAUUUCCACCUCUCUCACGCCCGUCUCCGGCCACCUCGCUUCCCCCCUUCGCGCUCGCCCACGCGCUCGACCCAUCUAGGCUGGGGCACGCGGCACACUCACUCGUCGGCUUAGGGACCCCCGGUCUCGAAACGCCGACAAAACUACACUUCGUAAACAGUGCACAACGUUACACGCUAUUGUUGUAAAUGGCCUUAAAGAGUUCUUCUGCUCGCGAUCGUGUUCGAGAAUAAAUAAAACAUCACGCAGUUGGAUGGCACAUGCGUAAGCUGAACACAGGACAGAAGCCCUCAGAAUCAGUUUAUAAUAAUAUACAGAAACCCAUUUCUAUUCCAAGCUUCAAAUAUAUAGCUCCACACAAUAAAGCAUCAUCCUGUACAGUGAGUCUAUGGCUGCAACAGCUAGCUAGUAAUAGUCACCGGCAAUUAGUAUAGUCAUAUAAGCACUGCUGCACGAGCUACAACUACAAGCGGUGGUGGGCGCAGGAGGCAGUGCCGUCGUCGAAGUUCUGGUAGUAGCUAUGCAGGUCAUACCCGAACCUCACCGCGGUUCGCCUCGGCCGCGCCGCGCGUCUUCUCCAAGAGCGCCUCAACCUCGACAGCAGUCGCUUCACCGCCGCAGCUGGCCGGCGGCCGCCGCUCCUGGCGUGGACGAGCCGCCCGCCCAAGCCGCUGCCCCCGGUGUACGGGCCUAGCAGAGACGCCGCCGCCAUGAUCGUUCACUCGGUCGGUUCUCACAAGUCACGGACGCUCUUUGCCGCUAACCAAUUAGCUAGCUAGACGCUGUCUGCUUCGAGCUGGAGUACGUACGUAUCUGUGAAUCUGUGUGCUGCAGCUGUAGCUUCUGAAGAUACUGUGCAAAACGAAGCCUCCCAUGCCGCAGCUUUAUAAGCUCGGAUGCUGGGAGCAUUCCGACACGCGUCGAUCGAAGACGCUACUCGGACCCACCAGCAGCACGCACUCACAUACAUGGUGACGAGGCAAUCCACUACGGCGAUCGUUCGAAACGUCCAGGCAGCUUCAUUUCAUGCAUGCUUUUGUAAGCCGCCGUGGUGCUCGUGCAGUCGAAAGAAUCAAAGAAAGACAACCGUCGACCACCAACAAUGGAAGCAUGUGCACUUGCUUUAGUGACGACCUCCAUCGCCAGCUAGACUGCUAGCUAGAAGGAUGAGAGAGGUCGGCCAUGGCAACUGGCGACACGGCGGCACCUGAGCUGCUUCCUGCCCGUCCUGUGCCACUGCCGAUAAGGUCGGCGGCUUCCUGCCUGCCCUUCCUGCCGCUGGAUCAUGCCACGUGCACAAUGUGUUUCAGUUGCCUGUGGCGUGGGCGUGGCCGACCUAAUCGACAUGCAUGCGGCCGAGGUUGGCGGGAACUCUCGGCACCCCGUCAGAUCGAGACUAGGAAUAGCUAGAGUGUAUUGCUGACGCUGAAUCAUAAUAAUAACAACUGGUUAUAUUAAUAACCUAGAGUAUUAUUGGAAAGAGCACUCCAAGCCACUCACCAAAUUGGAUAAUAUAAUAAUAAUAAUAACUGGUUAUUACUAUGUAUUUUUGGAUAGCCUUAUCCUUGUACCGAAGAUGACUAAAGCUUAGGACGUGGACAUUUCUUUUACAGCUGGAAUAUGCAAGUAUGCUCUUCGAUCUGAUAUCUCCAAAAAGGAAGAGAAAAGAUGUCGUCGAGCUGAGUUAUCAUCAAUGAAUUUCCACAUCCUAAGGAAAGGGAAAUGGAACACACUAGUAGUGUUACGCUAGAGUGAAAAUCUACAGAAAAGGCGGAGAGCCUUUUUUUAGGGAAUUGCGAAGCUUCUAUUUUGGAAAUAUCACAAAAAUGUAUGGUCAGCGAAUGGCGGUCGUGGAAUGGCAGUGUAUCACUACCGAAAUAUUGAUCUUUACCAAGUGCUCGGUAUUUUACCGAGUAUUUUUUCUCAGGCACUCGGCAAAUAAGUCUUUGUCGAGUGCCGUAUACGACAAAGUUCUGCUCUCGGUAACGACCACGUUUACCGAGAGCAGUAGUCUCGACACACGAAAACACUUGACGAGGUCGACGCUUGGUAAAGGGCCAUCGUCAGCCAUCUACAGCUGACGACCGUUAUCUUUGCCGAGUGCCGACACUCGACAGGCCAUUCUGUGCCGAGUGUCGUAAGAUGGCACUCGACAAAGUAUAUUUUUCUUUUUUUUCUUUUUUCAACAAACCUUUUGUGGUAUGUUCCUACACUAUGUAGACUUACAUGUUCCAUUUUGGCAUAAUUAUAAAAGUGUUUGCUGGAACUAUUAGAUUUUGUUCUUUUAAUUGAAUUUACUCGGAUAAUUCAGAUUUGAACUACAAGUCACUCGAAAAAUAGAAAACCGUGAAUGCAAAAAAUGAUAUCCAUGUUAGAUAACACAAUUUACGACUGAUUUCAGGAGCAGACUGGAAUUUUCGAGCACUAUCCUCACUAAACAUGACCGUGAACUUGCCAUCAAGUUAUUUAAAAAUUAUAUAAAACACAAACAAAGUCAGAAAAUCAUGAAACUUGUCCACAUGUCAUGAUAUCAUAUGUAGAGGCUGUGAUAAAAAUUUGAGAAUGUUUCAAGAAAGUUGUGACGUACUAUAUGUAGAAACCUAGCCGGUCUACAUUAAAACUCUAUGAUUUUAUGUGUAGGCCACUUAGGUUUCUACACAUAGUGCGUCACAACUUUCUCGAAAUAUUCUCAAUUUUUUAUCACUGCCUCUACAUAUGAUAUCAUGACAUGUGGACAAGUUUCAUGAUUUUCUGACUUUGUUUGUGUUUUAUACAAUUCUUAAACAACUUGAUGGCAAGUUCACGGUCUUGUUUAGUGAGGAUGGUGCACGAAAAUUCCAGUCUGCUCCUAAAAUCAGUCGUAACUUGUAUUAUCUAACAUGGAUAUCAUUUUUGCAUUCACGGUUUCCAUUUUUCGAGUGACUUGCAAUCCAAAUCUAAAUUAUCCGAGUAAAUUCAAUUAAAAGAACAAAAUCUAAUAGUUAUAGCAAACACUUUUAUAAUUGUGCCAAAAUUGAACAUGUAAGCCUACAUAGUGUAGGAACAUACCACAAAAGGUUUGGUUGGCAAAAGAAAAAAAUGAAAAUAUACUUUACAAAGUGCCCAAGAUAGGCACUCGGCAAAGUAUUAUUUGUCGAGUGCCCAUCUUGAGCACUCGGCAAAGUAUAUACUUUGUCGAGUGUCAGGCGACCGGCACUCGGUGAAGUGAUCUCUUUGCCGAGUGCCAACGCCCGACACUCGGCAAAGUGCAUUUUUAGAUUAAAAAAAACCUUUGUUGAGUGUCAGAUCGCUUACGCUCGGCAAAGUGUAUUUUUAAAUUAAAAAAAUCUUUGCCGAGUGCCAGAUCGCGGGCACUCAGCAAAGAACAUAUACUAAGCCAGAGUCUGGGCCCAUGACUCCAUUAUUUGUUGUCGCGCCACCGUUAGCCCCGCCGCGCCGCUCGUCGUGCCUCUCGCUCCACCGCCCGCGCUCGCCCCGUUGCCCGCGCUAGUGCCGUUCGCCGCACCGCCCGCUCGAGGUCACCCGCGCGCCGCCGCCUCUGCCCGACCGCACCUGCUUCGUCCAUCCCCGCGUGCUGGUUGGUUAUGGCCAUCCCCGUCUAUCAGACCCCCGCUUCGGUUAACACACCGCCACCAGCAAAGGUAAAGACUUUACGCAACCGCUAAGUGUCGAUUCAUUAAUCAUUUCAAUUAUGCUUACAAUGUAGUUAUGAUUGCCUAAGUGUCGAUUCAUAAGCCACACUAGUUGUAGUUAUGAUUGGCUAAGUGUCGAGGCCUUGAUGUCUAUGUGUGUAUCAGCCAUCGUGCUGGUACUUUUGUUUGCAGGUUUUUGGAAAGCUCCCCGUGUGGGGAGGUGCUGCCAUUUUUUUAACGGACUUGUGUUAAUCUUUAGAGUAUAAUCGGUUAUAUAUGUUAGAGUAUGGAGGACCGUGAGUGGAUGUACACGGGUCAUGUAGGAAGGAAUGAUGUCACCCUCGAAUGGAUUAGAAAGACCGAUGCUUUCGUGGAACAGGCAUUUGACGAAGCUGCUAAAGGAGCAAGUCUAGUCCCAUGCUUGUGCAGCAAAUGUGCCAACCGGAAAAGAAAAUCAAAGAAGGCCAUGGUAGAACAUAUUUGGAAGAAUGGAUUUACACCGGACUAUACUCGAUGGAUCUUCCAUGGUGAAGCGCACGUACGAGAGAGGAGGUGGUGAGACAAUGCGUCGAGGAUUAUGAUGCUGAUGCGGGGUAGCAGAUAUGUUGAACGACUAUCACGAGGCAUAAUUCGUCGGAGGAUGUAUGGAGGACGAGCUAGAGCCGACCGCAAAGGCGUUGUACGACAUGUUUGACGCGGCACAGAAGCCCCUUCACGUCAAGACAAAGGUUUCUCAACUGGAUGCCAUUGGGCGUGUAAUAGUGUUCAAGUCGUAGUACAACAUGAGUCGAGACGCAUUCGAUGGCUUGUUGACAGUUAUUGGCAGCCUGCGAGGAUCACGUUCUGCCAAAGAGCAUGUACGAGGCACAAAAACUCCUUCGUGCACUCAAGAUGAUGUAUGAGCAGAUAUAUGCUUGUCUGAAGGGCUGCGUGCUAUUUAGGAAAGAAUAUGCGGAGGCAAAGUACUGUUCGAAGUGUAAAUCGUAUAGGUUCAUGGAGGUAGACUCUGGUGAUGGAUAGAAGAGGUAGCUCGACAUCCCGGUGACAAUCCUACGCUGCCUUCUGUUCAUACCGAGGAUCCAGCGUCUAUACAUGAUUGAGGAAUCCACGAAACAGAUGACAUGGCACAAAAAUGGCAAAUUAUGCAAUCCUGACAAGAUGGUGACGUAUCCGAUGGUGAAGCAUGGAAACACUUUGAUGCCAUUCACCAUGAGAAAGCCAAAAAGGCUCGUAAUUUAUGUGUUGCGCUGGCCACAUAUGGGUUCAAUCCCUAUGGAAUGAGCGCUGCACCGUACACAUGUUGGCCCGUGUUUGCUAUCCCAAUCAAUGUUCCCCCCGGUGUAUGCUUUCAAAGGCAGAAUAUAUUUAUGUCGUUGAUAAUUCCCGGACACCCGGGGAAUAAAAUGGGCAUGUACAUGGAGCCUUUGAUUGAUGAAUUGGUACGUGCUUGGGAGGAAGGGGUAUGGACGUAUGACCGAGCUACGAAGACAAACUUCAAAAUGCAUGUUUGGUACCAGUACUCCAUGCAUGACUUACCGGCGUAUGGGCUAUUCUGCGCCUGGUGUGUUCACGGUAAUUUCCCAUGCAUGCCCAGUUUGCAAGGAAGCUCUUAGGGUCGUUUGGUUGAAGAAGGGUGGCAAAUAUUCGUCGUUCGAUAGACAUCGACAAUUUAUCUCUCCUAAUCAUCCAUUCUGCCUAGACAUCAAGAACUUUACGAAAGGUGUCGUAGUGAUAGAUCGCCCACCUGCAACGAUGACUGGUGCCAAAAUUUGUCAAGGGAUAGAUGGGCUCGUGGCCAAUCUAGAAGGUGGUUUUGUGGGAUAUGGUGAGCAGCAUAUGUGGACGCAUAAGUCGGGCUUGACUCGGCUCCCCUAUUAUGACGACCUGCUCCUUCCACACAACAUUGACGUGAUGCACACUGAAAAGAAUGUUGCCGAGGCACUUUGGGCAACAAUUAUGGACAUUCCUGAUAAGUCAAAGGAUAACGUAAAGGCAAUAGUGGAUCUGGCAGUGUUAUGUGAUAGACCAAACCAAGAGAUGAAGCCGCCUAGUGGUGGAAAGACAUGGAGAAGGACUAAGGCCGAUUUCGUCCUAAGCAGGGCCCAGAGGAAGGAAGUACUUCAGUAGAUCAAGAUGUUGAUCUUCCCUGAUGGGUAUGCAGCUAACCUGAGUAGGGGGUGAACUUAUCUACUCUACGAGUCUUAGGGAUAAAGAGUCAUGACUUCCACAUAUGGAUUGAACGGAUUCUUCCUACGAUGGUUCGAGGCUAUGUCCCUGAGCAUGUCUGGCUAGCACUUACAGAGUUGAGCUAUUUCUUCUGCCAGCUUUGUGCAAAAGAGUUAUCUCGGACCGUGAUUGCAGAGUUGGAAAGAUUGACACCCGUGUUACUGUGUACGCUUGAGAAGAUAUUUUCACCCGGCUUCUUCAAUCCAAUGCAGCCUAUCCUCAAUAGCUUCAAUGUACAUUUGCAGCAGUGAACCGAAAUCUAUCUCAUUUAACCUUUGUUUUAACCUAUCUGGCAUCAUAAAUGCUGCAUUGUUCAAAGCAGCAGGAAAAUAUCGCAUUAUAAUGUAGAACCCGUGCAUCUCCUUAUCCUCCUUCAAAUCUUCGUGUCACUUAAUUGGAGUUUGGUCUUUGGAAGCUUCACUGGUCGUCUGUCGUUUAGACGAUUUCUCCCUCAUAGGCCUCUAAACAUGGGGUGUUGGGGACCCUACAUCUGAAUCAUUUGCGCUUAAAACAUAAACUAUGGGCAUUUUUUCAACCUCCGGUUGAGCCACACCUAGGGCAUCAUAUUCGGGAUUUUCUUCACCAUUGCGUGGAGUAUCUGAAUAUGUGUGCUUAGUAGGUGUAGACAUUGUCUACGACCGUGUAACAUAAAAAUAAUUCAGAUAAAAAAUAUCUAUAACAUAUAUUACUUACUGCUCAAUGUUGUUACUGAAUACUAUACAUAUUACUUAUGCUUGUAGGUUUAAAUUGUUACUAAUUGUCCAAAAUAUUACUAUACAUUCGAUUGGGAUUGAUAAUUAUAACUAAUUCUAUUCAUUUAUUAACGAGUAAUGUAUUACUGGCUCUAGAUGCACAUACUAUAUCUAACACAAAAUCUUAUUACUAUUAUGAAAACACAUAUUCUAGAUGACAAAAAAUUUCCUUACCGUUUAGAAUACAUAAUACUGAAAAUUAUUACCGAUUAGAAUACAUAUUACUAAUACUAAUUUCUUAAUUACUACUCACUAAGUAAUAACAACAUAAUGCUUAUCUAAAAAUUAUUGCUAAUCCUAUGCGGUAGUUACUGACAAUAUGUAUUUAUUACUGGUAUUAAAGCAGUAAUGUACUGAUUAUAAGAUAAAACCAACACAGAACUGUCAUUGAAAAUAUAUUAUAAUGUUACUGAUGCUAACAUAUAAACAAAAAGCAGCGUAUCUCAACUCAUCCAGGUUUUCAAAAAAAGGAGUGAUGCAGAGUAGGAUUCACUUGAAAAACAUGUGUGCAUGAUGCAACACUAACUUGAGCAUAAAUGUGCUAGAGAAAACUGCAGGAAAAAUUGAAGUAAAACCCGUCCAAGGAGCGAAUUGCAGAAACCCCUCCGUUGCGGCUGCUAAUCUUCACAAAUCUGGAACCACGUCGCCCCAGAUUUUCGCUCGUUUUGACCAAAUAUGGUACCCUAGCAAAAAAACAUGAUGAAUCUCCCCUACGCCACGACGAUUCUGACCGACGAUUGCGAGCACUUGGAAGGCAAUUUCAAAAACAAGGGAACCCAUGGAAAAAGUGACGGUGGAAAGAUAGUAGAUGUUUCGAUGGGUCCUUGCGGUCGUAUAUGUUUAGCUCGGUGUGGUCGGACUCGGUCGGUGCGGUGGGACACGGUCGGACGAGGUCGGUGUGGUCAAGUGAUGCUUCACUUGAGGUGAUGUAUAUAUAUAUAUAUACAUAUAUAUAGUUUGUAUAUUUAGAGCUCUGACCUUCCAAUAACUAGAGGAAACACUGGUCUAAACGGUGCCAUCCGGUUCAGCCGCACCAGGUUCAGACGGCUACAAAAAAGACCCCCAGACCGCCAGGGAUUAGGUUUUAGCGGGGGUGGCAGUUCCCUCGGGUGAGUGAGCGACGGUGGCGAUUUCCUCGGGUGUGCGAGCGGCGGCGAUCCCGGGGGCUUGCGACGGUGGCGCGCCGAGGCGGGCGACUGGCGGCAACACUCCUAAGGCGGGCGGGCAAGCACCUACGGCGCUCCUGAAACGGACAAGCGGCGGCGGCGCACCCUAGGCCCGGUGGUGACUGCGGUUGCGUGAGGCGCGAUAGGCUUCAAUAGCAGCGGCGGCGGAUCUUGGAGGAGCGCACGCGGCGGUCGAGGCCAGGGGCGCCCACACGAUGUCGGCUCCUCGAAGGCGCGCGCCCCUGAGUGGCGCCCGCUGGCGUCCCCCCUCCCGCGAUGACGCCGGCCUUCCCUAGGCGCGAGCGACGACGACAGACUUCCCUAGGCGACGAGCGGUGGCGAAUCGAUGUCCUUGUUUUUAUGCUAUUAUAUAUAUAUAUAUAUUUAUGCCAACGUCAAUAGAUUUUUAUGAUACAUUUUCAGUUCAUGGCUCUCAUUUCAUCUUUUGUAUGUUUAUGAUAUUUCUAUUCACAUUUUAUGUAAACGUUUGUUGAUUUUUGCAUAGUGUACUAUAAUGUAUAAAUACCUUCGUCAUGCAGUUAAUUAGUAUCAGUAUAAAUCAUAAAUUGGUUACAACGAGCCUAACUGUAUGGCUGUUGGAGAGAUCAUAUAUUUAUGGACGAAAUAAAACAUUGAAAAUCAGAUUUUUGUUUUCAUGCGUGCUAAUCCAUUUUCUUUCGACUCACAUUUUUGUCAUCCUAAAUUUGUACACAUGCAAUAGUAAACAUAUUUUGUAUACAGUGUACCGCAUUGCAUAAAUACCUUCGACGUGUAACAUAAUUAGUCUCAGCGUAUAUCAUAAACUGGUUCUAAUGAGCAUAGAUGCAUGGCUGUUGGAGAGAUCCUAUAUUUAUGGAGAAAAUUAAUCAUUUAAAUCAGAUUUUUUUCCAUGCAUGUCAAUCUAUUUUCUUUUAACGCACAUUCUUGUCAUCCUAAAUUUGUGCGCAUGCAGCAGGAAACAUAUUUUUUCGCGCUGUACAGCAGUGCAUAAAUAUCUAUACCGUGUAGCAUAAUUAGUGUCAGUAUAUGUUAUAAAUGAUUCCAACGAUCCUACCUGCAUGACUGUUGUCAAGAUCCUACUUUUAUGGACGAAAUAAAGUAUUUAAAUCAGAUUUUUUUCAUGCAUGACAAUUUAUUUCCUUUCAACCCACAUUCUUAAUAUCCUAAAUUUGUGCGCAUGCAGAAGGAAACAAAUUUUUUGCGCGGUGUACCACACUUCAUAAAUAUCUACACAGUGUAGCAUAAUUAGUAUCAGUAUAUGUCAUAAACUAGUUCCAACGAGCCUAACUGCAUUAUAUUGCUGUUGUAGAGAUCCUAUUUUUAUGGACAAAAUAAACAUUAAAAUCGGUUUUUUUGUUUUCAUGCAUGCCAAUCUAUUUUCCCUCUAAACACACAUUAUUGACAUCCUAAAUUUGCGCCCAUGCAGCAGGAAAGUGAUUUUUUACGCAGCGUACAUUAUUGCAUAAAUGCCUACACGGUGUAGCAUAGUUAGUAGCAGUAUAUUUCAUAAAAUGUUUCUAAUGAGUCUAGCUGCAUAGCUGUUAUAGAGAUCCUAUAUUUAUGAAAGGAAUAAAUCAUUCAAAUUAGAUUUUUUGUUUCCAUGCAUACAACAGUUAACACAUAGACUUCCUAAUUAUUCACGCUUGUAAAUGUAAACAAACUGCCCGCAUGUAAGGAAUGAAUGCAUACGAGAAGUGGGUGGUGGCCAGGAUGCGGUGGUGCUUGGCUGGCUAGGGCUUCAUGUGUGCUAGGGCUUAGAUUUUAAACUUAGCAAUUUUUCAUAUAUAUAUAUAUAUAUAUAUAUAUAUAUAUAUAUAUAUAUAUAUAUAUAUGAAAAAUAGCUAAGUUUAAAAAGCGAUAGUGGCAAAAUAUUUUCACUAGCGUUUGUUAUAAGAGAACCAACUGUAGAAAUUUAUUUCACUAGUACAAAUAAGCUCAAAGCCUGCGGCACGUUCAACUUUUCACUGGCGGUUUCCGUUAUCAAACGUCAGUGAAAGAAACAGGUGGGCCCGGCUUUAAAAACCGCCAGUGGAAACCUAUUUCCACUGGCGGUUAUCUUAACACAACCGCCAGUGGAAAUAGGAUGUUUCCACUGGCGGUUGUGUUACACAAACCGCCAGUGAAAAUUGAUUUCCACUGGCGGUUAUCUUAAGAUAACCGCCAGUGGAAACAUCCUAUUUCCACUGGCGGUUUUUAAAGACAACCGCCAGUGGAAAUCAAUUUUCACUGGCGGUUUUUAAAGACAACCGCCAGUGAAGUGUCUGUUAUAAAUGCCCCUCUUCCCCCGACAGUGAACUGUAUGCUCGCAGCCAACUUCCAUUGGAGGCGAUUUUGGAGGUCCAGAAUUCACAAAAUACAUGGGGAGAGGUUUUGAUCUUCAUUUUUUGGAAGAAGAUUGCUAAGAAAGGUUGGUUUAUGUUGCUAAUGUCAAUUUUUAUUCAUUUUUGCUCAAUUUUAGCCACAUUUUGGAUCUAGGGUUUCACCAUUGGAGAGAGAGUGUAUCCUCUCUCAAUUUUAGCCACAUUUUAGCCACAUUUUUGCUCUAUUCGCUCAAAUAAAGUUGUUUAAUAUGGUUAGAUUUUGUCUAUCCUCUCUCCUUUUUCAUGUUUAGUUCUCAAAUCAGUUUAUCCAUGACAUAUUAAGUUGUUUAAUGAAUGGUUCAUGUGUUGUGUGGAGAGAGAAGAAGAUAGGUUUGAUAAUUAAGAUUGUUUUUAUUAGUUGCUAUGAAAGUUGGUUUAAUUAUGUUUUAAUUGCCAAUUAUUGUUUAUCUUUGCUCAAUUUUGGAACUAGGCCUUCACCAUGUGUUAAAGAGAAGAGUAUGGCUAGGAAAGUUUAGUUUUAUGUUCCUCUUGCCAAUUUUUGUUCAUUUUCCUUAAAUUUAGCCACAUUUUGGAUAUAGGGUUUCACCCCUUCAUCCUUCCCAACAGGUGGUGAUGGAGAGGACAUCCUGGAUGUAUAACUUAUCAAGGCUAGAUCCAUCAUACAUAUCCGAGGUCCAUAAGUUUAUUGAUGUCGCUACGAACCAUGCUUGGAGAACAAAGACAAAACACAUAUAUUGUCCAUGCAUGGACUGCAAAAAUGCUGCUGUAUUUAAUGACACAGAACAAAUCAUAUCUCAUCUGGUAUGCCGAGGAUUUAUGAAGGAUUACACAAUUUGGACAAAACAUGGAGAGGGUACCAGCUCUUCGCCUUAUACGACUGGAAACCCUGAGAACAUCGACGACAGAUUUCAGUUCGUUCACGAGACACACCAACCUCUUCCACAGAGCGAACAUGUAGUGCAAAAUGUUACUGAUCAUGGUUACGCUCGAGGAAAUGAACAUGAUAGACCUCAUGUUCUGCCAAGUGUUAUGGAUGAGGAAGAUGCAGAGUUGCUAGAGGCAAUGUUGCGUCGUCAUACAGAUCAAUCGAUGUUCUUAAUGAAAGGUAUGGAGUCCCUGAAGAAGGCAGCAGAAGAGCCUUUGUACGACGAGUCUAAGGGUUGUACCAAAGAGUUCACGACGCUCCGGUCUGUGCUAAAGCUGUUGAUGUUAAAAGCUAAAUAUGGUGUGUCUGAUGCUGGCUUCGAUGCGUUCUUGAGUAUUAUCGCAGACAUGCUUCCAAAGGAGAACAAUGUGCCUGCUAACACGUACUAUGCAAAGAAACUAAUCAGUCCGCUCACUAUGGGUGUGGAGAAGAUCCACGCGUGUAGAAAUCACUGUAUCCUUUAUCGAGGUGAUGAUUAUAAAGACUUGGAGAGCUGCCCAAAGUGCGGUGCAAGUAGGUACAAGACGAAUAAAGACUAUCGAGAGGACGAAGAGUGUGUUGCAUCCGUGUCUAAAGGGAAGAAGCGAAAGAAAGCCCAAAAAAAGACUUCAAAAUCCACGAGCAAAGAAAAAGAAGUAGACUAUUAUGCGCUCAAAAAGAUUCCUGCUUUGGUGAUGUGGUACCUCCCCGUCGUCGAUCGAUUGAGGUGUUUGUUCGCUAAUCCUGAGGAUGCCAGACUUAUGAGCUGGCAUGCUUCUGAUGAGCACAAAAACGAUGGGAAGCUUCGACAUCCAGCCGAUGGGAAGCAGUGGCAAGAUUUCAAUGACAACCACCGAGACUUUGCCGAUGAACCGAGAAAUGUUAGGUUCGCACUGAGUACUGAUGGAAUGAACCCAUUUGCUGAGAGGAGCAGCAAGCAUAGCACAUGGCCGGUGAUCCUCACCAUAUACAACCUUCCUCCAUGGUUGAUGCAGAAACGGAAGUACAUUUUGCUAACCAUCCUUAUUUCUGGACCUACACAACCUGGAGUUGACAUGGAUGUAUUUUUGGAGCCCUUAAUGGAGGAUAUGAAAAUAUUGUGGGAAACAGGUGUUCAAAUGUUGGAUGAGUAUCGUAAAGGUUCAUUCACGCUGAGAGCAAUUCUUUUUGUUACGAUCAACGAUUACCCUGCUCUCUUCACAUUAUCAGGCCAGUUUAAGGGAAAGGUUGGUUGCACAGUAUGCAUUGAUGGAACUGCUUACGUAUCCCUUGCUGCAUCUAGGAAGAUAGUUUACAUGAGGCACAGACGCUUUUUAUUGGAAGGACACAGGUACCGCAUGCGAAAGAUGGAUAAGUACUUCGACAAUAAUGGUGAACUACAUUCUACUGCUCCAUCGGGUAACAAUAGAGGUCAUAGAGUUUUUGAAAUAGUCAGGAAUAUCAAGUUUGUUUUCGGGAAGAAGACAAAAGACGGAAAAACAAGGAAGGAUGUCAAACCAGCUUCGGGGGCUAUAUUCAAGAAGAAGUCUAUUUUCUUCGAGUACUUGCCUUACUGGAAAGAGUUAGAUGUGCGGCAUGCGAUCGAUGGUAUGCACGUUCAGAAGAACGUGUUUGAAAGCAUAAUGGGCACCUUGCUAGACAUAAAGGGCAAAACAAAAGAAGGGCUCAAUUCACGCAUGGACUUGGUAGAUUUAGGCAUAAAAAAGGAACUACAUCCCGUUCUUCAAGAAAAUGGGAAGUACCAUCUCCCAGCAGCAAGCUACAAUCUCAAUGUAGAUGAGAAACAUGCGAUGUGUGUUUGGCUUAAGAAUUUGAAAGUCCCAUCCGGAUUCUGCUCUAGCAUACGGAGUAUUGUGUCAAUGAAAGACCUGACAAUCACCAACUACAACUCACAUGAUUGCCAUGUCAUGCUGACUACAUUUCUACCUAUUGCCAUCAGGGCUAUAAAUCCUUUGUUUUUAAAGAUGGCAAUCACACGGUUGUGCUACUUUUUCAACAGGAUUUCACAAAAGGUAAUUGGCCGUGAUGAGUUGGCAUCUCUUCAGGAAUUCGCAGUGGAGACAAUAUCACAGUUUGAGAUGUGUUUCCCUCCAUCGUUCUUUGAUAUUAUGGUGCACCUUGUGGUGCACUUGGUGCCACAAAUAGAGGCAUUGGGUCCUAUGUACUUGCAUGAAAUGUGGACGUAUGAGCGUUUCAUGUCAAUACUGAAUGGCUAUGUAUCAACCCGUGCUCGUCCCGAGGCAUCCAUGAUAGAGGGGUACUGUACCGAAGAGGCCAUUGAGUCCGGAGGUCCAUUCUGCAAUAGUAUCCUAAAAGACCAGGUUGCAAUAGGUCUGCCUCCGUCACGACACGAGGGUAGACUGUAUGGAAGCGGGAGGAUGGGACGGAAAUCUUUCAUCCCACCGGAUUACGAUAUAGUACUUGAGGCACAUCAGAGCAUCCUACAUCAGCUAACGAUAAUGGAGCCAUUUAUCCAACAACACAUCAAUGAGCUUCGCGAGCAAAAUCCUGGGCAUACGGAUGAUUGGGUAAUGAAGCAACAUAAGCAGCGAUUCAACACAUGGCUAAUGGUGAAGGACAUUCCACGUGGAGAAACAAUAGAAGAACAAACCAUCAAGGGCUUGGCAUCUGGACCAUCACGCCAGGUCACAACAUGGCAAACCUAUGACAUUAGUGGAUUCACAUUUUGUACCAAGUCCAAGGACAAAAAGAGCAUGUCACAAAACAGUGGUGUUCGAUGCGAGGCCAUAGAUGAUGAAACUGGUGAGAUUAUAACAUAUUUUGGCUUUAUUGAGGACAUAUGGGAACUAGACUAUGGUACAUUUCAGAUCUCGGUUUUCCGAUGUCAAUGGGUUGAAGACAAACAUGUCACGGUAGACAACUAUGGGGUCAGAGUUCUUGAUCUAAGUAAGGUAGGUUACAAAGAUGACCCAUGGAUCCUUGCUAAUCGUGCUGCACAGGUCUUCUAUGCUGAACAGAUCAUUUCUAACAAUGAGAAGAAAAGCACCGACAAACCGAAGCAUGUAGUUUUUCCUGGAAAACAACAAGCUAUAGGAGUUGAUGGUGUAUCUGAUUUAGAGAAUUUUAACCAGUUCAACGACAUGUCUCUUUUCAUAGACCAUCCAACCAAGAUAAGGAACGUUGAGCGAAGCAUCCCACGCAAUUCGUUGCCCUGGGUACGCCACGAUGGACAAGGCAGAACAAUAGCUUCCUAGAUUAUAUACUUGUCAUGUAAUUGAUUAUUGUUAGGAACUUGUCAUGUAAUUGAUUAUUGUUAGCGACAAACCGAAGCAUGUAAUUGUCUUCAUUCAAUUUUCGUGGCUACCAUUUACAAUUUUACAUGACUUUCUAUUGACUUUAUAGAGAGAGAGGAGAGGGAGAGAGAGAGGAGAGAGAGGAGAGGGAGAGGAGAGAGAGGAUGGAGAGAGAGGAGAGAGAUAGGAUGGAGAGAGAGGAGAGAGAGAGGGGAUGGAGAGAGAGGAUGGAGAGGGAGAGGGGAGAGAGAGUGGAGAGGAGAGAGAGGAUGGAAAGAGAGGAGAGGAUGGAAAAAGUAAAACAAUAUAUAAAAGUAUACUUAAUAUAAUAUAUAAAAAGUGAAGUAAAACAAUAUAUAAAAAACUAUGUUAAAUAAUAAUAAAAAACAAUUUCUACUGGCGGCUGUCAUAGAGAACCGCCAGUAGAAAUGGUUUCCACAGACUGUAGAAUCCAUUUCUACUGGCGGUUCUCUAUGACAACCGCCAGUAGAAAUGGUUUCUACUGGCGGUUCUCGUUGUCAACCGCCAGUAGAAAUGGCUUCUACAGUCUGUGGAAACCAUUUCUACUGGCGGUUCUCGUUAUCAACCGCCAGUAGAAAUGGCGCCUAUAUAAAGGUGGCGCGCGGGAGCCGAAAAUUUUACAAGUCCCUGGCGCCCUUUCACUUGAAGACGACGCCGUCAGGCUGCUGGAUUUCGACCCCGACGGUUUUCGCCGGCGAUCGUCCCCGCGCCCGUCCCCACGCCGCCAUUCCCGCCCCCGCACCGCCGUCUGCAGGUUUUUUCUCUUUCCCCUAAUCUGUACCGCCGCCGUCUACUACCGCGCCGGGCCGCCGCCGCCGCCGCCGCGUUUUAGUAAAACCUAGGGCACGCGCCGCCGCCGAGAGGGAGGAAGAGAGAUGAAGGAGAGGGAGAGGGAAGAGAGAGGAGGGAGAGGGAGAGGGAGGAGAGAGGAGGGCGCACGCGCCGCCCGCCGCCGAGAGGGAGGAAGAGAGAGGAAGAGAGAGGGAGAGAGAUAGAGGGAGGGAGAGGAGGGUGAGAGAGAGAGAGAGGAAUUUUAUACAUUGUAAUUUUAUGUGUUCAAAUGUAUGUUGAAUUCAUAUGUGUUCAAAUGUAUGUUGAAUUCAUAUGUGUUCAAAUGUAUGUUGAAAUGUAUGUUGAAAUGUAUGGUGAGAGAGAUAGAGGGAGGGAGAGGAGGGUGAGAGAGGGAGAGGAGGGUGAGAGAGAGAGAGGAAUUUUAUACAUUGUAAUUUUAUGUGUUCAAAUGUAUGUUGAAUUCAUAUGUGUUCAAAUGUAUGUUGAAAUGUAUGUUGAAAUGUAUGGUGAGAGAGAUAGAGGGAGGGAGAGGAGGGUGAGAGAGGGAGAGGAGGGUGAGAGAGAGAGAGGAAUUUUAUACAUUGUAAUUUUAUGUGUUCAAAUGUAUGUUGAAUUCAUAUGUGUUCAAAUGUAUGUUGAAUAUAUACAUUGUAAUUUUAUCCGUCACAACUCGAUAAUAUACGUAUCCGAUCCGAAUUCGAUCUGAACUCGAUAAUUUCCGUACGACUCUCCCUCUCUCCCUCUCUAUACGUCCUAUGCGACUCUCCCUCUCUCCCUCUCCUCGUCCUAUACGACUCUCCCUCUCUCUAUACGUCCUAUGCGACUCUCUCCCCGUCCUACACGAUACUAUACGACUAUACGAUACUAUAUGGUUAGGGUUUAGGGUUAUGGUUAGGGUUAAGGUUAGGGUUAAGGGUUAUAGUUAGGGUUAGGGUUAGGGUUAGGGUUAGGGUUAGGGUUAGGGUUUUGGGUCAGGGUUAGAGUUAGGGUUAGGGUUAGGGUUAGGGUUUUGGGUCAGGGUUAGAGUUAGGGUUAGGGUUAAGGGUUCGGGUUUUGGGUUAGGGUUAGGGUUUUGGGUUAGGGUUAGGGUUAAGGGUUUAGGGUUAGGGUUAGGGUUAGGGUUAGGGUCAGGGUUAGAGUUAGGGUUAGGGUUAGGGUUAGGGUUAAGGGUUCGGGUUUUGGGUUAAGGUUUCGGGUUUUGGGUUAGGGUUAGGGUUAAGGGUUUAGGGUUAGGGUUAGGGUUAGGGUUAGGGUUAAGGGUUCGGGUUAGGGUUAAGGGUUCGGGUUUUGGGUUAAGGGUUCGGGUUUUGGGUUAGGGUUAGGGUUAGGGUUAGGGUUUUGGGUUAGGGUUAGGGUUAGGGUUAGGGUUAGGGUUUUGGGUUAGGGUUAGGGUUAGGGUUAAGGGUUUAGUGCCCGCGAGGAUGUAUUUAAUUAUACUAUUUGUUAAUAUGAAUUUAAUUAUUGCUUACGUUAAUAUGUGUUAAUAUGUAUUUAAUUAUUGCUUAUGUAUUUGUAUAUAUAUAGCUCAAUGAGUUCUCCGAUCAAGGACCAAGGAUUAGUGCCCGAGCACAUGGACAAGAGUGUUGCUCAAGAACAAUCCAGCAGUGAAGGAUAUGAAACGCCUAGCGACCCUUUUCCUACCACUAGCAUAGAUAGGGCCGCUCUCCGUGAGUUGCAACGUGACCCUACUUAUGAUCCACGAGAAGCUGAGGUAAAAGUACGCAUCUUUAGCUUCGUAUGUGUACCCUACUGAUUUCACAUGCAUGAUCUCUUGUGCAUUUUAUUACAUGAAUAGGAGGUCGUGUCUGAAUUUCGUGCGAUACUCGAAGAAGCCGUGGCACGAUACGAAGACGUACCGGAGCCGACCCAAGACGCACCGGAACAGACCAAGACAACAACCGAGACAUCAAGGAAAAGGAAGCAGAGCGAUCGAAAAAGAGGUGACAGGGGGCUGAACAAAUUUCCCGACAAAACAUACAAAAUCUCAGACGUGAGCCCGAAAGGUCAGCCCCUAGCUCCAGAAGAGGCACUACCUAAGUUUCGGAAUGCACUUGGGUUUUUAGUUAGAGAUAAUCUUGACAUAACAAUACGACAGUGGAGAGAUGUGUCAGAUGAUGUCAAGAAUCAAAUAUGGAAUAAGCUAUUAAUGAGGUUCGUUCUGCCUCGGGGUUCAGAAGAACUCGUGAAGGAAUACACGAUGAAGCAGCUUGCAAUAAAUUUCCGAAACUGGAGGUCUGAGAUGAACACAAAGUUUGCAAAGAAAGGUCUGGACCCGACCAAAAAAUAUAAAAUCUCAGCAGGUCAGUGGGCAGUAUUUCUAGAGCAGAGGAGCAGCCCUGAUUUCAUAUCUCUAAGUGAGGCAAAUUCAGAACUAUCAAAGAAGAACAAGUACCGCCACCACCUAGGCACAGGUGGUUACAAGCGUCAGGUUCCUAAAUGGACACAAGAAGACGCCGAGAAGAAGGCUGCAGGGUUGCCGACGCUGUCCGAGCAACUUGGUGAAAGGGCGGCAAAUUGGCUCCGUGCUAGAAAACCAAGGGAAACCGAGACCGGUGUAUCUUUUGAUGAUCCCAUUGUCGAAGAAGCGGCAAAAAACAUAUAUACAAUGGCAGCUAAGCAGAGCGAAGGAACUUUUAAGCCACAAAGGGAAAGAGACAUCCUAACGGCUGGUCUCGGUAACCCUGAGCAUCCUGGUCGUGUACGAGGAAUCUCGUCUAAGGAAGGAUGGAAGGAAGGAUUCGGACCACAGUGGGAAGGUCUGUACAAGAAACGUGAUCGAUACAAGGAAGAGAUCGUGGAUUAUUUUAAGGAGGAGGCCAAGAAAGAGUUCAAAGCCAUGAUGUCUCAAAUGCUAUCGAAUCCUCCUCCAGAAUUGAUGCAACAGUUGGCGAGUGCGAUGUCUGUUCAACAGAUGACCACUCCACAGAUACAAAUAAUUCCAGCAGCUCAACCGCCGGCUUCCACAGAUUGUACGACAUUACCAAGCUCUGUUGCUUCAACGGGAAAUAAGGACCGUUAUCCAGUUGAUGACAUCACAAGGCCUGUGGCGUGCACACUGGUUAUAAGAUAUGGUAUUAACAAUAAACGUACAAAGAUAGUAGCCACAGGCCUUGCGAUCCCAGGACGCAAGUACCAUGGAAACGAUAUUCCAGAUGAUUAUUGCAAAGUAGAAGUGACGACGGUCGUCCAAGGAUACGAGGACGACAUGCUAGACAUCCCUGGGCCCGAAGGUAUCGAGAAACUUGGACAAGCUAUCAAGAAUUUUAUCCUUUGGCCUCGAAGGGAUGUCGAAUUGCUUGAUUGGUCGAAUUCGUCGCAGGUGUCGCAGGCCCAACCGUCUCCGCCUUCUCAAAUUGCUGUUCCUAUUGUACAUCCAUCCUCACCUCCUCAAACUUCACAUGCUGCUCCUCAUCCUUUUUCUGACCCACCGUCUCCGCCACAAGCAUCACCAUUCAGGGCUCCACCACCUUCUCCUCCCCAUCCUCUUGGUGACCCACUGUCUACGCCACCAUCAAGGGAUCCACCUUCUCCACAGCCAUCAAACGAUCCACGACCAUCAAAGAAAUCUAAACUUCCUAUACCAAAAUUGGUGUCCCCGUAUCAGAAAAAGAAGAGUAAAGCUACUACUGCUGGCACAGUUAGGUUUUUGAAAGGGAUUGGACGGAGCCUCACGUCACAAACUGUUGAUUUGGCCGAGCACGAGGAGUCUGCAAAAAAGGCUGAGGCAACGGACGCAAAGAUAAAGAAGCCAACUAAGGCAGAUUACAAAAACGUGCCUAAAAAAUAUGUGCCGGGCAGACCUCUGCUACCUCUUGACAAACUAAGAAAGGUCCCGGCUGGUGUUAAAAGGUUGCAUGACUGGUACAUGCGGGCAUCAUCGGUUGGCAUCGACACCAUCAGUGUGCAUAUACCAGACCAUGCUUUUAUUGGUUCGAACCAAAAGGCCGUUGUUACAUUCGAGGACAUGUGGUUAAUGAUGAACCUUCAGAGACUCGACGUGCAACUUGUAACGAUGUUUGCAUUGUAAGUGUCGCUCAUACUUCCACAUAUGUGUGUUAUUAUUAGUGAGCUGUAUAAAAUUUCAAUAUCUGACAUGCACGUGUGACUUGCAGAAUGCAACAUGAUCAGCAGGAGAUUCUUUACGGUACCAAGCCCAAUGCUAGUGCCAGUAAAAGGGUUGGGUAUCUCAACCCAAUACUUAUAUCCGAGGAAAGCCACACUUUUAGAAUCGGGAAAGACAACGAUGAAAUACGGGGAAAGACGGACGAAGAAGUUGAGAAGCGUAUAAAGGAAAUGAAGAAGGAUUUUGAAGCUCGAUACGCCACAUACAUAGGACAUGCAAUGCUUCAAUUUCAAGACAGGGAAGCCAUAAUGGCCCCGUACAACUUUAAGUAAGUGUGAUUUUGCAUAAAUAAAAUUAAUAAUUUCAAUACACAUGCAUCACAAAUUUGAUUCGUACAGGGACCACUGGAUAUGCUUCCUCAUUUAUCCUAAGGUUGGAAAGGUGCUGGUGCUCGACUCCUUGAACUUCGACCCUUCGACAUAUGCAACAUUCCUCAGCAUCUUAGAGCUGUAAGCCUUUUCUAUGCAUGCAUACUUUUAUCGAUUAAAAUUUGAGAAUAACAUGGUGAUUCUAUUUGAGAUCACAGUGCUUAUAGAUUCUAUAAGAUGAGAGGUGGAAAGUACGACCUGUCGAAAAAACAAGUGCCACUAGACAUCCAUCAUCACUGGCCGGUAAGUAUGUGAUUUUAUGAAUACAUAUCAUACACAAUGUUGCAACUAAAUAACCAAUCUCCCGUUAUGUAGUGCCACAAGCAACCACAAGGAUCGGUCCUAUGUGGAUUCUAUGCGUGCGAGUUCAUGAGAGUGAACGGACGAUACAUCACGAACCCUGACAAGGUAUUAUUAGUAAUAGUUAAGUAUGUAUUUAUGUCAUUAAAAGAUGCAAAUGUGUUAUUAUUGAGUAUAAAUAGAUGAUGUUUAUAAAAUUCCUUUACAGCAAUUUCAACGAGGAAACCCGGAGAACUUGACCGAAGCUGCAUUGUAUGGCAUAGUCGAGGACCUCUGCACAUUCAUAUUGAAAGAGGUCAUUCCCGCAGAAGGAAAAUAUCACGAUGCUUCCGGAACAUUAGCUUUGCCAGAGUUUAGAAUACUAACAAAAAUUAGUAGAUUAUCUCUUAGCCGAGAUAGUUAUUAGAGCUUAGGUGAAAACCUAUGAUGUAUAGAAUGCAUGAAGGAUAUAUGGUUGUAAACAAAAUACUUUCAUGUCGUAGAAUGCAUGAAAACUUAUGAUGUAUAGAAUUUAAUUUCAUGUUGCUUUCAAUAUCAAUAUAGAUCUAUAUAUAUAUAUGUUUGUGUGUGUGUAAAUAAAUAUAUAUAUAAUUCAGUAUUGUUUGAAAUUUUGAAAAAAGGCGGGAAAGUUCCACUGGCGGCUGAAUAAAGAAAACCGCCAGUGAAAAGUGCAUUUCCACUGGCGGUUUGCUUUAUAAAACCGCCAGUGAAAAUGCAUUUUCACUGGCGGUUUUCUUUAUUCAGCCGCCAGUGGAAAUGAACUUUUCACUGGCGGUUCCUUAAGAAAACCGCCAGUGAAAAUGCACUUUUCACUGGUGGUUCCAAAAUAACCGCCAGUGGAAAUGCUGAUUUCCACUGACCCCUAGCAUUGGCGGUACUGAAAAACGCCAGUGUAAAUAUGUUUAGAACCGCCACUAUAGAGCUUCUGUGUACUAGUGUUUCCACAUGCGGUUGAGUAAAUAAAAUCGCUCACGCUUUCUACUAAUCCCUAGCACUAGAGAUUCUGAAAAACGUCAGUGAAAAUGAGUUACGAACUACCUUUAUAUAGCUUCUUUGUACUAGUAUCUCAUCUGCUCUCUUAUUUCAAACGACAUUGUUUACAUGUAACUAGUGUUGUCUACAUAUAUAUAGGCAUAGCAAUGCACGAUUUAUUGGCCACGACAUUAGGCUAUCUCCAACAGUCUUACUGUCUCGCUUCUCAUUUCAAGCUACACUUUGUAAAUAGUGCAUCUACAGCGUUGCACGCUAUUGUUAAUUGUAGAGGAAAAAAAAUAUUUAUAUACCGGAUGUAAAUAAUCUAUUUUACACAACCUCUCACAUAUACCAGCUACUGGUCCAUUUAAAUAGAAGAAAAACAAGUUACUAAAGGGUUAUUUUGUAAAUUUUGAUAUGUCUUUGGGGUCUUUAAGUGGUGGAUGUGAUGGUAUGUGUCGGGGACCAUAAUUAGGGGUACCCCCAAGACUCCUAAUCUCAGCUGGUAACCCCCAUCAGCACAAAGUUGCAAAGGCCUGAUGGGCGCGAUUAAGGUCAAGGCUCAGUCCACUCAAGGGACACGAUCUCGCCUCGCCCGAGCCCAGCCUCGGGCAAAGGCAGCCGACCCCGGAGGAUUCACGUCUCGCCCGAGGGCCCCCUCAAGCAACGGACACACCUUCGGCUCGCCCGAGGCCUAGUCUUCGCAGAGAAGCAACCUUGGCCAGAUCGCCACGCCAACCGACCAUAUCGCAGGAGCAUUUAAUGCAAGGAUCGCCUGACACCUUAUCCUAACGCGCGCUCUUCAGUCGACAGAGUUGAAGUGACCACAGUCACUUCGCCGCUCCACUGACCGACCUGACAAGAAAACAGCACCGUCUGCGUCGCUCCGACUGCUGUGCCACUCGACAGAGUGAGGCUGACAGCAGCUAAGUCCAGCCUCGGGCGCCAUAGGAAGCUCCGCCUCGCCCGAUCCCAGGGCUCGGGCUCAACCUCGACGAUGGACGACGGACUCCGCCUCGCCCGACCCCAGGGCUCGGACACGGCCUCGGCCUCGGAAGACGGUCUCCGCCUCGCCCGACCCCAGGGCUCGGGCUCAACCUCGACGCUGGACGACGGACUCCGCCUCGCCCGACCCAGGGCUCGGACUCAGCCUUGCUUGGCCUCGGAAGACGGUCUCCGCCUCGCCCGACCCAGGGCUCAGACUCAACCUCGACCUCGGAAGACGGACUCCGCCUCGCCCGACCCCAGGGCUCGGACUCAGCCUCGACCUCGGAAGACGGACACGACCUCGACCUCGGUGGAGCCGCCACCUCGCCCAAACUCGGGUCCGGACCGGCCACGUCGCCAGGGGGGCCAUCAUUACCCUACCCCUAGCUAGCUCAGGCUACGGGGAACAAGACCGACGUCCCAUCUGGCUCGCCCCAGUAAAUAAAUAAUGAUGGCGCUCCGCGUGCUCCAUGACGACGGCGGCUCUCAGCCCCUUACGGAAGCAAGGAGACGUCAGCAAGGAUUCGACAGCCCCGACAGCUGUCCUUCCGCAGGGCUCCAGCUCUCCUCCGACGGCCACGACAUCACAUGAAUAGGGUGCCAAAACCUCUCCGGCUGCCACGACGACAUGUACUUAGGGCUCUAGCUCCUCUCUGCUAGACACGUUAGCACACUGCUACACCCCCAUUGUACACCUGGACCCUCUCCUUACGCCUAUAAAAGGAAGGUCCAGGGCUCUCGUACGAGAAGGUUGGCCACGCGGGAGAACGGUCCGGCGCAUAAGGCUCUCGCUCUCUCCCACGCGAACGCUUGUAACCCCCUACUGCAAGCGCAUCCAUCCGCCCUGGGCGCAGGACAACACGAAGGCUGCGGGUUCCCCUUUACUGUUCUCCCCCCUUUGUGUCCUGUCUCGCGCCGACCCAUCUGGGCUGAGACACGCAACGACAAUUUACUCGUCGGUCCAGGGACCCCUCGGGGUCGAAACACCGACAGUUGGCGCGCCAGGUAGGGGCCUGCUGCGUGUUGACGAACAGCUUCCCAUCAAGCUCCAGAUGGUAGUCUUCAGCAACCUUUCCAACCCGGGACGAUGCUCCGUUUCGAGAGUCUUGAGUUCAUGUCCCUCGACGGCAGCUACGACAUGAUACUCCUUCCUCCGCCGCGCGACAGUGACAAUGGCGGCCAUCAGCCCGCCCGCCGGCGGCGGAUUCAACGACGUCUUCCCCACAUGGCGGAAGAACAACAUUCAGGUUUGUCCCGUCACCUCCCCCACCAACGGAGGAGGAGGCGGGGCAACCAUGGCCAAGCAGGAGGCGGCACCUCGUCGGCUGUCGAGCAAGUCAACGACGCCGGCGCCCCAGCGGGGGACAUGUCGGGCUUCGACCUUGCGUCUGAGACGAAGAUGAACGUCGUUUCCCCGCAACACGCCAACCCCAAGCAGACGGACGACGCCAGCACGCUCACAAAGGACUUGCUGGGCGUUGCCCUCGUACCUGAGACAACGGUGCAGUCCGCCCCUGACGCGACUUCAUCACCGCCCGUCGACCAAGAGGUACCGACCGAUUCCCAUCUCGUGCCUUUUGGAUUCAGCUUCGACCUACCAAGCGACCUCGCUUCGGUGGAAGCCUUCAUAGAGGCAUGUACCAACCCUCCGGGGUACAUAUGCGGUCGCCCUGGGACAGACUGACGACCGUCUCGACCUACGGACCCUCGGAUUCCGAGGAAGAUGACGAGCCCGACUUUUGUUGGGAUUUCUCCGGGCUCGGUAACCCCAGUGCCAUGCAGGACUUCAUGACCGCAUGCGACUACUGCCUCUCCGAUUGUUCCGAUGGUAGCCGCAGCUUCGGCGACGAGGACUGCGGCCCAAGUCGUGAAUGUUUCCAUGUCGAUCUAGGGGGUCCCGGUGAAGGCAACCAUCUUGGUAUGCCGGAAAACGGCGAUCCCCUAGGUCUGCGCCUCGCGUUGACAUCCUUCGGGAGCUAGCUGUGGUCCCAGUCCCUGCGGGGGGUCAGGACGCACAGCUCGAGCAAAUCCGCGAGAUGCAGGCCAGGCUCGACGAGGGAGCAGGAACACUUGAGCAGUUCCGGCGGAACAUCGGGCAGGAAUGGGCAGACCAAGCUUCGGCCGGAGAAGCGCGUCAUCUACCCCAGGGCAUCCAGCACCGCAUUGCCGACGACAUCAGGGCAAGGCCGCCACCAGCUUCCAGUGGGGUUGGCCAGAACCUGGCUGCAGUAGCAAUACUACUCCGCGUGAUGCCGGAACCAUCGACCACCGAAGGGCGGCGUAUCCAGGGAGAGCUCAAGAAUCUCCUGGAGGAUGCCGCGGUCCGACGGGUCGAAAGCUCUGCCUCCCGAAGGCAGAGGUACCCCUCGGAGCAUCGCGCCGCGACUUCCCGAUUCGUGCGGGAAGCCUCGGUCCACACCGGGCGCACGCGCAACACGCCGCCUGCGGCCCCGGGUUGCCUCGGCAACGAGCACCACCACCGCAACCGUCGUGCCCACCUCGACGAGAGGGUGCGCCGAGGCUACCACCCUAGGCGUGGGGGACGCUACGGCAGCGGGGAGGAUCGAAGCCCCUCGCCCGAACCACCCGGUCCGCAGGCUUUCAGCCGGGCCAUACGACGGGCACCGUUCCCGACCCGGUUCCGAACCCCGACUACCAUCACAAAGUACUCGGGGGAGACAAGGCUGGAAUUGUGGCUCACGGACUACCGACUGGCCUGCCAGCUGGGUGGAAUGGAUGAUGACAACCUCAUCAUCCGCAACCUCCCCCUGUUCCUCUCUGACACCGCUCGAGCCUGGCUGGAGCAUCUGCCUCCGGGGCAGAUCUCUAACUGGGACGACCUGGUCCAAGCCUUCGCCGGCAACUUCCAGGGCACGUACGUGCGCCCUGGGAACUCCUGGGAUCUCUGAAGCUGCCGCCAGCAGCCGGAAGAGUCUCUCCGAGACUACAUCCGGCGAUUCUCGAAGCAGCGCACCGAGCUGCCCAAUGUCACCGACUCGGACGUCAUCGGCGCGUUCCUCGCCGGCACCACCUGCCGCGACCUGGUGAACAAGCUGGGUCGCAAGACCCCCACCAGGGCGAGCGAGCUGAUGGACAUCGCCACCAAGUUCACCUCUGGCCAGGAGGCGGUUGAGGCCAUCUUCCGAAAGGACAAGCAGCCCCAGGCCCGCCAGCCGAAAGACGUCCCCGAGGCGUCCACUCAGCGCGGCACCAAGAAGAAGAACAAGAAGAAGUCGCAAGCGAAACGCAACGCCACCAACGCGGACCUUGUCACCGCCGCUGAGUACAAGAACCCUCGGAAGCCUCCCGGAGGUGCCAACCUGUUCGACAAGAUGCUCAAGGAGCCGUGCCCCUAUCAUCAGGGGACCGUCAAGCACACCCUUGAGGAGUGCGUCAUGCUUCGGCGCCACUUUCACAAGGCCAGGCCACCGGCGGAAGGUGGCAGGGCCCACAACAACGACAAGAAGGAGGAUCACAAGGCAGAGGAGUUCCCCGAGGUCCACGACUGCUUCAUGAUCUACGGUGGGCCAGUGGCGAACGCCUCGGCUCGGCACCGCAAGCAAGAGCGUCGGGAGGUCUACUCGGUAAAGGUGGCGGCGCCAGUCUACCUAGACUGGUCCGACAAGCCCAUCACCUUCGAUCAGGGUGACCACCCCGACCAUGUGCCGAGCCCGGGGAAAUAUCCGCUCGUUGUCGACCCCGUCAUUGGCAACGUCAGGCUCACCAAGGUCCUCAUGGACGGAGGCAGCAGCCUCAACAUCAUCUACGCCGAGACCCUCGGGCUCCUGCAGAUCGAUCUGUCCUCGAUCCGGACAGGCGCGACGCCUUUUCACGGGAUCAUCCCCGAGAAACGCAUCCAACCCCUCGGACAACUCGAUCUGCCCGUCUGCUUCGGGACUCCCUCCAACUUCCGAAGGAAAACCCUCACGUUCGAGGUGGUCGGGUUCCGAGGAACCUACCACACAUUACUGAGGAGGCCAUGCUACGCCAAGUUCAUGGCCGUCCCCACUACACCUACCUCAAGCUCAAAAUGCCGGGCCCCAACGGGGUCAUCACCGUCGGCCCCACAUACCGACACGCGUACAAAUGCGACGUGGAGUGCGUGGAGUACGCCGAGGCCCUCACCGAAUCCGAGGCCCUCAUCACCGACCUGGAGAGCCUCUCCAAGGAGGCGCCAGAUGCGAAGCGCCACGCCAGCAACUUCGAGCCAGCUGAGACAGUCAAAUCCGUCCCUCUCGACCCCAGCAACGACGCCUCCAAGCAGAUACGGAUCGGCUCCGAGCUCGACCCCAAAUAGGAAGCAGUGCUCGUCGACUUCCUCCGCGCGAAUGCCGAAGUUUUCGCGUGGAGUCCCUCGGACAUUCCUGGCAUACCGAGGGAUGUCGCCGAGCACUCGCUGGAUAUCCGAGCUGGAGCCCGACCCGUGAAGCAGCCUCUGCGCCGAUUCGACAAAGAAAAGCGCAGAGCCAUAGGCGAGGAGGUCCACAAGCUGAUGGCCGCAGGGUUCGUCAAAGAGGUAUUCCAUCCCGAAUGGCUUGCCAACCCUGUGCUUGUGAGAAAGAAAGGAGGGAAAUGGCGGAUGUGUGUAGACUACACUGGUCUAAACAAAGCAUGUUCGAAGGUUCCCUACCCUUUGCCUCGCAUCGAUCAAAUCGUGGAUUCCACUGCUGGGUGCGAAACCCUGUCUUUCCUCGAUGCCUACUCAGGGUAUCACCAAAUCAGGAUGAAAGAGUCCGACCAGCUCGCGACUUCUUUCAUCACGCCCUUUGGCAUGUACUGCUACGUUACCAUGCCAUUUGGUUUGAGGAAUGCGGGUGCGACGUACCAAAGGUGCAUGAACCACGUGUUCGGAGAGCACAUUGGUCGAACGGUCGAGGCUUACGUCGAUGACAUCGUAGUCAAGACGAGGAAAGCCUCCGACCUCCUCUCUGACCUUGAAACGACAUUCCAGUGUCUCAAGGCGAAAGGCGUAAAACUCAAUCCCGAGAAGUGCGUCUUCGGAGUCCCCCGAGGCUUGCUCUUGGGGUUCAUCGUCUCAGAGCGGGGCAUCAAGGCCAACCCGGAGAAAAUCGCGGCCAUCACCAACAUGGGGCCCAUCAUGGACUUGAAAGGCGUACAGAGGGUCAUGGGAUGCCUUGCGGCUCUGAGCCGUUUCAUCUCGCGCCUCAGAGAAAGAGGCCUACCUCUGUACCGCCUCUUGAAGAAGACCGAGUGCUUCACUUGGACCCCCGAGGCCGAGGAAGCCCUCGGAAACCUAAAAGCGCUCCUUACCAGCGCGCCCAUCUUGGUGCCCCCCGCUGCCGGAGAAGCCCUCUUGAUCUACGUCGCCGCUACCACCCAGGUGGUCAGCGCCGCGAUCGUGGUUGAGAUACGAGAAGAAGGGCAUGCAUUGCCCGUCUAGAGGCCGGUCUACUUCAUCAGUGAGGUACUGUCUGAGACCAAGAUCCGCUACCCAUAAAUUCAGAAGCUGCUGUACGCGGUGAUUCUGACGCGGCGGAAGUUGCGACACUACUUCGAGUCUCAUCCGGUGACUGUGGUGUCAUCCUUCCCCCCUGGGGGAGAUCAUCCAGUGCCGAGAGGCCUUGGGUAGGAUUGCAAAGUGGGCGGUGGAGAUCAUGGGCGAGACGAUCUCGUUCGCCCCUCGGAAGGCCAUCAAGUCCCAAGUCUUGGCAGACUUUGUGGCUGAAUGCGUCGACACCCAGCUUCCAGCAGCUCCGAUCCAACCGGAACUCUGGACCAUGUUUUUAGACAGGUUGCUGAUGAAAACAGGGGUAGGCGCGGGCCUGCUCUUCAUCUCGCCCCUCGGGAAGCACCUCCUCUACGUGUUGCGCCUCCAUUUCCCGGCGUCCAACAACGUGGCUGAGUACGAGGCUCUGGUCAAUGGGUUGCGCAUCGCCAUCGAGCUAGGGGUCCGACGCCUCGACGCUCGCGGUGACUCGCAGCUUGUCAUCGACCAAGUCAUGAAGAACUCCCACUGCCGCGACCCGAAGAUGGAAACCUACUGCGACGAGGUUCGGCGCCUGGAAGACAAGUUCUACGGUCUCGAGGUCAACCACGUCGCCUGGCGGUACAACGAGACUGCAGACGAGCUAGCGAAGAUAGCUUCGGCGCGAACAACGGUUCCCCCGAACGUCUUCUCCUGGGACCUACAUCAACCCUCAGUCAAGACAAACGACACACCCGAGCCCGAAAAGGUCUCGGCCCUGCCCGAAGUGCCCUCGACUCAGCCCGAGGCACCCUCGGCCCCCGAGGGUGAGGCUCUGCGCAUCGAGGAAGAGCGGAAUGGGGUCACGCCUAAUCGAAACUGGUAGACCCCAUACCUGCAAUAUCUCCACCGAGGAGAGCUACCCCUCGACAGAGCCGAAGCUCGGCGACUGGCGCUGCGCGCCAAGUCAUUCGUCUUGCUGGGUGACGGGAAGGAGCUCUACCAGCGCAGCCCCUCCGGCAUCCUCCAGCGAUGCAUAUCCGUCGCCGAAGGCCAGGAGCUCUUACGAGAAAUACACUCGGGGGCUUGCGGUCAUCACGCAGCGCCUCGAGCCCUUGUUGAAAACGCUUUCCGACAAGGUUUCUACUGGCCGACCGCGGUGGCCGAUGCCACUAGAACUGUCCGCACCUGCCAAGGGUGUCGAUUCUACGCAAAGCAGACCCACCUACCUGCUCAGGCUCUGCAAACAAUACCCAUCACCUGGCCGUUUGCUGUGUGGGGUCUGGACCUCGUCGGUCCCUUGCAGAAGGCGCCCGGGGUCUACACGCACCUGCUGGUCGCCAUCGACAAAUUCUCCAAGUGGAUCGAGGUCCGACCCCUAAACAGCAUCAGGUCCGAACAGGCGGUGGCGUUCUUCACCAACAUCAUCCAUAGCUUUGGGGUCCCGAACUCCAUCAUCACCGACAACGACACCUAGUUCACCGGCAGAAAGUUCCUGGACUUCUGCGAGGAUCACCACAUCCGGGUGGACUGGGCCGCCGUGGCUCACCCCAUGACGAAUGGGCAGGUAGAACGUGCCAACGACAUGAUUCUGCAAGGACUCAAGCCGAGGAUCUACAACGACCUCCACAAGUUCGGCAUGCGAUGGAUGAAGGAACUCCCCUUGGUGGUCUGGAGCCUGAGGACGACGCCAAGUCGAGCCAAAGGACGAGGGCCUACGACGACCGACGCAACCAGACCAACCGAGAAGACUCACUGGACCAGCUGGAAGAGGCUCCGAACAUGGCCUUACUACACUCGGCGCAGUAUCAGCAGUCCCUGUGACGCUACCACGCCCGAGGGGUUCAGUCCCGAGACCUCCAGGUGGGCGACUUGGUACUUCGACUACGACAAGACGCCCGAGGGCGGCACAAGCUCAUGCCUCCCUCGGAAGGGCCGUUCGUCAUCGCCAAGGUUCUGAAGCCCGGGACGUACAAGCUGGCCAACAGUCAAGGCGAGGUCUACAUCAACGCUUAGAACAUCCGACAGCUACGUCGCUUCUACCCUUAAGAUGUUUUCAAGCCGUUCAUAUACCUCGUUUACAUAUAAAGUCUAACCAUCAAGGAAGGGUCAGCCUUGCCUCGGCAAAGCCCGACCCUCCCUCCGGGGCUAGAAGGGGGGGGGAACCCCCUCCGCGUCAAAAUUUUCCUCGGAAAAAGUCUUUCUGCCAGAAUAUCUUUCGUGCUUUUCGACUACUUUGGUAGUGGGAUCAUGAAAACGACGGAGUACACGUAAGCAGGCAAGGCCGACCGAGCCGAGGGACUCCUACGCCUCCGGGAUACGGAUACCUCACUCAUCGCCUUCUAUGAGAAGUAACUCGCGUUCAGAUGAGCGAUCCUGCUGACCGAACAAGCCUUAACGCUCAAAAGACUUUCUGCCGAAAUGGUUUUUCGGGUUUUCUCGGCUACGUUGAUAAUAGAAUCCCGCAGACGAGCAAGAGUACACGUAAGCGGCAAGGCCGACCGAGCCGAGGGAUUCCUAUGCCUCCGGGAUACGGAUACCUCACUCAUCACCUUUCGUGAGAAGUAUGAAGCGUCCCCAAUCCUCUGGGACUCAAAUGUGAUACAAUUACUAGUCCCAGGAGGCUAGUAAACACAUUUAUACAUCAGAUGAUUCCAGAUCUGCUUAAACGAGACAAACCUAUAAAGGUGGCGAUCAACUUUAAGAGUUGGUCCACAACUCGGGACAUAUCAUCAGAGUGGGGCUGAAGCAGCCCGAUAUACGCAGUGAAGCAAAUCAGCGGUCCAACAGCCACAGGCAAGGUUGGGAACAGUCGUAACUCUUACCCGAUCUCCUUUUUCUGAAAAACAACAAAUAAGCAAGGGUGAGUACAAACGUACUCAGCAGCCCACCUUCACCCGCGGAAUGGGGAAAUCAGAUAUAAUGCAUGGAAUAUGUGGAGCUCAGGAUAUUUUGCAGAAACAGCAAUAUUUUAUGCAGAGUUGUUUUGAAAAACAUUUUGUAUUUUUGCAAAGCGCAUCCUCUCCAAAAGGAGCAGGAGUUUUUCAGUAUUAUAAUAAAAUCCUCUGGACUAAACCAUCCAGGUAUCUCAGCAGUUUCCCACUGGUUUUCAUUUUCAAAAACAGCUACUGGACUUCCCGUCCACCAUAGCUCACGGCUCAACCGCCGAACCUUAUAAAAACCACUUUUCAAAAACAUCUCUUUUUUUUGGAAAACAAAACAUUAAUUGCCAUACCAUACCAGACUCGUCCAUUCCUGUGGACACAGACUAUUCGAAUAGGUUUUCAAACUCUGCGCAGAGGUGUACACUUUACCCACUAGUCCGGCUCUGUGAUCUCAUGAUCAAUGAGAUCCGAAUCCGAAUCUCUUUCUUUCCUCGCACGUCCUAACCUUAACGGUUAUCCGGAAGGAGUCAGGCCACCGCCAUGUCCAAACCGGACAAAACUUUCCCCCUCCUUAUCCUCCCGGUGCUCCCCAGCCUUCAUAACCCUGGGGUUGAACCGUACGAGUUCAGAUUGAGUGACUGCCCACACAGUCUCGAGUGGUUGUACUAUUAAAGAGUACAGGUAGUGAAGAUGACAAACCGGUCCUUAUACGAGGGGAUAAUCCUUCUGCUCACGCCUAAACCAGCUGAGCCAUCACCUUAGGCCCUCCCCUAAACCAGGGAGUCCCUGAUUAUCCCACUCACAAGGUGAUAAGGGUGAAAACCCUUCAUCAUACACAUUUUGAAAAGCAUUUUCUUUUGAAAACUCACACCCUUUCUCAAAUCAUUUGUAACAAAUAUAUUAAGGAGUGAUUGCGGCAAGCGGCUUGGGUGGCCAUAAUAACUUGUCACAAAAUCAUAUCAUGCAUAAAAUAACAGGCUGAGGGUUGUGGUUGAAAAACAUAGGUAAUUUAUGCAUCAAAGGGAUCCAGUGAGCUUGCCGUGCUUAUUCGGCGAAGGGGGAAGGGGAGCUCGCGGAACUGGCUUCUGGCUCCACCGCCUAGCGUAGACUUGCAGAUCUGGCCUCCACGAGACGGCACGAACGCUCCGAUAACUAUGCAACAUGAACAAGCAAACAUACAAACCAACAAGUAUACCAACAAAUAUUUAGUAUAGUGGUCAGAAUAGCGAUAUAUGGAUGGGUAGAGUCUUGAGUAGAAUCUGUGUCAUGUGGUGUUGUGAUAUUACUAGUGGUGGAGCGGAGGUGCUUACCAGGAGGGUGGACUGGAGGCGAAGCGACACUAUGUGUGUAGCCGGCAGAGCAGAGUAACUGAGUGGGUGGGGUGUUUGCCUUGGCUGAGGGUGUUGAGUGUGUGUGGAGAGGGAGAGGGUAGCUGGGUGUAUUUAUAGCUGGGUGUAUGUGGUGUAGCACAGUGAAGUUCACUGUUGGUGAGAAUAGUGACGAAUGAAUCGUCUGACUUAGUAUGAACAGGAGAGUUAUAGGCAGAAUAUGGGACAAGAGUAUUUUGGGAGUUUUCUGGAAUAUGGACCAUGCUUAAGGGAUGACAUGGUUGGGUAGGGAAUAGUUUGAUAAGAAUUUAGAAACGAGAUUUAUUGGAAUCUGAGUUUGGGAGCCUGGUUCGAAGGAUUCUCAAAGUUAAGCGUGCUCAACUUGGAGAAACCUGGGAUGGGUGACCAGAUGGGAAGUUCCCUACUGGAAGAAAAAUCACAGUCACCGGAGUUCGUAUGACUGGAAUAUGGGUCUGGCUGGUCUUAGGUGGACUGGACAACAUGAUGUACGAGUAGUUGAAAUUUGGGAUGACUAGAUGACUGAUGAAUAGUAACGAUGAUCAGUAACGAUGAAUAGUGGCGAUGGAAAAGAAAUUAUAGAUAUCAUCGAUGAAUAGUAACGAUGAUGAAUAGUAAUGAUAAAUAGUAACGAUGAUGAAUAGUGUAUGUGAAUAGUAAUGGUGAAUAGUAAUGGUGAAUAGUGAUAGUGAAUAGUUUGAACGAACGAUGAAUAGGAACUAUGAACGAACGGACGAACGAUCGAAUGAUCGGACGAACGAACGAUCGGAAUUUCGGCAGCAUAACGGCAGGAAAAGAUUAUUUGGACGAACGAACGGACGAACGAUCGAAUGAUCAUACGAACGAACGAUCGGAAUUUCGGCAGCAUAACGGCAGGACAAAAAUUAUCUGGAAGAACGAUGAAUAGGGACUAUGAACGAACGAUGAAUCGAUGAAUAGGGACUAUGAACGAACGAUGAAUGAUCGAAUGAUCGAACGAACGAACGAUCGGAAUUUCGGCAGCAUAACGGCAGGACAAAGAUUAUCUGGAAGAACGAUGAAUAGGGACUAUGAACGAACGAUGAAUCGAUGAAUAGGGACUAUGAACGAACGAUGAACGAUCGAAUGAUCGAAUGAACGAACGAUCGGAAUUUCGGCAGCAUAACGGUAGGAAAAAGAUUAUUUGGACGAACGAACGGACGAACGAUCGAAUGAUCGGACGAACGGACGAACGAACCAUGAACGAUCGGACGAACGAUCGAACGAUCAGACGAAUGAACGAACAAACUAAGAACAGGGGACGAACGAUCGAAGAACGACCGAACGAUCCUUGUGCUAGUGUGUGCUUGUGUGGAACAUGGACUGGGUGUGUGUGGGGGGGGGGAGAGAGUUGCCAUGAAAUGGCUUGGGGUGGGAUGAGAGGAGGCCCUUGCCCCUCUAUUUAUAGCCAUGGUGGGGGGAUUAGGGGGAGGGAUGAGAGGAUUAGUGGGAGGAUGAGAGGAUUAGUGGGAGGUUAGCAUGUAUUUGUCUUGUAUAAGUGUAAUUAGCUUGUAGAGCUCACCGUAUGACACUGGAGGCAUACGUAUACGUAUGAGCAUGAGGAAAGUUAUGAAGAAAAUAUUUAUAGGGACUUGAAAAAUGAUUCUGAAGGUAUUUCUCAGGAGGAAAAUAUCUGGAGAUAUAUCGGUGGAAUAUUUGGGCAGUAUUUCUGGAAAGAACUUGAAGAGGAUCACUAGGGAAAUAUCUGGGCAAUAUUUCUGUAAACAAUUUGAGGGGGAUCACUGAGGAAAUAUUUGUAGGAUAUUUUGAGGAGGAUUUUAGAGAGAAUAUAGACCACUAUACUUUAUUUGUUGAUAUCAACUCGCAAACAAACAUUUUGAAAUGAAAUUUGAAAUUCAUUUUGAAUUUAUAGCAAGUUUGAGAAAGUUUCAGGAUUUGAAUUUUUGGGAUGCUACAAAUCUACCCCACUUAAAAGGAAUCUCGUCCUCGAGAUUUGGCUUAGAAGGGUUAUGGGUAUAGCUUUACUUCAGCUACAUAUCUUCACUUUGCAGACUCUUCGAGGAGAUAGAGCUUCAACAAAAUCUGGCCUUGAGGGGCAUCCGGUUGCUAAUUGCAAGCGCUGAUUCUCGCUACUCAAGAUCAUCUUCAGGUUUCUAGGUUUCGCUUGGCAGCUAGCUUAUUGAAGAAGCAUCAAUGCCAACACGCAAACCUUUCUCUUGCGAACUUCCACAUGGAUUCCUUCCUUGAUUGGUCUUCUGGUGCUUCAUCAACAAAACUUGGGUGACCACUUCUCAUCCAGAAACUUAUAUGCUUGGACGAUCGGGUCCUCCACAAGCUUGCUACAUGCCUUCAUCUUUUUCUCCAUAGCAGGAACCUUACUGGAACACUACCCCACUUAAAAAGAAAGAGGGUAGAACUCUUGAAUCUUGGGGAUUUGAACUCCUUGAAGUACCUCAUAACAAAGGUGUUACGGGGCCUUCUUCUGCUGUUGCUGCUUGAGCAGGCUGCGGAGAAAUGACUGACACAGGGUUUAUUCUGGGACAACCUUCUUCUCAUCUUCUCUUCACUAUCUUCUUUUCUCUUCUCACUUUUCACUUUUCACUGCCUCUUUCUUUCUCUUUGCUCUUCCCACUCGAGGAUUCUAUCAAAGAGUAUUACCAUCAUACAGAGGAGGAAACCGAAGAUGUUGAACCAUAUACAACAGUCUUCAACCCAAGAAUCACCAAGCAUUGUGAUCUCAGGGGCGAGGGGUGGAAAAAUGGAGUUGCUAGCGAUUUGGCAGAGGGGAUUUAUCUGGAGUGUGCUUUUGCUUUGAGCGAGAUGGGAGUUGAGGGAGAUGGUGGGGGGCUUUUAUAGGCGAGCGGGGGUGUUCGGUUGCGGAGCAGUGGUGAUGGAGUAGGUGCUACGCGGCAGCGGGUGCGAUAAGGGGAGGGGGGCCUGGUGUUGCCGGCGAUGAUGGUGGCGGUGGGUGCGCUGCAAAGGUGGCGUGGGCGGUGGUAGUGCGCUGCAAAGGGGGCGUGGGGCGAUGGUAGUGCGCAUGGAGGCAGGCACGCGUGCGAGGGGCACGGGUGAGUGGUGGGGUCAAUGACCCUGAUGUUUGUGGUCUCUGGUUCCAAGAAUCUUUGCCUCUCUGUAUGGUAAUAACUCCUUCUGUCCUCUUUUCCUGUUUACUUUGACUCAGGGGCAGUGCUUUGAUUCUUACGGUCGGUCCUUUUGACUGAGCGACUGGACUGGUUUCUUCUGUAGCUUGUUCCAGGCUUCAAGGGUAAGCUUCCCGGUAUCUUCUUGGGUAAGGCACUUUUCUCUUGGGAUGGGUUAAGAUGAGAAUGGAAGCAUAAGGUGAGGAUUAGAUCUAAUUUGUGAUCUAUGUUUUUUAGAGAAAACCUUUCUUAAAAAACACACAAGCUCAGCAAUGAUAAGCACAAACAAAUCGAAUGUUUUGAAUAAGGGAAGAAUAGAGUUUUUCCAAAGCACGGACUACUCAGAUUCGGGGGCUAAGCAUAACUACUAUUGCUUGGCUCCUGAAUUGAGAACUAUGCUAAAUGCAACUUAUGAGCACUAACGUUAAAGCAUCACAUAUGCACUCAAAAGGGAGGAAAACAUCAAGCGAAAUUCAUUUUGAAAUGCCCUAGGGGGCAACACAAAUAGAGUUUUUCAAAGCACGGGACUACACGAUUAACUCUCAUACAUGCAGGGCUCUAGCCAAAGUGAAGAAAAACUUCACUACCCAAUGCAUGCAGAGGACUGGGCAUACUAACUUCAGACCAGACAACUUCUCUUCUGGCAGGGCUGGCACACAACUUCAAUCCGAGACAUCUCCUGGAUGGGUCAAGAGGGAGCUGACGUUGAUGACUUCUUCUGGCGGCGACUGAGAUGGCAGGACAGGGUCGAACUCUUCUUCAAGCGGGACUGGCUCUUGUAGCUCCUCUGAGGGCGGCGGUGCUGGCGGGGUGCUUGCAGCUUCUUCCUUGACCUCAAGGGAUGGUGCUGGAAUCUUCUUCAUGGUGAGGGGCUCAAACAACUCUGGCGGGGGAUCUUGGGAGGAUUCAGGGUGCUCUUGCUUAUCCAUAGCCUGAGGGGAGACUGGAAUUCCUUCCAAGACUAUGGCUCCUUCCGGUAGUUCCCAAAUCUUCUUCUCUCCUCUGAUAGAGACCAGGUGACCUUCAAGAAUCUGGGGGUCUUCAGUUUUGAUGGGUUCAACAGGGUUGGAUGGAGCGGGCUCUUGGAUCCGCAGGGCUCUACGUUGGUUAUGGGUGACCAAGUAGGCCUCCAUCAACUUCUAGACGUGCUCAUCCUUGGCUUGCUUCAGGGCUUCCACAACAAUGACUUCACGACUUUCCAAGGCAGCUACACGGGCUUGAGCUGCGGUGAGAUCCACAUGCAGCUGACGGUUGCGCUUCUCUGCAUCUUCUGCUCGGGCAAUCAUCUGACGGUGGUGCCGAGCCAAGAAAUCAUACUGUGCAUCAAGGGUGAGCAGGUAUGCAGUGAGGUACACGACUGUGGGGUCAUCCUCAAGCAGCUGCUGCCCUUCCAAUGCACGCAUCCUGGCCAUCCAAGCGGGACGGUCUCUCUGAAAGGGCGGAAAGAAUCUGAGCGGAGUGUCGGCCACUUCUUCUUCAUAGAUCUGACACAGGGCCCUCAAUGCCUUACGGGCGACGUCUUGGCAGGUGUCUCUGAAUCUGUGCCCAGCAGCAGUGACACUCCAUUCCACAUGGUGUGGACUGGAUCCAAUGUAUAUAGUCACGACACACUUCUCUGUGCCAUGCUCGACGAAUUCACGACCAUCAUACUCUGGCUGGCUCCUGAUUCCGAGGCGAACUGUGCAUGCUCUCAGCAACUUGGGGAAACCAUCUUCAUUCUGGCAAAAGCUGGUUUGGCACUGAACCUCCAUCUGACUUCUGAGAGAAGGAAAGGGGGAAAACAUUUUUGAAAUGAAGGGAUGAGAGCAAGAAUUUUUUUUUAAGAAAAUAGUUUUGACUCAAAAACUUUUGAUCAGGCUAAGGGUUACGUCCUGCGGACAACCUAACAGCUCUGAUACCACCUGAAGCGUCCCCAAUCCUCUAGGACUCAAAUGUGAUACAAUUACUAGUCCCAGGAGGCUAGUAAACACAUUUAUACAUCAGAUGAUUCCAGAUCUACUUAAACGAGACAAACCUAUAAAGGUGGCGAUCAACUUUAAGAGUUGGUCCACAACUCGGGACAUAUCAUCAGAGUGGGGCUGAAGCAGCCCGAUAUACGCAGUGAAGCAAAUCAGCGGUCCAACAGCCACAGGCAAGGUUGGGAACAGUCGUAACUCUUACCCGAUCUCCUUUUUCUGAAAAACAACAAAUAAGCAAGGGUGAGUACAAACGUACUCAGCAGCCCACCUUCACCCGCGGAAUGAGGAAAUCAGAUAUAAUGCAUGGAAUAUGUGGAGCUCAGGAUAUUUUGCAGAAACAACAAUAUUUUAUGCAGAGUUGUUUUGAAAAACAUUUUGUAUUUUUGCAAAGCGCAUCCUCUCCAAAAGGAGCAGGAGUUUUUCAGUAUUAUAAUAAAAUCCCCUGGACUAAACCAUCCAGGUAUCUCAGCAGUUUCCCACUGGUUUUCAUUUUCAAAAACAGCUACUGGACUUCCCGUCCACCAUAGCUCACGGCUCAACCGCCGAACCUUUUAAAAACCACUUUUCAAAAACAUCUCUUUUUUUUGGAAAACAAAACAUUAAUUGCCAUACCAUACCAGACUCGUCCAUUCCUGUGGACACAGACUAUUCGAAUAAGUUUUCAAACUCUGCGCAGAGGUGUACACUUUACCCACUAGUCCGGCUCUGCGAUCUCAUGAUCAAUGAGAUCCGAAUCCGAAUCUCUUUCUUUCCUCGCACGUCCUAACCUUAACGGUUAUCCGGAAGGAGUCAGGCCACCGCCAUGUCCAAACCGGACAAAACUUUCCCCCUCCUUAUCCUCCCGGUGCUCCCCAGCCUUCAUAACCCUGGGGUUGGACCGUACGAGUUCAGAUUGAGUGACUGCCCACACAGUCUCGAGUGGUUGUACUAUUAAAGAGUACAGGUAGUGAAGAUGACAAACCGGUCCUUAUACGAGGGGAUAAUCCUUCUGCUCACGCCUAAACCAGCUGAGCCAUCACCUUAGGCCCUCCCCUAAACCAGGGAGUCCCUGAUUAUCCCACUCACAAGGUGAUAAGGGUGAAAACCCUUCAUCAUACACAUUUUGAAAAGCAUUUUCUUUUGAAAACUCACACCCUUUCUCAAAUCAUUUGUAACAAAUAUAUUAAGGAGUGAUUGCGGCAAGCGGCUUGGGUGGCCAUAAUAACUUGUCACAAAAUCAUAUCAUGCAUAAAAUAACAGGCUGAGGGUUGUGGUUGAAAAACAUAGGUAAUUUAUGCAUCAAAGGGAUCCAGUGAGCUUGCCGUGCUUAUUCGGCGAAGGGGGAAGGGGAGCUCGCGGAACUGGCUUCUGGCUCCACCGCCUAGCGUAGACUUGCAGAUCUGGCCUCCACGAGACGGCACGAACGCUCCGAUAACUAUGCAACAUGAACAAGCAAACAUACAAACCAACAAGUAUACCAACAAAUAUUUAGUAUAGUGGUCAUAAUAGCGAUAUAUGGAUGGGUAGAGUCUUGAGUAGAAUCUGUGUCAUGUGGUGUUGUGAUAUUACUGGUGGUGGAGCGGAGGUGCUUACCAGGAGGGUGGACUGGAGGCGAAGCGACACUAUGUGUGUAGCCGGCAGAGCAGAGUAACUGAGUGGGUGGGGUGUUUGCCUUGGCUGAGGGUGUUGAGUGUGUGUGGAGAGGGAGAGGGUAGCUGGGUGUAUUUAUAGCUGGGUGUAUGUGGUGUAGCACAGUGAAGUUCACUGUUGGUGAGAAUAGUGACGAAUGAAUUGUCUGACUUAGUAUGAACAGGAGAGUUAUAGGCAGAAUAUGGGACAAGAGUAUUUUGGGAGUUUUCUGGAAUAUGGACCAUGCUUAAGGGAUGACAUGGCUGGGUAGGGAAUAGUUUGAUAAGAAUUUAGAAACGAGAUUUAUUGGAAUCUGAGUUUGGGAGCCUGGUUCGAAGGAUUCUCAAAGUUAAGCGUGCUCAACUUGGAGAAACCUGGGAUGGGUGACCAGAUGGGAAGUUCCCUACUGGAAGAAAAAUCACAGUCACCGGAGUUCGUAUGACUGGAAUAUGGGUCUGGCUGGUCUUAGGUGGACUGGACAACAUGAUGUACGAGUAGUUGAAAUUUGGGAUGACUAGAUGACUGAUGAAUAGUAACGAUGAUCAGUAACGAUGAAUAGUGGCGAUGGAAAAGAAAUUAUAGAUAUCAUCGAUGAAUAGUAACGAUGAUGAAUAGUAAUGAUAAAUAGUAACGAUGAUGAAUAGUGUAUGUGAAUAGUAACGAUGAAUAGUAAUGGUGAAUAGUAAUGGUGAAUAGUGAUAGUGAACAGUUUGAACGAACGAUGAAUAGGAACUAUGAACGAACGGACGAACGAUCGAAUGAUCGGACGAACGAACGAUCGGAAUUUCGGCAGCAUAACGGCAGGAAAAGAUUAUUUGGACGAACGAACGGACGAACGAUCGAAUGAUCAUACGAACGAACGAUCGGAAUUUCGGCAGCAUAACGACAGGACAAAGAUUAUCUGGAAGAACGAUGAAUAGGGACUAUGAACGAACGAUGAAUCGAUGAAUAGGGACUAUGAACGAACGAUGAACGAUCGAAUGAUCGAACGAACGAACGAUCGGAAUUUCGGCAGCAUAACGGCAGGACAAAGAUUAUCUGGAAGAACGAUGAAUAGGGACUAUGAACGAACGAUGAAUCGAUGAAUAGGGACUAUGAACGAACGAUGAACGAUCGAAUGAUCGAAUGAACGAACGAUCGGAAUUUCGGUAGCAUAACGGUAGGAAAAAGAUUAUUUGGACGAACGAACGGACGAACGAUCGAAUGAUCGGAUGAAUGGACGAACGAACCAUGAACGAUCGGAUGAACGAUCGAACGAUCAGACGAACGAACGAACAAACUAAGAACAGGGGACGAACGAUCGAAGAACGACCGAACGAUCCUUGUGCUAGUGUGUGCUUGUGUGGAACAUGGAGUGGGUGUGUGUGGGGGGGAGAGAGUUGCCAUGAAAUGGCUUGGGGUGGGAUGAGAGGAGGCCCUUGCCCCUCUAUUUAUAGCCAUGGUGGGGGGGAUUAGGGGGAGGGAUGAGAGGAUUAGUGGGAGGAUGAGAGGAUUAGUGGGAGGUUAGCAUGUAUUUGUCUUGUAUAAGUGUAAUUAGCUUGUAGAGCUCACCGUAUGACACUGGAGGCAUACGUAUACGUAUGAGCAUGAGGAAAGUUAUGAAGAAAAUAUUUAUAGGGACUUGAAAAAUGAUUCUGAAGGUAUUUCUCAGGAGGAAAAUAUCUGGAGAUAUAUCGGUGGAAUAUUUGGGCAGUAUUUCUGGAAAGAACUUGAAGAGGAUCACUAGGGAAAUAUCUGGGCAAUAUUUCUGUAAACAAUUUGAGGGGGAUCACUGAGGAAAUAUUUGUAGGAUAUUUUGAGGAGGAUUUUAGAGAGAAUAUAGACCACUAUACUUUAUUUGUUGAUAUCAACUCGCAAACAAACAUUUUGAAAUGAAAUUUGAAAUUCAUUUUGAAUUUAGAGCAAGUUUGAGAAAGUUUCAGGAUUUGAAUUUUUGGGAUGCUACAAAGUAACUCUAGCUCGGAUAAACGAUUCUGCUACCGACGAGCAAGCCCUGAUACUCGAAACAAGAGGAAAAGAAAUGCAGCUUUACAACGCGACGACAGUAUGUUUGGGCCUCAGCGGCCACAAAAAACAUAUGCAUACUACAGGCGAACCGGUCCUGCAGGCUCAGACGUCGAUGGAGGGGGAGCAGCAGCACCCUCGGCGUCAACUCCACCUUCGGCGAAGUCCGACCGAGCCUCGGACGGCAACACGGACGAAGGAUCUCCACUCCGAAGGACGACGUCAGCACCACGCCCGGGCCAUCGCCGCCAGGGUCUCCUUCAGGAACCCGGCCCGAGCAGACGGCUCGGCCGGCCACCCCGAAGCCUCAGCCAGCUGUCCCCCGAGGACACCAGCCCGGCUCAUGGCCUCGGCAACCUGACUCCGGCGCUGGUCCCGCCAGUGGACGGCCUGGCCAGGCUCUGGCCGACGAAGUCUUCUUUUCGAGCCAACUCUGCCUCUGUCCAUGCUGACACCGCUGCCUCUGGCUCCGGCUCAUCGCAGAGCGGCCGAGGGUUCCUUUAACUAAGCAAGAGAAGCCUCGGGCGGCAAGGCCGACCGAGCCGAGGGACUCCUACGCCUCCGGGAUACGGAUACCUCACUCGUCACCUUCGCACGAGGCAACUCACACUUGGUUAAGCGGUUCAGUUAGCCGACUGGCGAGUCCUAGUGCUCGAAAGGAGGAAAAACAUGGUAUUACACCAAAAAUACCCACAUGUUCAGGCCCCGACAGCCACAAUGAACAGACACCGGCACUCAAGGUGCCAUUACAAACGGAACUCCGGUUCCACCCCCGCAGGUACGAACAACCCCCCACAUUGGAGGGCCUGCGGGGCGACGAAACCCCAGGUGGCUCACCGCCGCCCGCUCCGGCAGCAGCGACAACGACCUCCGCUCCAGGUGGCCAAACAACAACAGCGAUGGCCUCAGGGCGGACGCUGCUGCAACAAGGCCCUCGCCCACGUCCCCACUCGAGGGGCGAGGACAAGCUAUCAAAGCCAAAGAGCCGGAGGCCUGGAGCGCGGAUGGUGGCGGUGAUCCCGUCGGCGAUGAGGAAUUCUUCAGCCGCCACCACCUCCGCGCCGACGACGGAAGCCAUCUGCCCACCGGCAGAUCCCCACUCGAAUCCUCCCGGACGGGCGAGCACCGACCUCCGCGUAGAGGCGCCGUACCGGAGCAAAGACAGGACAGCCCAAGAACACGAACGCCGCCCUAGCAGCGCGCGACAUCUUGGGCGGUCCUCCGGUGCGCGCGGUGCGACAACCGCUCUCGCGGCGGGAGGGGGCACCGGGAGCCGAGCCAGAGCCAGCUGAGCCAGCGAGCCCAACGCGCUGAAGCAGACGACGCUCGCCGCCGACCAGCCCCGCGUUGUCGAAGUCCGACCCUCCCGCUAGGCCGGUGAGCGCCCUCUCCCCUGAAUGCUGAGGGAGAAGGUGACCCACGAACCCGCGCGGGAGGUAGAGCUCCGGCUCAGUCCGGCCUCCGCCCCAGCCAGGAUGAUGAAGAUCCUUGAAGCUGAGGGCGAGGCAGAGGUCGCAGCCCGGCUUGCUUCUCCCCACCAUCAAACUGGUGGUCACCGUCUUGGGUGACCACCGGCGAGGGGAUGCAGCCGAGCUGCCUGAUGAAAAUCCUUAAAGCCGAACGAUGGCUGAAAGGUACCAACUUCCGCGAAGUUGCGUUCCCCCGACGACGACAAGACGAAGGCGACGCGAGUGCUCCCCAUCCGGGGGCUCGGAAGGUGGAAGGACGCGAUGCAUGAAGGGAGUGCGAAGACAUGGUUGCCAUCCAAGGGGGUCACCCUCCUUUUAAAGGCGACUCUCCCCACCUGCGUCCUCAGCCGGCGCGGACUGAGUCUUCUCCAACACGCUCCAAAGUCCUCCCCCUACGACACGGGGGCUGGGUCCCACGCGUCAUGCAAGCUGGCCCAGGACAGAAGAGGCUAAACCGCCGCGCGCGGAGCGCACAACAGCCCAGCGGUUACAAGCAUUCCUCCACUAUCGCCCGGACCAACGGGUGAAAGGGCGAACCGCCAUGCAGGCGGCAUGCAACCGCACCAAGGGAGCGCACCCUUUCGACUUCGACGCGUCCAGCAUGGAGGCCCAGGCCCACACGUCAUGUAACCGGCUCGCCAGUUACUACGUGCGAGAAACUGCACCGCCACUCGCGCCAGUACCGCACCUCCUCGACUGCGGAACCGGUGCUGCGACUCGAGGCGACCCUGCGCAUGACCCAACAGUGCCAACCGAGCACAUCGGUCACGGGUCAGUCAGCCGCGGGAGAAGGCGCGACGGUCGAUAUGGCCAGAAAUGGGCCGGUAGUAAUGGCGGUGGCAGGCGGGCGGAAGCAGCAGUCAAGUCGCCUGCAGACUCACGUCCCCUCCUGGGACAGCAAGAGAGCCCUGUCCCACGGAGUGAAGACGACGCGCCCGUGUUCCGUUCCUCGAACGGCUCGCGCACGCACAACGGCUGCCCCGCGAACCACUCGUCACAUCGCAUUAACUCUGCGGCAGGACAGGCGGCACCUUUGGCAGGCAAAGCAGACAACGCUUCACCUUCGCCAUGAUGACCGCGUCAAAAAAGGUGUGUCACGUCAUUCGAUUUCGCAUCCUUUUCCACUUCCUCUUUCUCUCUCUUGCUACAGGGACCGGUAAAGGGGAUACUCCGAAAGGGAUCCUUCUCCGCAAAGGAAGCGGGCCCCGAGCCCCCCUACUGAUCAGAGGUUCGAAGGCUGGCCCCUCGGAAGGGUUCAACAGCCGCCUCAGAGCACUCGGGCUCCGCGCCCACUACUGGUCAGAGGUUCGAAGGCUGACCCCUCAGAAGGGUUCAACGGCCGCCUCAGGCCACUCGGGCUCCGCGCCCACUACUGAUCAGGGGUUCGUAGGCUGGCCCCCGAAGGGUUCGACAGCCGCCUCAGAGCACGCAGAGCGAGGGAUGACCCUGGGUACGUUCGAUACAUAACCAAGGCUCGGGCUACGCUCCCGAGGUACCCUAGGACAUUUCCGAGACCGACGGGAACGAUUUUGUAACGGAAUCCCACCAGAGGGAGGCAUCGAGCCCUCGGACCCCGUCAAAAGUGGACCGGGUCCGGCGAAUCACCCGCAGGUACUUUUGGAGCGCGCCUCCGGGCCACUAGCCGACCCCUAACGAAUGGGGCACGGGCGUCCACUCGGAUUACCCGUUAGCAACUCGCUGGAGACACCAUGUUCGGCGCCCUCCGAGGGCAACAUGGUGCUUUCCCCCUCUCCUCCUUGCGGAAAGGCGACGCAGGGGCGUAUGAAAAAGCCGAGUUUGUCCUUGACCGUCCUCUCGCUCUGUGCGGGAGGCUCGGGGGCUGCUCUCGCAAACCCGGCUCCGGCCAAACCGUUGACAACGUCAACAUACCAGCCCGAGAACUUGGGACUCAACUAUGCACCCGAGCUACGGCUAGUUCGCAUGAGGGAAGAACCAGACCGACCGAAGCAUCACGAAACGCGCUAAGACCUCGAAGGAGUCAAACCACUCCUCCGAGGCCUCGGGGGCUACACCCGGCGGGUGCGCUCGCGCGCACCCACCGGAACGAAAUGCAACCGAGAAAGGCCGGUCCCCUUGCAAAAAAGUGCGACAAAAGCCUCCAAGCGAGUAUCAACACUCCCUUCGAGGCUCGGGGGCUACUGUUGGGGACCAUAAUUAGGGGUACCCCCAAGACUCCUAAUCUCAGCUGGUAACCCCCAUCAGCACAAAGCUGCAAAGGACUGAUCACUACGACAGCUACAGGCAUUUUCGGCGGCCAAGCCGCCGAAAAUGAGCCCUUUACCGCCGAAAAUAAGCUAUUUUCGGCGGCGUCUGGCCCCCAAAAAAAUCCGGCCGAAAAUAAGGCUUUAUUUUCGGCGGCCAGGACCUGGCCGCCGAAAAUAAACUGUUAUUUUCGGCGGCCACGUAGUCAGCCGCCGGAAAUUAAUACUGCCGAAAAUAAUAUACCUAUUUUCGGCGGCCAGGGAGGCCGCCGAAAAUUACUAAUUUCAGAGCAAAAAAAUUGAAAAAUGCGAAAAAUAACAGAAUUUCAUACAAAAUUCAUACAAUACCAGAAAUUUCAUACAAUAACAGAAAAUUCAUACUUGAGUUCACAACAUAAAACUUGAGUCCAUACAAAUAUAAAGUCCACAAAUAGUCCAUACAAACAUAAAAUCCACAAAUAGUUCAUUACAACACAGUGCGUCACAAAGCUAACUUAAUCACACAUUGGGGUCGUUGGAGUUGUGUCCACUACCUCCAGAAGCCAAGAACUGGUUGACGAAGUCGUGUAACGGGUUUGGAUCCUAAAGAAAAAAAAGACAUUAAUAACGACAUUGGUUACAUGUAUAACGACUAUUCAAACAAAUUGUUUCUCAAACUAACCUCUCCUGCAUAAGCUCCCUCCCCUGCAUAAGCUCCUCCUGGUGCUGGUAUGACCGGUGGUGGCGUGUUGUGGCCCAUGACCCCGGAUCCCUACAAAAUCAAGUUUAGUAAAGAUUUGAAAUUAGGUUGAUACAAACGACAAGUCUUAACUAAAUUGAAGCACCUGAGGUGGAGGUGGUGGAGCAUGUAAUCCCCACUGAGGCAUCGGCGGCUGAAACUGAGGGAAAACAAAUGGCUGCUGUUGUGCCUGCUGUGGAAACCAAGACUGUUGCAAAUAUAAUAUAUUAGUUAUAGAACCAAUAUCGAGCGUGUUGAGAAUAAAUAAGACACUCACGUUCAUUGCUUGUUGCGCCUGUGUGUUGUAAGCAGCCAUGUACUCUGAUUGCUGUUGGAGAAAUGCCAUUUGUUGUUGCCGCAGCUCUUCACGAAACUUUUCUUGCUGCUCCCUCAUAGCUUCCUCCAUGCUAGAUACAAAGCGGCGACUACGGCUGCUACUACCACAGCCCGCCUGCGACGAAGAGCCGCCACGAGAACGCAACUCCGUCGAAUCGAUAACACCGGUAAACAUAGAAUAUCUUGAAAAACAAGAAAAUUAGCUAUUCGGUCGUAGUUCCAACAUUAUUGAAAACAAUUCACAAGUUCAUACCGUCCAUGCGCCUUGCCUCCAAGUGAAUGCACAACUUCAUGCGCCUUGCCAUGAGCCGAGUCACAAAAGCGAGUAUACUCACAUCUGUGUGUUCAUGUAACGACUCUUCAGAGGCUUUUAGUAGUUUAAAAAAUCUGGAAACCUCUGGUGUGGCAGGAUCCUCGGAGCUUAGGUUGAAUUCUGGACGUAGCGAAUCUAGCAUCUCAUGCAUCGCAUCAUCGCCAGCCCAAUCAUUGUUCUCCUCCUCUUCUACAUUCCGGUUGGGUACUACCUCACCAUGAUGUUCCCACACCUCAUAUCCGGGCAUAAAUCCAAAUUGACAAAGAUCUAGGCUAACUCUUUCCUUAUUAAGAAAUAUACUAUUUUCGUGCCGCCUACAAGGGCAUCUGACAAUGCCGGUUAAGGACAAGGCGAAUACGUGGUCCACAAAAUCUUUGGUCUUGGCUACCCACUCAUCAGAAUGACGUCCAUUCCUACUCCAGCCAUUGUACAUCCAUGCACGGUCUUCAGCCAUGCCUGAGACUGUUAAACCGAACCAUAUCGUGAAACCAUUAUUCAAUUUCAUCAAGUGUAUCGGUCCUAUAUGUAUAGGCAAGGAUAGAUUCUAAACCACAGCAAGCUACCAGGACCCACAAUAAUUUUGGCAGCAUAACCUCGCUGCCACUAAACAAUAUAAGAAUGAACCACAUAUAACACAUAUAACACAUAUACCACAUAUGCCUUUACUAAACCAAAUAUACCACAUAUAAAAUAUGUCUCGAACUAAACAAUAAUACUAAUCACACGCACUAAUCAACAAACACAUAUACCACUAAUACAUUCCACAUAUACCACAUAUGCCUUCCCUAAACAUAUAACACAUAUACAAACGCACUAAUCAAUAAUAUUAAUCAAACGCACAAAUCAACAAACACAAUUACAAAAAUAUAUUAAUUUCGGUGGCAAUUAAAUAAAAGGCCGCCGAAAAUACAAAAUAAAAUACGCAAAAUAAAAUACCUUAAUGAAGGCGAGGUUGACGGGAGCCAAGGUCGAUGGAACGGGGCACAACGCGGCUGGUGGGGCGUCGAGCUUGGUGGCGGCACGUCGGCGGCACGGGCGAGCGGCGCUGCGGGUGCGUCGGGCGUGACGUGGUGGGCCGGGGGGGGGGCGCUGCGGGGGCGUGGGGCGGCGCAGCGGGCCGUGGGCUGCGCUGCGGGGGCGGCGCGACAGGCUGCACGACGGGGUGGCGUUGUUGGGCGGCGCUGCCGGGGCGGCGCGGCGAGGUGCGGCGUGGCGGGGGCGGCGCGGUUGGGCGGUGCUGCGGGGGCGGCGCGGCGGGGCGAGGUGCGGCGAGGCGAGGGGCGGCGCGAGCGACGGCGAGCGGCGGCGUGUUGAGAGAGAAGAGAGAAGAGAGAAGAAACAGAACAGAGAAGGAGCCGACAGUUUUUAAAAACCUAAUUUUCGGCGGCCAGGGAUCAGGCCGCCGAAAAUAGGCUUAUUUUCGGCGGCUGUGUCAGUGGCCGCCGAAAAUAGGCCUAUUUUCGGUGGCUGUGUCAGACCGCCGAAAAUAAGGUGGUAUUUUCGGCGGCCCACCUCCGGCCGCCGAAAAUAAGGUGGGCCGCCGAAAAUGUUGCAUAGUGUUGUUGUGGAUGGGCGCGAUUAAGGUCAAGGCUCAGUCCACUUAAGGGACACGAUCUCGCCUCGCCCGUGCCCAGCCUCGGGCAAAGGCAGCCGACCCCGGAGGAUUCACGUCUCGCCCGUGGGCCCCCUCAAGCAACGGACACACCUUCGGCUCGCCCGAGGCCCAGUCUUCGCAGAGAAGCAACCUUGGCCAGAUCUCCACGCCAACCGACCAUAUCGCAGGAGCAUUUAAUGCAAGGAUCACCCGAUACCUUAUCCUGACGCGCGCUCUUCAGUCGAUAGAGCCGAAGUGACCGCAGUCACUUCGCCGCUCCACUAACCGACCUGACAAGAAAACAGCGCCGCCUGCGUCACUCCGACUGCUGUGCCACUCGACAGAGUGAGGCUGACAGCAGCUAAGUCCAGCCUCGGGCGCCAUAGGAAGCUCCGCCUCGCCCGACCCCAGGGCUCGGGCUCAACCUCGACGAUGGACGACGAACUCCGCCUCGCCCGACCCCAGGGCUCGGACACGGCCUCGGCCUCGGAAGACGGUCUCCGCCUCGCCCGACCCCAGGGCUCGGGCUCAACCUCGAUGCUGGACGACGGACUCCGCCUCGCCCGACACAGGGCUCGGACUCAGCCUCAGCCUCGGAAGACGGUCUCCGCCUCGCCCGACCCAGGGCUCGGACUCAACCUCGACCUCGGAAGACGGACUCCGCCUCGCCCGACCCCAGGGCUCGGACUCAGCCUCGACCUCGGAAGACGGACACGACCUCGACCUCGGAGGAGCCGCCACCUCGCCCAAACUCGGGUCCGGACCGGCCACGUCGCCAGGGGGGCCAUCAUUACCCUACCCCUAGCUAGCUCAGGCUACGGGGAACAAGACCGGCGUCCCAUCUGGCUCGCCCCAGUAAACAAAUAAUGAUGGCGCUCCGCGUGCUCCAUGACGACGGCGGCUCUCAGCCCCUUACGGAAGCAAGGAGACGUCAGCAAGGAUUCGACAGCCCCGACAGCUGUCCUUCCGCAGGGCUCCAGCUCUCCUCCGACGGCCACGCCAUCACAUGAACAGGGUGCCAAAACCUCUCCGACUGCCACGACGGCAUGUACUUAGGGCUCUAGCUCCUCUCUGCUAGACACGUUAGCACACUGCUACACCCCCUAUUGUACACCUGGACUCUCUCCUUACGCCUAUAAAUGGAAGGUCCAGGGCUCUCGUAUGAGAAGGUUGGCCGCGCGGGAGAACGGGCCGGCGCAUAAGGCUCUCGCUCUCUCCCACGCGAACACUUGUAACCCCCUACUGCAAGCGCAUCCAUCCGCCCUGGGCGCAGGACAACACGAAGGCCGCGGGUUCCCCUUUACUGUUCUCCCCUUUUGUGUCCCGUCUCGCGCCGACCCAUCUGGGUUGGGACACGCAGCGACAAUUUUCUCGUCUGUCUAGGGAGCCCCGGGGUCGAAACGCCGACAGUAUGUAAAAGAUGGUGUUACAUCGGGUAUCUACAGAAUUUUUUCCGUUGUAGAUGGCUUUAAAGAGCUCUUCUGGUCGCGUCGUGUUCGAGAAGAAAUAAAACAUCAGGCAGUUGGAUACAGGUGUGGCACAUGCGUAAGCCUGAACACGGGACAGAAGCCCUCAGAAUCAGCUUAUAAUAAUAUAUAGAAAUCCAUUUCUAUUCCAAGCUUCAAAUAUAUAGCUCCACACUAAAGCAUCAUCAUGUACAUUGAGUCUAUGGCUGUAACAGCUAGCUAGUAAUAGUCACCGGCAAUUAGUACAGUAGCGAACAUAUAAGCACUGCUGCACGAGCUACAAGCGGUGGUGGGCGCAGGGGGCACUGCCGUCGUCGAAGUUCUGGUAGUAGCUAUGCAGGUCAUACCCGAACCUCACCGCGGUUCGCCUCGGCCGCGCUGCGCGUCUUCUCCAAGAGCGACUCAACCUCGACAGCAGCCGCUUCACCGCCGCAGCUGGCCGGCGGCCGCCGCUCCUGGCGUGGACGAGCCUCCCGCCCAAGCCGCUGCCCCCGGUGUACGGGCCUAGCAGAGACACCGCCGCCAUGAUCGUUCACUCAGUCGGUUCUCACAGGUCACGGACGCUCUUUGCCACUAACCAACUAGCUAGCUAGAUGCUCUGUCUGCUUCGAGCUGGAGUAGGUAGGUGAGGUCUAUCUGUGAAUCUGUGUGCUGCAGCUGUAGCUUCUGAAGAUACUGUGCAAAACGAAGCCUCCCAUGCGCAGCUUUAUAAGCUCGGAUGCUGGGAGCAUUCCGACACGCGUCGACCGAAGACGCCACUCGGACCCACCAGCAGCACGCACUCACGUACAUGGUGACGAGGCAAUCCACUACGGCGAUCGUUCGAAAGGUCCAAGCAGCUUCAUUUCAUGCAUGCUUUUGUAAGCCGCCGUCAUGCUCGUGCAGUCGAAAGAAUCAAAGAAAGACAACCGUCGACCACCAACAAUGGAAGCAUGUGUACUUGCUUUAGUGACGACGACCUCGAUCGCCAGCUAGAUUGCUAGCUAGAGGGAUGAGAGAGGUCGGCCAUGGCAACCGGCGACACGGCGGCACCUGAGCUGCUUCCUGCCCGUCCAUAGCCGAACUGCCGAUAAGGUCGGCGGCUUCCUGCCCGUCCUGCCGCUGGAUCAUGCCACGUGCACAAUGUGUUUGUGUUGCCUGUUGCGUGGCCGACCUAAUCGACAUGCAUGCGGCAGAGGUUGACGGGGAUGUUCGUUCUGCAGAACUCUCGGAACCCCGUCACAUCGAGACUAGGAACCUAGUAGAGUGUAUUGCUGACGCUGAAUCAUAAUAAUAACAACUGGUUAUAUUAAUAACCUAGAGUAUUAUUGGAAAGAGCACUCCAAGCCACUCACCAAAUUGGAUAAUUAAUAAUAACUGGUUAUUACUAUUUAUUUUUGGAUAACCUUAUCCUUGUACUGAAGAUGACUAAAGCUUAGGACGUGGAUAUUUCUUUUACAGCUGGAACAUGCAUGUAUGCUCUUCUGAUAUCUCCAAAAAAGAAGAGAAAAGAUGUCGUCGAGCUGAGUCAUCAUCAAUGAAUUUCCACAUCCUAAGGAAAGGGAAAUGGAAUACUAGUCCUAGUAGUGUUAUGCUAGAGUGAAAAUCUACAGAAAAGGCGGAGAGCCUUUUUUAGGGAAUAUUGCGAAGCUUCUAUUUUGGAAAUAUCACGAAAAUGUAUGGUCAGUAAAAUGGCGGUCGUGGAAUGGCAGUGUAUAUGAAGGGGGCUGAGGUAGUACAAAUCAUCCAAGUCAUCAUGGUAUCAGGAUGAGUCAUGAGUCACUUGACAUGUGUUUGGUUUCGGAACGACGUGGAUCCGGUCGAAGUCGACCCAUUUUUCUGGAUUGGGUCAGAUCCGUUCCUUAUUUGGUUUAAGUGACAGGUUAAACCUAUUAUCUUGUUUGAUUACAGGGUUAAACUGGGUUGGAGUUGUACCAUCUCUUGUUUGUUUCGCGAUGAGGGAUGAACUGAAUAUGGUCUCCUUCCUGGUCAUAUUACCACAUUCAGGAUGGUAUCUUCAAUUCAUUCAAUUCAAUAAGAUGACAACAAUCAAAAUAAAUGAAACCGACACUAUUUUAAUAUUUGAGAAAUCCAUAAGCAUAAGAUAUACAUAAAUUAAAGCCAAUAUUAACCAAGUCAUAAAUUUUUAGUGAUGAGGUCUCAUUGUUACAUUUCAGCCAUAAUUAAAGGAACCUCCCAACAACAUCAAGAUGCAUUUCAGUGAAUUUGUAACAUUUGCCAUGACUAGCAGGCUUGUCUAGGCAAUAACGAGCACAGACAUUUACCUGUUCGACGACAGCACUAGCAAGGCUCGCGGGUUGUGCCUACUGGAGAACACACCAGCAUCAGAGGGCAGGCCAGCGAGUGACUGUCGGUGGGAGGCGCAACAAGCCGGUGGGGGAGUCUGACGGCGCUGACGGAGGGCAGACCAGUGAGGGACUGACGACAGGAGGUAGGCGGGGGAUGAACGUCGGAUGGUAGGUCGGCGGGGGUCCCUCGUCCCAGCUUGCCGGCCGUGGCAACGUGCCCGUGUGCCAAUGUUUUAAAUGUCCGACUAAGGGCCUUAGCGGUGAGCUUUUUAUAAGUUAUAAAGGCUAUAGCCGUGAGCUAAACCAUUUAGCCGUUUAAAAAAAGCAUGAUAUAACUUUAUAGAUAGUUUAAAUGUUCAAUAUUUAAAUCUGAUAGUUCAAACUAGUAGUUCAAAUGUUCAAUAAUAAAUCAACAUACAUGCAAAUUCAAUGACACAUAUAAAAGGCAUUGAAUCAUUAUCUGAAGUGUCCCGAUCCUUUGGGACUCAAAUGUGAUACAAUUACUAGUCCCAGGAGGCUAGUAACCACAUUCAUUACUUCAAAUAGUUACAGAGUCUGAAUAAUGUUAUUACAAUACCGGGGGAUACAGGCUCGAAAGUGAGCCGAAAAACAUAAAGCGCAGUGGAAGAUAAAAUAGCCCAGGCCACAGGCAGAACUGGGCGAAGACACAGCCCCAUCAAUCAAGCAUAGCAGAAAAGAAGUCUUCAGCUGCUGAAAAACAUAAAUAAAUCUGGGUGAAUACACUAGGUAUUCCGCAAGCCCACCCGGCUCCCGUAAAGAGAAAGUGACCUAUAUGGUACAUGCUUAUUAUGGUGGAGUUGAAGUCACUCAUACUUUUUCAGAGAAAGGCAGUAUUCGUUGUUUAUGGUUUUCCCAAGACAAUAGGAGUAACACUUGCUUGACCACCACUGAGCUUCCCGCUCCUGUGGUACCACUUUCUUUUCAGACAUACACACACAUUUCCCUGUUCCAGGUUGUAGUAGAAACACUAAUUGUCAUACCAUUCUAGACUCGUCCAUACCAGUGGACACGGACUAUUCGAAUAGGUUUAGACUCUGCGCAGAGGGGUACACUUUACCCACUAGUCCGGCUCUGCGAUCUCAUGGCCAAUGAGACCCGAAUCCGAAACUCUUUCCUUCCUUGUACGUCCGAACCUUAACGGUUAUACCGGAAGGAGUCAGGCCACCGCCAUGUCCAAACCGGACAAAACAUUCCCCCUCCUUAUCCUCCCGGUGCUACCCGAGCCUUCAUAACCCUGGGGUUGGACCGUACGAGUUUAGAUCGAGUGGCUGCCCACACAGCCUCGAGUGGGUGUACUUUUUGUGAGUACAAGUAAUGAAAGAUGACAAACCGGUCCUUAUACGAGAGGACGAUCCUUCUGCUCACGCCUAAACCAGCUGAGCCAACACCUUAGGCCCUCCCCUAAACCAGGGAGUCCCUGAUCAUCCUACUCACCAGGUGAUGAGGGUGAGUACCCUUCAUCGCACACUUUUGGAAAACAUUCCACUUGUACCCUUUUCACUUGCCCCAUAUCUUUUAAUCAAAAUAAUAGUUAAUGCGGGCUCUCUCAUGCUCACCAUGCAAUUCGAUUCCCAUCCCAUAAUCCAGGCUUAGGCAGUGGUAGAGAGAAAUAGGUAAAUAAUGCAUCAAGGGAAGGAUGGACUUGCCUUCGUCGAAGCUUUCCUGCCACAAGAGGUUAAUCUCGGAGGGGUCGGGUUCUUGCCCUUCUUCCGGAGCUAAGAGUUCCGUAGGAUCGGAUCCCUCUUCCACUAAUUAAACACAUAUAAUAACAAUACAUCAAACAUAGUGACCUUUGAGGGGUGUGCAAAUUUUUAUACUUUAUUAUUUUUGUGCCCUAAUAAUUUAUUUAGACAAUUUUUGGUGCAUAAAAUAUUAGCAUCUAAAUAUAUAUGUGAAAAUGGGAAAAAGAAAAGGGAAAAGAAAAAGAGAAAGAAUUUUCGAGCCAACUGGGCCGGGGGGGGAUUUUGGCCCAAAAGGCGCCAGCGCGAGCGGGCGGGCGUGCUUUUGGCCCACUUGGCCCAGCCGCGCGGGGAGACGGCGGGGGAACGGCACUGCGGCGCGGGCCCGCACGCCAGAGAGGGGGGGGGGAGCGAACGACGUUAACGGCACGGAGGGGGGCGAGGGCUCGACCGGGGCCGGUCGGCGGCGAGCCCCGCGGCGGUUCUCCGCCGUCGGUCCGGUUUUGCGGUGGGGAAGCGGUGGCGGAGCAUGGGCGGUUGAUGGGGGUCACGGGGGUGGGGCGAAUUUCACCUGCGGGGGCCUAUGGCGGCCGGUCCGCGGCACGGUGGCGGGUGCCCGCGGCGGUGAUGCCGCCGGUGAGGUUUCCGGCCACAAUAGAGUGGGGGAAGUGGCGUGUCGUGACCGUGAGAGUGUGGCGGAGCUCUUGGCAUCACUUAAUUGAACGAAAGAUCGCUAGAGAGGGAGAGGGGAUCUCACCGGAGCGGUGAAGGGAGCACGACAGCGCUAGCUUGAACGGCUCGAGGAGGAGGGCAGUGGGGGUGGCCGGAGCUGUGUGGCGAAUACGGGGCUCAGGCGGGUCCUUUUAUAGGCGCUCGGGGGAGGGAGGGGGUUGGGGGAGACGACGAGCACCGGCGAGCUUGCCAUGAUGGUGGGAAUGGUGCUAACGCCGAUGCGAUGGCUCGGGCAGGCUGGGGGGUGAGGGGUCGGCUCAAGCACAGUGGUGGGGUUGUCGCGGAGGCUGGCGAGCAUUAAUGGCGAGGCGACGAGGCGAGGGGGCGCUCGGCGGCGGACGCGCCGGUGAGGGAUGGGCGAGGGGGAUGGAACUGACGAGUGGGCCCUGGCUGCCAGCGAGAGGAAGCUGCGCGAGAGGGAGGGGGUGAGGCGCUGACGGGCGGGGCCCGGGUGUCAGCGGGAGGGAGCCGCGCGCGGGUUGGGCCGCCUGGGCCGGGGAGAGAGGGGGAGGAAGUGCGGGCGCGCGCGGGUUGGGCUAGAAUUCGGCCUAGCCGUGGGAGGGGGAAGCUUUUCCUUUUCUUUUUCUUUUUCUAAUUCUAAUCCCUUUCUUCUCCUUUUUUCUAUUUUUGUUUCUUUUUAUUCUUUUUCUUUGGAGACCAAAAAUAUUUUCUAAGUGAUCUUGAGUGAGAAACAUAGUCUAUGUGAGGUGCUCUAAUUAUUUCAAGUGCACAUAAGAAGGGGUUCUAAGGGUAGGGUUAAGGGGGAAAGGUAAAAUAGGGGGGAGGAAUUAGGAGGUUAGGGUUUCAAACCUUGGGUGGGAUUUUGGGAUGUUACAAACCUACCCCACUUAAAGGAAUCUCGCCCUCGAGAUUUAGACUGGAUUUGAGAAAAGAUAAGGGUAUUCCCUCCUCAAGGAGUCCUCACUCUCCCAGGUAGCUUCCUCUUCUCCUUCUCUGCUCCACUGAACUUUACAGAGCUUUACUUCUGAGGUGCGGGUCUUUCUGACUGCUGAAUCAAGAAUCUUCACUGGUUUUUCACGGUACUGAAGGUCUUUCUGAAUCUGUACUGUCUCUUCUUCGAGGUGACUUUCUGGUGCUUGCAGGCAUUUGCGGAGCUGGGAUACGUGAAACACAUUGUGGAUGUCGGACAUGGAUUCUGGUAAUUCCAGACGGUAUGCUGCGUGUCCUACCCUGCCAAUGAUGGGAUAGGGACCUACGAAACGUGGGGCUAGCUUCCCUUUUACUUGGAACUUCCUGACACCACGCAUUGGAGAAACCUUGAGGUAGACGAAGUCUCCUUCCUCAAAUCGGAGUUCCCUCCGCCUGUUGUCUGCAUAACUCUUCUGUCGACUCUGAGCUUCGAGUAACCUUCUGCGGAUCAGUGCAACUUUCUCUUUCGCCUCUUUGACAAAGGCAGGUCCUUCUAGUGCUUUUCCCCCCACGUUGGACCACAUGAGAGGGGUUUGGCAUUUCCAUCCAUACAGUGCUUCGAAUGGCGACAUCUUGAUGCUGGCCUAAUAGCUAUUGUUGUAUGAGAACUCUGCGUAGGGUAGACUGGAUUCCCAACUUCUAUCAAAAGCUAGCACACAUGCUCUUAACAGAUCUUCAAGGACUUUGUUGACUCUUUCUGUCUGCCCAUCUGUCUGAGGGUGAUAAGCGGUACUGAAAUCUAGCUUGGUGCCCAUAGCUUUCUGAAGGCUUGUCCAGAAUUUGGAUGUGAACUGGGUUCCCCUGUCUCACACUAUCUUCCUUGGGAUGCCAUGGAGUCUGACUAUCUCCUUGAGAUAAAUCCGGGCAAGGGUGGCUCCUCCAAAGGUAGUUUUCACUGGGAUGAAAUGGACUACCUUGGUGAGGCGAUCUAUUAUUACCCAGAUGGAAUCAUUCCCUUUUUGCAUCCGAGGCAGUCCGGUUACGAAGUCCAUGCCUAUUUCUUCCCACUUCCAUUCAGGUAUUGGAAGGGGUUGUAAUAGGCCUGCAGGUUUUUGGUGUUCGGCCUUCGUCCGUUGGCAGAUGUCACAUCGGGCCACAUACUGAGCUAUUUCUUUCUUCAUCCCUUUCCACCAGUAUCUGGUUUUGAGGUCCAGGUACAUCUUGGUAGUUCCUGGGUGGAUGGAGUAGGCCGAGUCGUGAGCUUCCUUGAGUAGGACUUCUCGGGCCUCCCCUUUUGGUACACACAGACGGUGCUUGAACCAAAGGACUCCUUGGUCAUCUGCCCUGAGGUCCGGGAGUUGUUCCUUGUGGGAUUUCUCCACAAGUUUUGCUGUCUCUGAGUCUAGACGUUGAGCUUUGCAUAUGAGGUCUUCCAGCACUGGUUUGACUUCGAGACUAUCGUUGUUUCCCAAACAUGCAUUUAGUUGCGCUGAUUCUUUCUUCCAAUCUUCUAAAAAGUUGGUUCCUUUUAUUCCGAAUGGUUUUCGACUGAGGGCGUCGGCUACCACGUUGUCCUUCCCGGGGUGAUAGUGAAUUUCUAGGUCGUAAUCCUUGAUCAGCUCUAACCAUCUUCGCUGAUGGAGGUUGAGAUCUGGUUGAGUGAUUAUAUACUUCAGACUCUUGUGAUCGGUGAAAAUGUGGCAUUUGUUUCCGAUUAGGUAAUGCCUCCAUAUCUUCAAGGCAUGCACUAUGGCUGCCAAUUCCAAAUCAUGGGUGGGGUAAUUCUAUUCGUGCGGCUUGAGUAGGCGUGAUGUGUAAGCAAUGACUUUCUCGUUUUGCAUUAGCACACACCCUAAGCCUUGCCUCGAGGCAUCACAGAAGACGACAAAAUCUUGAUGAAUAUCUGGCAGUGAUAGAACGAGUGCUGUUGUGAGUUUCUCCUUUAUGACCUGGAAACGCCCUUCACAUUUUGGGGUCCACACAAAUUUAUGGUCUUUCUUGAGAAGUUCUGUCAUCGGUCUUGCUAUGCUGGAGAAUCCUUUGAUGAAGCCGCGGUAAUACCCUGCCAUUCCUAGGAAGCUUCGAACUUCACUGACGUUGGUUGGCUGCCUCCAUUUUGAUACUGCUUCCACCUUGGAAGGGUCCACUUCUAUCCCUUCUGCGGUUAAGAUAUGCCCAAGGAAGGCUAUCUUUUCCAACCAAAAUUCACAUUUACUGAGUUUAGCAUAAAGUUGGUGUGCUCUGAGUUUUCCGAGGACGAUCCAAAGGUGACGCUUAUGGUCUUCGUGGUUCUUGGAGUAGAUAAGGAUGUCGUCAAUGAAGACUACGACAAACUUAUCUAGCUCUUCCAUAAACACUUUAUUCAUGAGGUUCAUGAAAAAGGCGGGUGCGUUUGUCAGUCCGAACGGCAUCACUGUGAAUUCAUAUUGCCCGUACCGGGUGACAAAUGCAGUCUUUUGGAUGUCUGCUUCCUUGAUCCUCAAUUGGUGGUAACCAGACCUUAGGUCUAUCUUGGAGAAGUACUUGGCUCCUUGAAGCUGAUCGAAGAGGUCGUCAAUCCGAGGAAGUGGAUACUUGUUCUUGAUGGUAACUUCAUUUAACGAUCGGUAAUCAAUACACAUUCUCAUGCUUCCAUCUUUCUUAUAGACGAACAGGACUGGCGCUCCCCAAGGUGAUGAGCUGGGACGAAUGUAUCCCUUUUGCUGAAGAUCUGCGAUUUGAAGCUUCAGUUCUGCUAACUCGAUCGGAGCCAUGCGGUAUGGUCUCUUCGCGGUGGGUGCCGUUCCAGGGAUCAGAUCUAUGUAGAACUCCACUUCUCUUUCUGGUGGAAUUCCUGGCAAUUCUUCUGGAAACACGUCCAUGAAUUCUUCUACAACUGAUAUACUUUCCGUUGCUAGAUUGAACAUCAUUGGGUCACUGGCGGGUGGCUGUGCCUGACAAGAGACUAACUUUCCCUGCUGGUCGAUGAGGAGGACUGUCUUGUCUGCGCAACUGAUGAUGCCUUUGUGUUUAGUUAGCCAAUCCAUCCCUAGGAUCACAUCAAUUCCUUUGGAUGGCAAGACGGUUAAGUCUGCUAGGAAUACUACCCCACUUAAAAGGAUUCUGACUUGGGAGCAUUUGAGCUGGCAUAGAAGGUCGGACCCUGGGGUUUGGGUGACCAAGGGAAUCUCUAGAGGAGUAGAGGGAAUGCCAUACUUUUCCACAAAGCUAGUGGCUAUGAAGGAGUGGGAUGCUCCAGAAUCGAAAAGUAUGGUAGCGGGAGUAAAUUCAACAAGGAACUCACCGAGUACUACUCCCGGAGCCUGCUGAGCUUCCUCGGCAUCGACGUGAUUUACUCGUGCCCUUCCUUGGUACGGAGCCUUGUUCUGCUGGCUGACGGCGGAGGGCGCCUUGGGGGCGGAUGCCGAGGUAUUCUUGGGGCCAUUCACCGAGUUGGAGUAGGCGGGUCCUGGUGGCUUUAGCUGCGGACAAUUGUUCUUGAAGUGACUGGGAUCACCACAGUGCCAACAUGCAUUUGCCGGGGGUUGGUUGCUUGCCACUGAGGGGGAAUGGAAAGAGCUCUGACUUUGCUGGCUGAAUCGUGACGGAGUGGGUCCAGCUGGUCUACUGAAGUUUGGUCCCUUGGGUGGAAACCCAAAUGAUCGAGUCUUCUGGUGCCGGUCCUGCUGCUGUGCCCGGAGAACCUAGAACUUCCUUUUGAGAUGCCCCUUUUCUUCCUCCUUUGCCUUUCAACUUGCAUGGCCUUGUUGGAAAGGUGAGAGAAAUUGAGGAAGUCUUGGCUAGCCAGAAUUGUCUUGAGUUCUGGCCUGAGUCCCUUCAGGAAAUGGGCCAUCUUCUUGCCCUCGGUACUGACAUCAUCUGGCGUGUAGCGGGCUAACUCUGUGAACUUGUGUACAUAUUCGCUGACAGAUCUUCCGUCUUGAGUCAAUUCUCGGAACUCGUCCUCCUUAAGCUGUACAAGUCCUUAGGGCACAUGGUGCUCCUGGAAAGCCGCUUCAAAUUCCGCCCAGGUAGCAUCUCUGAUGGUGAUGUUGAAGGUGUCCCACCAGGCUAAGUCCAUCCCGGAAAGUUGGUGGGCAGCCAGCUGAACACGCUGAUUUUCUGGGCAACCAAUGGCUUCCAGUUUUCUUUUGAUCGUGCACAUCCAAUCGUCUGCAUCGAGGGGGUUGCUUGAUUCGGCAAACGUGGGAGGUUUGAGUCUCAGGAAAUCCCCCAUUCUGUCUUGUGGUCUUCCACCAUUCGGCCGUUGAUUUUCCAGAUUUCGAGUGAGGACCUCGAUGAGUCAGGUUUGAUUGGCUAGAACUUGGGCUAGGUCUAAGGGUAGUGGUGGAGGUGCGGGGAGGUGGGUUUCACUUUCCUCUCUAACGGCUUCCCCUUCAGCUCUCAGGGGAAACCCUGCUCCAAUCCCGGAGGCGGUAGGCGUGGUUUUAUCCGAAGCCAUCUGCCAGGGAAGAGAGUCACUAUUAUGCACAUGCAAAUUGUUUUCAACCAAGUUAUGUUAUUCAUUACACCAUCACAUUACAAGCAUAAGACUACUACAGGUGGGACUACACGAGAGCGUUCCCCGAGGUACUAACGAACUCCUUCUCUAAGGUGUCCCCAAAUGCCUUGAGAAGAUCAUCAAGGCUUGCUAGGGAUAUAUCCUCGUCGUCGGACCAAUCAUCUAUUCUAGGGGGGAGGUAGGGCUAGAGGGGCCUUCUUCUUCUUCUCUGUUUGGCAUCCUUGGUUGGUGGUCUUCUUCUGGAUUUUCUUUUUGGGGGCGAGCUUCUUUAGCUUCUUGUCAUAGUCCAUCUUCAAGGUUCGAUAGGCCUCACGGGUGUUGGCUUCCUCGCCUUCUGCUAUGUCGAGACUCUCCUGGAGAGAUGCCUUCUCUUGCUUAAGCUCUUUGACUUGCUGCUCUAGGCUUUCCACUCGAGAGUUUAGGUGGGUGCAGUGGGAGGAGAGCUCAUCGUAGUGGUUGUCGAGGGUGUGGAGGUAUCCGGCCAUGUAGACGAUAGUGGGGUCAUCUUCUGUGGGAUCUCCUUCUGACAGAGCCUGGAGUCUUUUCCUCCAGGUGGGGGUGUUUUUGUUGCUAGGUGGGAAAUAUCGGAGGGGGGUCUCAGAGAUCUCUCGGCUAUAGUUUUGGCACAGUUGUUUGAGGGCUUUUCGAGCAACGCUCUAGCAAGUGUCUGGGAAGCGGUGCCCGAUGAAGGUAAUUUGGAAGGGAGGGUGGUUUGGGUAGUUCCGGCUUUCUCCCAAGUAGACCGCCAUAGAGCACUUUUCUAUUCCAUUUUCACGGUACUCCUUCCAGACAUAUUCGGGCUUCUUGCGGAUCCCCAUGCGUAGCGCGCAACUCCGAAGAAGGUGAGGAAAGCCUUCCUCCUCUGAGCAAUAGGAUGUCCUAAUCACCCAGGGGUUUUCCAUCUGGUAGACGAAAAGAGAGGUCUAUUAAUAUCGGGGAAAAGGGGAAAGAGUGUUUCUUGGGGGGUAAGAGGUGUUUUCUUGUUAAGGCAACUUUUAAGGUCAGGGUUGUGGUCUACGGCCAGUCCUAUAGGUUCUGAUACCACCUGAAGCGUCCCGAUCCUUUGGGACUCAAAUGUGAUAUAAUUACUAGUCCCAGGAGGCUAGUAACCACAUUCAUUACUUCAAAUAGUUACAGAGUCUGAAUAAUGUUAUUACAAUACCGGGGGAUACAAGCUCGAAAGUGAGCCGAAAAACAUAAAGCGCAGUGGAAGAUAAAAUAGCCCAGGCCACAGGCAGAACUGGGUGAAGACACAACCCCAUCAAUCAAGCAUAGCAGAAAAGAAGUCUUCAGCUGCUGAAAAACAUAAAUAAAUCUGGGUGAAUACACUAGGUAUUCCGCAAGCCCACCCGGCUCCCGUAAAGAGAAAGUGACCUAUAUGGUACAUGCUUAUUAUGGUGGAGUUGAAGUCACUCAUACUUUUUCAGAGAAAGGCAGUAUUCGUUGUUUAUGGUUUUCCCAAGACAAUAGGAGUAACACUUGCUUGACCACCACUGAGCUUCCCGCUCCCGUGGUACCACUUUCUUUUCAGACAUACACACACAUUUCCCUGUUCCCGGUUGUAGUAGAAACACUAAUUGUCAUACCAUUCCAGACUCGUUCAUACCAGUGGACACGGACUAUUCGAAUAGGUUUAUACUCUGCGCAGAGGGGUACACUUUACCCACUAGUCCGGCUCUGCGAUCUCAUGGCCAAUGAGACCCGAAUCCGAAACUCUUUCCUUCCUUGUACGUCCAAACCUUAACGGUUAUACCGGAAGGAGUCAGGCCACUGCCAUGUCCAAACCGGACAAAACAUUCCCCCUCCUUAUCCUCCCGGUGCUACCCCAGCCUUCAUAACCCUGGGGUUGGACCGUACGAGUUUAGAUCGAGUGGCUGCUCACACAGCCUCGAGUGGUUGUACUUUUUGUGAGUACAGGUAAUGAAAGAUGACAAACCGGUCCUUAUACGAGAGGACGAUCCUUCUGCUCAUGCCUAAACCAGCUGAGCCAACACCUUAGGCCCUCCCCUAAACCAGGGAGUCCCUGAUCAUCCUACUCACCAGGUGAUGAGGGUGAGUACCCUUCAUCGCACACUUUUGGAAAACAUUCCACUUGUACCCUUUUCACUUGCCCCAUAUCUUUUAAUCAAAGUAAUAGUUAAUGCGGGCUCUCUCAUGCUCACCAUGCAAUUCGAUUCCCAUCCCAUAAUCCAGGCUUAGGCAGUGGUAGAGAGAAAUAGGUAAAUAAUGCAUCAAGGGAAGGAUGAACUUGCCUUCGUCGAAGCUUUCCUGGCAUAAGAGGUUAAUCUCGGACGGGUCGGGUUCUUGCCCUUCUUCUGGAGCUAAGAGUUCCGGAGGAUCGGAUCCCUCUUCCGCUAAUUAAACAUAGAUAAUAACAAUACAUCAAACAUAGUGACCUUUGUGGGGUGUGCAAAUUUUUAUACUUUAUUUUUUUUGUGCCCUAAUAAUUUAUUUAGACAAUUUUUGGUGCAUAAAAUAUUAGCAUCUAAAUAUAUAUGUGAAAAUGGGAAAAGAAAAAGAGAAAGAAUUUUCCAGCCAACUGGGCCGGGGGGGAUUUUGGCCCAAAAGGCGCCAGCGCGAGCGGGCGGGCGUGCUUUCGGCCCACUUGGCCCAGCCGCGCGGGGCGACGGCGGGGGAACGGCGCUGCGGUGCGGGCCCGCACGCCAGAGAGAGGGGGGAGGGAACGGCGUUAACGGCACGGAGGGGGGUGAGGGCUCGACCAGGGCCGGUCGGCGGCGAGCCCCGCGGCGGUUCUCCGCCGUCGGUCCAGUUUUGCGGUGGGGAAGCGGUGGCGGAGCAUGGGCGGUUGAUAGGGGUCACGGGGGUGGGGCGAAUUUCGCCUGCGGGGGCCUAUGGCGGCCGGUCCGCGGCACGGUGGCGGGUGCCCGCGGCGGUGAUGCCGCCGGUGAGGUUUCCGGCCACAAUAGAGUGGGGGAAGUGGCGUGUCGUGACCGUGAGAGUAUGGCGGAGCUCUUGGCAUAACUUAAUUGAACGGAAGAUCGCUAGAGAGGGAGAGGGGAGCUCAUCGGAGCGGUGAAGGGAGCACGGCGGCGCUAGCUUGAACGGCUCGGGGAGGAGGGCAGUGGGGGUGGCCGGAGCUGUGUGGCGAAUACGGGGCUCGGGCGGGUCCUUUUAUAGGCGCUCGGGGGAGGGAGGGGGAUGGGGGAGACGGCGAGCACCGGCGAGCUCGCCAUGAUGGCGGGAAUGGUGCUAACGCCGAUGCGAUGGCUCGGGCAGGCUGGGGGGUGAGGGGUCGGCUCAAGCACAGUGGCGGGGUUGUCGCGGAGGCUGGCGAGCAUUAAUGGCGAGGCGACGAGGCGAGGGGGCGCUCGGCGGCGGACGCGCCGGUGAGGGAUGGGCGAGGGGGAUGGAACUGACGAGUGGGCCCUGGCUGCCAGCGAGAGGAAGCUGCGCGAGAGGGAGGGGGUGAGGCGCUGAUGGGCGGGGCCCGGGUGUCAGCGGGAGGGAGCCGCGCGCGGGUUGGGCCGCCUGGGCCGGGGAGAGAGGGGGAGGAAGUGUGGGCGCGUGCGGGUUGGGCUGGAAUUCGGCCUAGCCGUGGGAGGGGGGGAAGCUUUUCUUUUUCUUUUUCUAAUUCUAAUCCCUUUCUUCUCCUUUUUCUAUUUUUGUUUCUUUUUGAUUCUUUUUCUUUGGAGACCAAAAAUAUUUUCUAAGUGAUCUUGAGUGAGAAACAUAGUCUAUGUGAGGUGCUCUAAUUAUUUCAAGUGUAUGCACAUGAGAAGGGGUUCUAAGGGUAGGGUUAAGGGGGAAAGGUAAAAUAAGGGGGGGGGGAAUUAGGAGGUUAGGGUUUCAAACCUUGGGUGGGAUUUUGGGAUGUUACAUUAUCUAACAAACUCAUAAACAAUAAGUUAAAGGGCCUACCCAUAACUUGUUUUUGGGUCUCAAUGCUUCAAAGGUUCGACCAGUAAAAGGAGUGCAGGUUUAGCAACUAAAUCGAGCUAAUUUUGUGUAUUUAGCGGGCUAAAUAUGACUAUUAGCGGCUAAUUUUGAUCAGCGCUAAAUAAUGCAUCUCUUAGCUCCAGAUCUCCUGAAAGGCUAUAACCGGCUAAAUAGCUGCUAUUAGCUGGCUUUUGAAAACCUUGCUCUGUGCUGGUCUCGAGUGGAUAAAGCAUGGGUGACAGAAGGCUGGAGAGCAAGUGGGUCGAAAUAGUUCGCUUGUUUUUGAGGAAUCCGUAGAACCCACAUUUUCAAGAAGUAUUUCGAUCCAGAACCAACAUAAUCCACGAGACUUUUGAACCAAACAUGGAUUGUUGUGGGUUAAAUCCUUUCCAACCCGCAUCAUCACGCUAACCAAACACACGUGUGAGGUUUCGCCUUACCCGAUGAGUGAGGUUUCGCCUUACUCGAUGCCAGUUUGCCUUUACUUUUUGUCUUGAUAUCAGUAGCUCCAUUUAACUUUCAAGCGUCUAAAAAAACUCUCUUCCGCAUCUACAACUUUUCAGUUAAUGACUUCUUUAUUCAAGAUCAUCUAUAAUAUUAAAUAUACAAUACAAUAUUUAAAAAAAUUGUAGUUGAAAAAUAGUAUCGGUUGUAUAGUGACAACUAUUAUAUAGCUUAACCGGUAUAGAAGCUCGAUGGAACCUUAAGAUAUUGAGUUCAAAUCCAGUAAUCUAGCAGUGUUAUAAUUGAUAGUGAUAAAUUUUUUGAUAAAAAUAACUCUUUAAAUGAUGAUUUAGAGAAUAUCUUUAACAUAGACUCUAGAAAAUUUCAUAAAGAUGCCGAUCAAGUAAUCCUGGCUAACUAUAUGAAGCUUUUUGAGAAAUUAUGUAGGCUUAUAAGGUCACACACAAUAAACUUCUACUUUCUAGUACUUGCAUACUUAAUUAGUUUGUUCUAUAUCAAAUUAUCCUAAAUUUUACCAAAUUUAUAUACACGAGUAUUUGCAUUACAGAAAUAUAUUUCACAAUUCCAUUCAAUAUACUUAUUUUCUAUUAGGAUUGGUGCCUCAUUUAGUGGAGGACGGAUUAUCUAUCUUGCAAUAUCCAGAUGAUAUUAUCCUGUUUUUGGAGCAUGACUUGGAGAAAGCCAAGAAUAUGAAAUUACUUCUCCUGUCUUUUGAGCAAGUCUCAGGGUUAAAAAUUAACUAUCACAAAAGCGAGAUUUUUUGCUUUGGUCAGGCCUCCGAUGUUAAGGAUCAAUAUCAAUUGUUGUUUGCAUGCAGAAAUGGGGACUAUCUGUUUAAAUAUUUACGGAUACCAAUGUAUUAUCGGAAGUUAAACAAUAGUGAUUGGAAAAUAGUAGAGGCAAAAUUCGAAAAGAAGCUCAGCAGAUGGAAAGGGAAGCUUAUGUCUGUUGGAGGCAGAUUAGUCCUAAUAAAUUCAGUGCUUACCAGUUUAGUUAUGUUUAUGAUAUCUUUCUUCGAGAUACCCAGAGGGGUUCUCGAGAGAAUAGACUGCUUUCGGUCUAGGUUCUUUUGGCAAGGAGGGAAUCAUAAGAAGAAGUACAGACUUGCCAAAUGGAACAUCCUAUGCCAACCUAAGGAUCAAGGAGGGUUAGGAAUUCAGAACAUAGAAGUUCAAAAUAAAUGCUUGCUAAGCAAAUGGCUUUUUAAGCUUAUUAAUGAGGAUGGGAUGUGGCAACAAUUGGUGCGUAACAAAUAUCUUAAGAGAUAUCCGUUGUGGAAUGUGAAACUUAAACAUGGUGAUUCACAUUUUUGGUCGGGGUUAAUGAAAGUAAAUGAUACCUUCCUUAACCUAGGAAAUUUCAUUAUUAAAAAUGGGGAACAAAUAAGGUUCUGGCAGGACAUUUGGAUGGGUACUCAAUCCUUUAUGAUUUGUUACCCGUCUCUUUAUCAUAUUGUAAGACAUAAAAGUGCCACGGUUGCUACAGUUUUGGCUACAGUACCUUUAAAUGUAUCAUUCCGUAGGGUGCUUGUCGGUCAAAACCUCACUUUGUGGUAUAAUUUAGUGGCAAGUAUAUUACAUGUUCAGUUGAGUGUCGAUAGGGAUAUUUUUAAAUGGAGUUUAACUAAUUCUGGGCAGUUUACAGUUCAAUCUAUGUAUAUGAGUCUUAUUAAUAAUGGGAAUGUUUUUAACCAUAAGGAAAUAUGGAAACUUAAACUGCCACUUAAGAUUAAAAUCUUUAUGUGGUACUUAUUAAAAGGAGUAGUGCUGACGAAAGAUAAUUUAGCAAAAUGCAACUGGCAAGGUAGCAGUAAGUGUGGCUUCUGUAAUUUGGAUGAAACCAAUCAGCAUUUAUUUAUUGACUGUCAUGUUGCUCACUUUAUGUAGCGGUUGAUAUCAAUCUGUUUUGGUUUACCAGGACCUAGAUCUGUUAAACAUUUCUUUGGGAACUGGUUGAUGGGGGUGGAUUUAAAUACUAAGAAUCUCAUUAUUACAGGUGUCUCAGCAUUGUGUUGGGCUAUCUGGAUAAGUAGAAAUGACUUAGUAUUUAAUAGAGCACAAAUGUUUACUUAUUUGCAGGUUCUAUUCAGAGGAACUCAUUGGCUCAGACUUUGGACGCAGCUGCAAAGAAGUGACGAUUCAGCGAAUCUGUUAAGAAGAGCUUGUCGACAUCUGGAGACGAUGGCCAUGCACUUUUUUGCUUAUCGGGGUUGGAGGUUUUCUAAUAGGAUUACAUUGUAUUGAUCGUUUUCCUUUUUAAGUGAGUGUUGAAUCGGUGAGGAGUAAGGGAGAGUUUAAGUCUUUUAGGCUAAAUGUUUUUGCCUUAUUAUGCGAGUACUUGGAGUUGUUAUUUGGUGUCUGACUUUGGCCCUACCCUCGAAAGAGGCGAAAGCCGGAUUUUGUUCCAUUAUCUAAAAAAAUACUUAUUUUCUAUAAACUUGGUGAAUCUUAUAAUAGUUUAACUUAGAGCAACUUUAAAUGUGAAUCUUAUAAUAGUUUAACUUAGAGCAACUUUAAAUGCAUUACGUAAUACUUAUUGGAAUUUGGCCUCUUUAGCCCACUUAUGGGUGGUCCAAUUCAUAUAAGAAAUCCAAGGUGCUGUGUAGGGAUAGCAUCAGGGACUUUAGUCGUACAUUACUUAUCCAGGUAAGAGAUAACCAAUUUAAACGUGAGGGUGUGCACUACUCUUCACAUGUGACACACAAAGGGCUGUGGAGACUGGUAUGAACUGACACACGCGCUCACUCGCAUUUCAGGUUUUUCACGAAAUUAACGCGUGGCUUGUGACUUGCGAUGAUGAAUGAUCGCGUCGUGACAUGUUCUAAAUAGCAGUUUAUUUUUUGUCUUUUAUUUAUUUGGUUAUCAAGUACCACACCUAGCUAGACUGCCAUGUCAAUCGAGAGUAAUUAGGCGCGCACUGCGUGAACUCCGUGCGGUUGUACUUAGAGAGAUUUGAGAGGACGGUUACUGGAAUUUAGUAGAUCGAAUCUGGAACAAUUGCGGCGACUCUUCUAUAAAGGGGAGAUGUCCUUUAGACGAAAGGCAUACAACAAUCAACCUACUCGUCUUCUCAUUCUGAACUUUAUGUGUUACCGCUUCUCUACUCUAUCGUCCCUGCGUCUGCCAUGCAACAAAUCAAGGAAGACCAGUGUAUUCGAACCAACACAGAUAUUUUGACGACCUGCACGGGCGUUGAGAAAUUAGGUUUCUGGGAAGUGCACCACGCACGUAUGUUCAUGUUCUUCAAAUCCAGUUGUGGGAAGCACUAUAAGUAGAUAUGCAAUUUCUGUUUAUCAUGACACAGAUCUUUUGCAUAGAUCUAUUGUUCAUUUGUCUUCUGUUCAUUAAUUGUUUGGUUUGGUGAAUCUGAUGCUUUUCAAGAGUACAUUACUAAAGCACAUAAUCCUAAAUUUGUGAAGUCUUCUAGGCAAACCACAACUUGAGAUCUAAUUAAGCUUUACAAUGAACGUGUGCUUAAGCUUAUUGAGUCAUUUCAAUCUGUUUCAUCUGUUGCUCUAACUUCUGAUAUCUGGAAUGUUAAAGCUAAAGAAGACUACAUUUAUGUUGUUGCUCACUUUUUGAAUUCCAAUUGGGAGCUAGAAAAAAGAUUGAUUGGUCUUAGGGUCAUAUAUGUGAAACAUUCUGGUAAUAAUUUAGCAGAACAUGUUAACAUGGUUGCUGAUGAGUGUGGUUUAAGUGAUAAAAUAUUUGCUAUUACUCUAGAAUCUACUUUUAGUUUGGUUGGCAGGGUUAUUGAGGAACAUCGUCGACGGCUCAUACCGGACAUGGUGGAGGUUCUAUCAUGUAUCAAAGACCGGGAGUUAGCAGAUUUACACAAGCAACACAAUCUUGAGAAUGACACAUAGAAAUAGAAUUGUCCUUGAAAGAUUGAACAAUGAUGGAGGAGGAGACGAAGAAAGCCAAUCAAGGACUCAAGAGUUAAGGGUGAACGAGUGAAUUAUUGUAACUUGUAAUAUUGUCCUCUGUCUCUAUCUCUGGUGAAUUGUUGUAUUGAACUCUGAACACAGUUGCAUACGUUAUAACUUUGAGCUGGUUGUACCUUUUUCCCUUUUUAGGGUUUUCUCACAAGGUGUGAGUUUUUAUCUAGGAAGGUUUCUAAUAAGGCGACAUUGCAUAAACAACUCAAAUAAUAUUUUGUCAUUCAAUUCUUGUGUGGCCUUUAGUGUUUUUUGUGAAUUCUGUUAUAUACCAAUAUAUAUGUGAUUUUCGGGCCAGACCCGCCCCUGUACUAAUGAGCUAUCCAAGCCAACGGUACGGCAUGACCUACCUGAGUAGCAAGCGAGUCGUGCCUAGACCGAAGGGUCAACACGCUAGGUAAGCCCGGCACGAUCCAGAUGUUACCCGUGCCGUGCCUGGCACGCCCCGAAUGGGCCGGGCCGGAGCGGACCAUUUGGAUAUCUAUAAGUCCAAGCAGCUCCAUACAUGUUUGCAGGUGCAGCAGUCCGAAUAGCUACAAUAUUGCUGGCUGCUAGUCAGCCGAACAAUAUAGAAAUAUGAUUUAUAAUGACGGUUUUUAAAAAAAAAACUACCAAUAGAAAUAACACUAACGUAUGAUAACUGAAACCGUACUACAAAUUAAACUUCACCAUAGACUUUCAGUUAUUUUUCUACAAGUGAGGGUUCCGGUACAAUGAGUCAACGAGCUACAAGCGGUGGUGGGCGCGGGAGGCAGUGCCGUCGUCGAAGUUCUGGUAGUAGCUAUGCAGGUCAUACCCGAACCUCACCACGGUUCGCCUCGGCCGCGCCGUGCGUCUUCUCCAAGAGCGCCUCAACCUCGACAGCAGCAGCUUCACCGCCGCAGCUGACCGGCGAUCGCCGCUCCUAGCGUGGACGACCCUCCCGCCCAAGCCGCUGCCCCCGAUCUAUGGGCCUUGCAGAGACGCCGCCAUGAUCGUUCACUCGGUUCUCACAAGUCACACACUCUUACGUUGCGACUAACUAGCUAGCGCUAGCUAGGUGCUCUAUCUGCUCCGAGCUGGCGUCGUAGGUAUCUGCUGUGUGCUGCAGUGUAGCUUCUGAAGAUCUU
This 154963-nucleotide long non-coding RNA is filed under the name Zea mays. RNAcentral describes it as "long non-coding RNA (ZMAY_LNC002970)". The record is from RNAcentral. Lineage: Eukaryota; Viridiplantae; Streptophyta; Magnoliopsida; Poales; Poaceae.